GCCGAGCGACGACACCCAACUUGGAGAGCCGGAAUCUCCGACCCGAUGGAUGGAAUCCGGAGACGCUUCGAUUUCUCAACGCCUGCAGAAGCCUCGGGGAGCGGCGCGAGAAACCCCUUGGCUCCACCAAUGUUUCGUCCCCUCGGCAAACAGACUACCGCGGCAACCCGAGUUAACAUGACCGAGCCGCCUCUACUCCAUCGGAACUCAAGGCGACGAGCCGGCGAAGAGGAGAAUGACGCGAUCGACGUGGACGCCCAACAGAACGAUGGAACCACGAACUCGCAACAAAACGGCUCGGCUCGGCGAAUAAGCCAAGAAGAGCUCGCCUCGGCACUAAACGGCGUCCGGACUGACGAAAUCACCGAUCCGGCUCGCAUCGACAACCCGACUGAAGAAGAAGAAAACCUCCAAUGGAUUGAGCAGACGGAACGCGAAGACGAGCCGAGGAGAGAAGAGCGGGAGCGACUCUCCCAAUCAAAGGGAAUGACUCACGCGCAAACCCUCGAAAUCAAAGAGUUGUGAGCCUCAAUGGCUCGGACAGUGGCAGAGAUAUGCGCCAUGAAAUCUCAAGUGCAUAAUGCGACAAGUGCCGCGCCGGAGAUUGAUCGAAUGCUCGAGGAAACCAAAAGAACCCCGUUCACGACGAGGAUCACAGAGGCUAGGAUCCCCGAGCCCGGAAAAGUCAGGAUCCCUUUCUAUGAAGGAACCACUGACCCGAAAGCUCAUAUCACGGCGUUCCGCAUAGCAAUGGGACGAGCCUUCAUGAGGAACUCUGCCAACCUGACUAAGCAAGAAAAAGACGCCGGUUAUUGUCUGCUGUUUGUAGAGCAUCUCAAAGGGGCCGCACUAGAAUGGUUCUCAAGGCAAGAACGUAAUUCGAUCAACAGCUUCCAGCAGCUCUACGCCUUGUUCUUGAAGCAGUACUCGAUGUUCAUGGACUGAGGCACCUCCGACGCCGAUCUAUGGACGUUAUCUCAAGGACCUAACAAACCGCUUUGGGAUUACAUGACAAGGUUCAAAACUGUUGUGUCCAAAGUAGAAGAAAUAAGUGACAAGGCCGCCCUUGAAGCCCUAAAACGAUCCCUAUGGUACAAAUCAGAGUUUCGAAGGGAGAUGGCGCUGAACACGCCGCAAACAAUUCAGGACGCUCUGCAUCGAUCAUCAGACUUUAUCGUGAACGAGGAAGAAAUGAAGAAUUUAGACGAGCAGUACGAAGCGACGAAAGCAGCAAUCCGGAGCUCGAUUUGAACUCCAGAUCUGAAGAAAUACUAUCACUAAGGAUGCACCACGACCAGCAUGAACUACGGAACAGCUUGAUCCCUGCAAAGGGUACGUAGGCAGCCCGUCCUUGGACGGAUUCAGCUGUCCCCCUUCUUAAAAGGAGGGGGGGGGAGUAGGUACGUAUACACCAUACUUACACCAUAUCUUAAAUUUUUAGCUCGUCAAGUCAGGUAUCUCUAGAUUUAUUUCGCUUCAUUUUUUCGUUCACUUGCUUUCACUUCGGCUAGUUUUCAUUCACUUGCUUUCACUUCGGCUAGUCUUUUAUUCACUUGUUUUACGUCGGCUAAACAUUUUACUUGUUUUACAAAGCACUUUAUUUUCAUUGAUCUUGCAUUGCUUCGGCAAAGUUCUACUUUGGUAUCCAAACACCGUACGCCUCGUCUCGUUGCUAGCCACAACGAGACAACAAAUACAAAGUUCUCUAAACGGACUUUUACCACCUUUCCUAGGACGAGGGUGCAAGUUACAUCCUCUAUGGAUAAAAAUUAAGCGCGCUAUACAAAUUUCAGACCAAAAACGUAUCGUUCGCCACAGUCCACUAUCGCACACGAGAUUAUAAGUUGAGACUACAUCGCUUUCUCUAAAACCGAAGUGAACUCUUAAAACCCGGCAAAACUCACUCACCCUCUCGGGAACGCCGGUCUAUAGUCAUAUUCCAAAGAGAACACUAUAUCCUCUUGAACUUUUGCCUCAUCAAUGAGAAACCCUGGGCUAACGCCUCGGCAAGAAAAAAACAGGCUCAAGCUAAACACUUUGGCUGCAACGCCCGACUCUUCCUCACGAACGAUCAGUCUCUAAAAAGAGAACAAGGCCUAUAAAACACAUAACUUACUUGAAAAAUACUUCGGCGUUAGUCGGAGAUUCUUUCUCAAAACAAUCUAAAACAGCUCACCUCAAUGAGGACCUCUCUCAGUGAUAGAAUGGAUAAAUCUCAAUGAACGGCCCGAAAUCAUCUUUGGUUAAUAAAAACAAAACGCCUCGUCGUUAUACAUGGCUCGGCAUCAUAUAAUGAAAAUGCCUUGUCGUUAUACAAAGCUCGGCAUCAUCUAAUGAAAACGCCUCGCCGUUAUCAUUAAACACGGCUCGGCAUUGCCAAUGAAAAUCGCCUCGUCGUUAUCGCUAAACACGGCUCGGCGUCAUCUAAACGAAGACGCCUCGUCGCCUAUGCAUUAUCUUCGAUCGUUACCUAGGCAUCAUUUUACUGUACUCAUCGUCUAGGCAUCACCUCGCCUUGUCGCCUAGGCAUUAUCUUGGCUCGUCGCCUAGGCAUUAUCUCGGCUUGUCGCCUAGGCAUCAUCUUGUCGAGAUCAUCUCGUCGCCUAGCCAUCAUUGGCUCGUUGCCUAGGCAUCACCUCGUCUUGUCUCUUAGACAUUAAGUCGGCUCGUUGCGUAGGCAUUAUCUCUGCUCGUCGUCCAUGCAUUAUCUCGGUUCGUCGCCUACGCAUCAUCUUGCCUCGUCGGCUAAGCGUCAUCUUGUAUCAUCGCCUAGCCAUCAUCGGCUCGUCGCCUAGGCAUCAUCUUACCUCGUCGCCUAGGCAUUACUCUUGCCUUGUCGCCGAGCCGUUAACUCGGCUCGGAAGCUAGGCAUCCUCUUGCAUUAUCGCCUAGCCAUAAUCUCGGCUCGUUGGCUAGGCGUCAUCUUGCCUCGCCGCCUAGGCAUCCUCUUGCCUUGUCUCCUAGCCAUCGUCUCAGCUCAUCUUCUAGGCACUGUCUUGCCUUGUCGUCUAUGCAUCUUUUGACCUUGUCGGUUUGGCAUCUCCUGACUUAAUCCAGUAACAAGACGUAUCUAGAUCACGUGCGUCGGCGUAACACUUUCCCCCGACAAUAUCUAACACGCCUCGGCAUUGUAUUUUCUGGAAAAGCUUUCGUAUUAGUCUUUCUGCGCACCAUAGCACUAUGGGCGUCUUGUCAUUAAGAACGGCACAGUUUUCUCAAAACGCCUCGUCGUUUAUACGACUCGUCAUAACUCUCUCAAAACGCCUCGUCGUUUAUUCGGCUCGACAUAACUCUCUCAAAACGCCUCGUCGUUUAUUUGGCUCGGCAUCACUUUCUCAAAACGCCUCGUCGUUCGGCAUAACUCUCUCAAAACACCUCGUCGUUUAUUCGGCUCGGCAUAACUUUCUCAAAACGCCUCGUCGUUCGGCAUAACUUUCUCAAAACGCCUCGUCGUUAAACUCGAAACACAGCUCGGCAAUACAAAACAGAAUCGCCUCGUUCUUAAUUUGGCUCGGCAUUAUCAAGCAGAAUCACCUCAUCGUUGACUUAAACUGCGACUUAACGUUAUUGAACAAGAAACGCCUCGGCAUCCUCGGCACCCUCUUGAAACGCCUCGGCAUCUUUAUUUCCAAAACACCUCACCUGGGCUUAUGUCGCAACGGCUUGACUCGAUGGUUUAUCCUACGGUCAGGAGUAAUCGACCUCGUCACUCUCGUCUCCGAAACUGACGAGCUGGGGGGCUAACUGUUGGGGUCGGUUUCACCCCAAGCGGAUAAAACCAUCUCAAAAUGACUAAGUAUGGAAGAAAGACAAAUCAGCCGAGCCGCGCUCACCAAGACAAGUGGGAGAGCCGUGGAGAAAGACAAGUGGGAGAGCCGUGGAGAUAGACAAGUGGGAGAGCCGUGGAGAAAGGCAGAAUGGGCCGAGCCGUGAAUAAGGAAAGAUGGGCCACGCUGUGCAAAGAUGGGCCAAGCCGUGAAGAGGAACAAGUAAGCCAAGCCGCGGGAAGGAUGUCCAGUGGGCCGAGCUGUGCAAGAAAGCAGGUGGACCGAGCUGUAUCGUGAGGAAUGGGCCGAGCCGCAUUUCAACAUGCUUGGGCCGAGCCUCGGUGAGGUGGACCGAAUCACGUCGCGAUUCGAAUGGCAAGUGGGCCGAGCCAUGGAGAAGUUUUGAUGGGCCGAACCUAGGCCUUGAAAGACGAAGCCCAUAGAAACCCUAGGUGAAAUACAAAGGCGGUGAGCCGCACGAGGCGAUAAAGAAAUAUUCCGAAAAUCUCUCCCGAAAUUCUCGGCUAGGCGGUUCAGAGAAUUAGUAUAAAUAGACGAUGUAUACAAUUCAUUCUGUAACUUUUGCAACCCUAAGCAAUAAGAGCUAAACACUUUUACAGCAAGAAAAACUUUCUUUCGAUCUUACUGUUCUUGACGAUAAACCCUAGAAGUUUUCGAUCCCUUAGUUUUCCUUAAACAAAUUUCUGGUUGUGCGAGUUUUGGCUCACACAGUGACCACUAUCUCGACAAGAACUUUCACUUUAACCUUCUCUUCCAAAACUACUUAGCUAUGUGAGAGAAACUAAGGAUACAUUCUCCCUAGUGUCUUGUUUUUUUUUACUUAGUUGGGAAUAUUUGUAAGAAUUCCAACAAAGGAUAAGCUCUUACAUUAGAGAAAAAGCGUUUAGGUUGUUUGUGUUCUCUGUUCCAUUGAAGUAGAAAGUCAAAGUCACUAUCACAUUUUCUUUGCUUUCUCAUCAGAUAUUUGGAGAUCUUUUGCUUCUAAGGUUGCUCAAAUCCACCAUCAAAUUUCUCCACUGUCAUUCUGUGGAUACUUAAGACUUGUCCACUUUCUCUUUGACGAGCAACCAGUAUUUUCAAACUCAUUAUACAAGCAUCAAUUUACCUAAUAUGGAGAAAAAAAGAACUUAAUAACAUUCACGACAAUCUUUACCAAUUACCACCACAGCACCACCCAUUGAUAGAUUCAUAAUUAACUUUUUUAGAAUGCAUUUUAGUCAUUGUUUGGUGUCUCACGCAUGCAUUAUAGAUAUGUUUCUUAGUGUUUUAGCUUUGUUUUAGCUUAAAUAGGAACUUGCAUUAGGUCCAAGUGUGUCUUGGAUAUUUGGAGUGUUAUUAGGUACUUUUUGAGGCUAAAGGAGACAUGGAAACAAUAGGGAUGGAAACCAGUGCAUGACAACCAAAGAAAAUGGUGUAAAUGUUCAAAAAAACUCGGAGAAAUUGUUCAUAUCGAUCAACAUAUCAAGCUAAGUCUGGUUGAUAUGAAUGCGGCGUCGUCUCAAAUAUCGAGCAAAACAGAUGGUUUAAACACCGAUGCAACUUCAGAGAUAUUCUAAAAAGUUGUAGAAAAUUGAAUCACUGUUCCACUGGAGGCAAACUCGAGGUAUUUGUCAGUGGUUCGGGAGAUACAUGGAUUCUCGCAGAACAUAUCUUGACCAAGCAUAUCGACCAAAAUCUGGUUAACAUGAAUAUGGCUUUUCACUCCAAUCAAGAUCCCGACCUGAUACUGCACGACAUGAAAAGGGCAGCAAUCGCUUUUGACGGUUUGUUGGCUCAAAACCCGAUUUGUUCCGGGUUGACCCAAACCAGAAACAGUUAGUAUAUAAGCUUCUUUACACUAAUUUCAUCGGGAAAGCGGCCGAUACGUGCCUCAACCGCAUAUACUGGUACCAUUUCAUGUAUGUACUUUUGUGAUGUGCUUUCACGUUCCUGUACUUCAUAAAUUGUGUAAAUUGAUACCCAAACCGUAAUUUUUUUGGCCAAAACCUACAUUGACUUUUGAUCUGUUAGUCAACCAAAACAGUUAACGGUUGCUGACUCAUCUGCCACGUUGGAACGAACAUUCGUAUAUCACAAAACGACGUCGUUUUGUAAAAUUCUGGAAAAAAAAAGGAAUUUGUACUCACUGAGUGUUUAACCCAACACUUCAAGUAUUUAACAACACCAAAAACCACUAGACCAUUUUGAUUAUAAGCACUUAACCGGGAUGUUAUAUUAUAUAUAGAAACGAAAACCUUUUAUUAGAAAAGAUUUAAUACGACGUCACUUAAUUAUAAAGGGCUUUUUAAAACUUGUAGCCUCGGGUAUUCGAACCCAGCUACUCAAUCACUAAACCAAUGCCGAAACCAAUAGACCAAUUCGAUUAAAUCGAAUUCAAUCGAUAGGUUAUAGUAUAUAUAUACAAACAAAAACCUUUUAUUAGAAAAAAUGAAAACGACGCUAAAGUUAUAAAUGACUUUUAAGAAAUCUCAUCUUCUUCGUCGAGCUUUGUCGAAAAUUUUAAACCCAAAAUCAAUCAAACUUCACUAUAGAAGCAUUGGGCAUACUUGGAUUCGCGGACGAAGCCUUGUGACUCGAUGAUGAUGCCUAAUUUCGAGUUUUUCCCCAAAUUUUAAACACAGAGCUCGACAAAGCUCAACGAAAAAGAUGAGAUUUCUAAAAAAAAUAAUUUAUAACUUAAGCGACGUCGUUUUCUUUUUUUUUCAAUAUAAGAUUUUUUUGUUAUAUAUACUAUAACCUUCCAUAGAACAACAAUUAAACCAAUUGGUCUAGUGGUUUCGGUUUUGGUUUAGUGAUUGAGUGACUGGGUUCGAAAUCCCGAGGCUACAAAUUUUUAUAAAGACGUCGUAUUCAUCAUUUUCUAAUAAAAGGUUUUCAUUUCUAUAUAUAAUAUAACAUCGGCAUAAAAUUUUAUUACUCGAAUUGGUCUAGUGGUAUCGGUUAUGGUUAAAUGCUUGAGGUGUGGGAUUCAACUCCUAGUGGCUAUAUUUUUUUUUCCCAUGAAUUUAACAAAACGACGUCGUUUCGUUAAAGUUUUUUCUCCCAACAAAACGACGUCGUUUCGUUAUAUAUGAAUGUUCAACGUAGCAGAUGAGUCAGCAACCGUUAAAUAUUAAACAGAGUUGACUAACGGAUCAAAAGUCAAUGUAGGUUUUAGCCAAAAAAAUACGAUUCGGAUAUCAAUUUACACAAUUUAUAAAGUACAGGUACGUGUAGGCACAGCACAAAAAUACAGGCAUGAAAUGGUACCAAUACGUGCGGUUGAGGCAUGUAUCAGCCGCUUUCUCCUAAUUUCAUCUCUUAUCCUGUUUUCUCUUUGAAAACCCUUCCUCUUUGAAGAGAUAAUAUCAUUUUACAUAGUUUCCUGUGAUUUGAAUGCAUCUAGUAUCUUUUUAUCUUGAAUCUUUCUUUUUUAGUAUCAUUAAACAUGAACUCUCACACCUUAUCUUCAUAAAUUUUUCUGUGUUUGAUCAUGUUUAGUGAGUAAUCUCUUUUUAAGAUCCAUGGGUGUGAUAGAUUAGAGAAUUUCUGGGUUGAUCUAUGGUGUUUAGGACUUAGUGUCUUCUUCCUUUCUUUUAUUUAGUGUGUUUAAUGCUUGAUUAGACUAAAGAUAGUUAUUCAAAGUUCUUAGGGCAUUUCCCACCUAGAAGAUGUUUGAUGAAAUGCUCCAAAGAACCAAAUGAAGAGUUUUUCUUGCUUAGCCUAUGGGAAUAGAUCUCUAAGGAGUUAAAUGGUUAUUGGAAUCUGUUGUUAAUGCUUUUUGAUCAUUGUUUUUCUAAUAAGAAUUAGAACUUGAUAAUAUUGAUUAGCAAAGUGACUAAGGUCAUGAGAAUGGGUUAAUCUUGCUUAAGUGUACUAGACCCAAGAAAGUAGAGAUUGUCUGAUCUUGCUAUCUUUUUCUGUUUAGGAUUAAACUUCUUAGCUCAUGAGAGUGAUUGUAUAAGAGGUUAACUAAUUAUUGGAUCUUGAAAUUAAUGUUGGUUAAUUAAUCUUUUCACAAAUGAGAGUUUGUUCUUGAUUAGGUAAUUAACAAAUGAAUUAAUACCAUGAGAGUAGAUUAGUCAUAUUCAGUGAUCUAGACCAAAUGUUUAGCAAGUGUCUGAUUGUUUUAACAUCAUAGAUCAUAUAUGGAUUCACCCAAAGUCAAUGAUCUCACCCAAGGAUCCACUUUUCUUGCAUUUCUUUAGUCUUUGUUUAUUUGCUAGUCUUUAGAUUCUCUUGAUUACAUGUUUUCUUGUUUUUUUUUUUUUUCAUUUGAUUAGAUUUUUAGAAUCAUUCAAAUCAUCUUGUUUAGCUUAACUCAAUUAGUUCUAUGCAUUUCUAGUGAUUGAACAAUCCCAAUUGGAUUGAUACCUAAAGUUCUACAGUGACAUGUAACUGGUUUUGAAACAUGAAAAAGUCAUACUAUCAAUUUGGAGUCGUUCCUAUGAGGAUAAGCUUUUAUUUUCACUAUGUUAAUGUAUAUCACUAAGAGCAUGCAUCUCUGUGAGAUGAUGAAUUUUCUCUUUUUUAUUGUUACUGACUUGUCUUCUUUGAUUCUCUUGAGCUUUGAACGGUACUAAAUACACAAGAAGAGCAAUGGAAAGACAAGUUCUCUUGAGGUGUUGGAGAUGGACGGCCAAAAGAGCAUUCUUCAAGCUCCAAAACCUCAAGCCAACAAUUAGAAGCUUUGACACUCCUUGUUGUUGUGGAUUAAAAUAUGGAAUCCACCCUAGGACAUUUCCCAUCCAAAAGGUGUUUGAUGAAAUGUCCCAAAGAACCAAAUGAAGAAUUUUUCUUGCUUAGCCUAUGGAAAUAGAUGUCUAAAAAAAUAAAUGGUUACUGGGAGCUGUUGUUAAUGCUAAUUGAUCAUUGUUUCACUAAUGAGAAUUAGAUCUUGAUAACAUUGAUUAGCAAAAUGAUUAAAGUCAUGAGAAUGGGUUAAUCUUGCUUAAGUGUUCAAGACCCAAGAAAAUAGAGAUUUUCUGAUCUUGAUAUAUUCUUCUGUUUAAGAUUCACUUUCUUAGUUCAUGAAAGUGAUUUUUUAAAGAGGUUAAUUAGUUAUUGGAUCUUGAAAUUAAUGUUUGUUAAUUAACCCUUUCAGAAAUAAGAAAUUUUCCUUGAUUAGGUAAUUAACAAAUGGAUUAAUACCAUAAGAGUGGAUUAGUCUUAUUCAGUGAUCUAGACCAAAGGUUUUGCAAGUGUCUGAUUGUUUUAACAUCAUAGAUCAUAUAUGGAUUCACCUAAAGUCAAUGAUCUCACCCAAGGAUCAACUUUUCUUGCAUUUCUUUAGUGUUUAAUUAUUUGCUAGUCUUUAGAUUCUCUAAAUUACAUGUUUUCUUGUUUGUUUUGUUUUCAUUUAAUUAGACUGUUAGAAUCAUUCAAAUAAUCUUGUUUAGGUUGACUCAAUUAGUUUGAUGCAUUUCUAGUGACUGAAUCAUCCCAAUUGGAUUGAUACCUAAAGUUCUACAAUGAGUGGACUUCAGUAAUUGGUUUAGAAACUGAAAAAGUCAUCCAUCACCCAUCGAUGGAUUCAAGCUUUUCAUAUCUUUGUUGUAAGAAAAUCUUCAACUUAAUUUUUUCUACCCAUUUUAAAUCCUUAAUUGUUAUCUGUAUAGUUAGUUUACACCAUAUAUAAAACAACACUAAACGAAAAUUGGAACGUCGUUUGAAUCCCGUUAACAAACUAACAACAGUAACACGUCGUGGUUAAACAAUAGUUAACAUAAAACUCGAUAUAAACUAAAUCCCGACAAAAUUGAAGCAAAAUUCUCAAAUCAAAUUGAAGUAAAAUAAUCACACGGAUAAUAAUUGAGGAUUGAUAACACCGGAUUUUGACCAUUUUUAUGGAUCACUUUAAUAUCUUUUACAGGUGUUUUUACUCCAUUUUCAAAGGUUUUCAAAGGAUUUCUAUGUUUCCGAAUUUUAAAAGACUUUUCAGGUAAUUUGGGAUAAAGAGGCACAAAUUGGAACAAAAAGAAUCUUUUGGAUAAAUGCAGACCGUCAUAACUCUCAUGGAGAGACGAAGACCUUCUCACCGUCUGAUCACCCUAAAAAUUGGUCAACUUAUAGAAGAAUCAACCAGCUUUCAAAUGCACUUGGUUUGGAGACAUUCCAACGGUUGGAUCUCAAGAUAUUCCAUUAGCCCCUGAGCCACUCGAAUACGGCCAGCAAGUCACGCGACCGUGGCCAACAGCCUAUUUCCCGCGGUCAGAAGCCUCCCGACCGCGGCCAACCACUAAAUCCCCGCGGUCACGUCACUCCCGAUCGCGGCCAUCAAGCUCCGAACUAAAGCCCAUAUUUCUGAAGCCCAAAGUCAUUCUCAGCCUCAGUUCCGGAACCCUAGAGACCAUGGAGUAUUGAAGACUAUAAAUACUUGUCAUUUAGGUCGUUUUUAGAGAAAACCCUUCAUACUUUACAAAAACCCUUUUCCUUUAGCCGUUUUUAUGCAAUUUUUUAGAAGAUUAUUCAAGUCCGAGUUCUUCAAUAGAGAAGCUUUCUUCAUCUCUUUUCUUUACUGUUUUUCAUUACUUUUAUUAAAACCAAUGAUGAUGUCGACCUCAGCCAUGUCUGAGUAGUUCCCGAGUUGAGUUUAGGGUUCCCGAAAGGGGCUCUCAUAAUCGAUUAAGACAUCUAGGUCUAUAGAUCUGGGAUUUCGACUUGUUCUCUGUUUAUUCUUGUUCUUAAUGCAUGUAUGCUUGAUUGAUCACCUAGUAUCUGAUCUAGAUAGUUAGUGUUGCGAAAGUUUUCAUUAAGUAUCAGCCCUAGAAUGAAACAGGCAAUUUUUCCGUAGGAGUGGAAAUCUACCUGCAGCGAGAUCGUGAGUAUUGACGAGUCUUGUGCAGCUCUUGCGUUCUCUCCCUUCCAGGGCCAGAGUGGAAACCUACUGGUCAGAGUUGCGAGAAACAGUUGGUUAUGAUCACGACAGUGACGUAGUCAUACCGCCGUACUCUAGCUCUAGAACCCUAUAUAUCGAUAUCCGUCAAUCCCAAUCUAUCUACCCUAGUGUUAAAACCGAUUAUGAUCCCCUAGAGUUCCCAAAAGCUCAGCGUUUUUAGUCAUAGUUUACCAACCAAUCGAUUUUUACUUGCUUAUUUAGAUCUGCAUUUUAAAUUACUUUAGUUCGAUAUUUUACUCGCUUUACUUGCUUUCCAUUCGAUUUUUCUACUUGCUUUCUAGGAUAGAUUUAUUUGAUUUCUUUUGUUUUAGUUUAAUUUGUGACAAACAACCAACCUUUAAAAACCAAUCUAGUCUAGACAUAAAGUUAAAAACCGUAGAAGAAUACCAGGCACACAAAUCUCUGUGGAUUCGAUCCCUAAAUACUACAACUGAUUAGCUGUGCACUUGCGGCUUUCAUUUGUUUUGUUAAGGGUAAAACUUGUUCCCUCACGCAGUUGACACGACAUCAAGUUUUUGGCGCCGUUGCCGGGGAUUUGUUUCGCUGCCUUUUGCUAUUUUUCUUGUUUUAACUUCUGUUCUAGACACCUGAUCUCUAGUUCUUUCUUAAAGUUUUGCUGAAUUAUCUUUGCCUUCUUUGGUUUUUCUCUGAAUUGCAUGAAUACCAGGCGCAGACCUGUAGAAAACAUUCCAAUUCUAGACAAGAUAGACAGACACGAAAGAGAACUUCGAAGACUUAGACAAACACAAGGAAUGGCCAACGACGACCAGCCUGGAGAUCCUAUUAACUGAGCUUUAAAUAUGGACCAAGACGGGUCCGAACAUGGAGAAAAUGAAGAGAAUGAUCACAGAAGAGGUGAUCAUGCUCGACAAGAUGGAGAGGAGGAUGAGGUUCCUCCAAGAAACCACCAGAACCACGAGAGAGAAGAACGUGAAGACCUUGAUGCACCCAUCAAUGCAGCCGAUGGUGACCAACAAGGAAUGCAGCCGAAUGGGCGCGUUAACCGCCCUAUACAGCCAGCAAAUCAACACCGAAGACAAGCCAGAAACCAUCGCAUAUCCGAUUUUGAUGCACCUACUCAAAAUUUUUAGAACCGAUCUGCAAUUCAAGUUCCAUUUCCGAACCGGAAUGAGUUUGAAGUCAAGCCUCAAAUCAUCUCAUUGGUGAAGCAAAACCAAUUCCAUGGAGUUCCUUCUGAACACCCAAUGGACCAUAUCGAGCUCUUUGAAGAAAUCUGCAGCAUGAUGAGAACAAACCAAGUUCCACCAGACUAUUUAAAGUGUAAGUUGUUCCCUUUUUCAUUAGCAGAUAAAGCUCAUUGUUGGUUGAAAUCUUUGCCUGCAGGAUCGAUCACUAAUUGGGAAGAAUGUAAAACUGCUUUCUUGAACCACUUCUAUACUAAGUCAAGGUCGAAUCAGUUGAGAACAAAGAUCUCAAACUUUCAACAAGGGCCAACUGAAUCUUUCUAUGAAGCCUGGGAACGUUUUAAGGAGUAUGAACGUGAUUGCCCUCACCAUGGAUUUCAUGGAUCAAGCCUGCUGAGCACAUUUUACCGAGGUUUGCAACCAAAAUACAAACUUUCACUUGAUACAGCUAGCAAUGGAGAUUUUGGACAAAAGACGAUAGCCCAAGGAAGAGCCCUCAUCGAAAAUUUGGCUCAAGCCAAUAGCAAUGAUUGUCCUGAAUACGAUCGAUCGACGAAGCAAACCGGUACAGACAACAAGGAGAUAACCGAGUUGAAGAACAUGAUGAGCCAGCUUAUGAAGAGCAACAAUCGCCCAAUCCAUGCUUGUGAGACCAACAAUGGCGCAGAAGAUGAAGGACCUAGUGAUAUUGAUCACAUUAAUCAAGCCUUUCAAGAAGAAGAUGAGCACUAGUACCAUAUCAAAAUCGCUUCAACAAUGGCUUCAACAACAACUUCCGGAAUGCAAAGUACAACAAUCUCUCUUACCGCAAUCCAAAUGUGGAGAAUCCUCAAGAUCAGUACUACCCACCUCAGCAAAAAUCCUUCCAAAACAAGUUUCAAGGUGGAAAAUUCGGAGGAACAAGACCAUAUCAACCGCGACAGCCAUAUAACUACCAAGGUACGGGUUUUAACAAUCAAUUUGUACAACAGCAGGGAGUCACGACAAACCAGCUAGCUUCACAAAUUGGUAGACUUGAACAGUCCAUCCAACAGCUCGUUAUGACGAACGAAAAAGCAUCUAAAGACGUGAACGUGAAAGUUGACUGCAUGUACAAUGAUCUGAACGGGAAGUUUGAAGCUUUAUCUUCGCACGUCAAAAAGCUAGACGUGCAAGUCGCCCAAACAGCCGACUCUAUGAAGAGGCAAAGUGGAGUUCUUCCAGGAAGAGUUGAAGAUAAUCCUAAGAGGUUUUGCAACGCCAUAACCACAUUGCCAGAAGAAGAGGCCUGAACCGAUGGAAAGAAAGAAGAAACCCCAAUCUUUGUACCACUGUACAAAGAUGUCGAUGCCAAGCAACCACCAUUUAAGGUACCUGAACGAUCAUCGUUUCAAAGGCUUACAAAAGCCGACGAUCCGAGACGUUUUGUUUUUCAAUGUUUCAUUUCAGGAAUCAAGUUUACAGACUGCUUGUGCGAUUCCAGAGCCAAUGUCAACAUUAUGUCUAAGAAAUUUUCCGAGAAAUUGGGCAUAAAAACCUUAAGGACAUCGACGGUUAAGGUUAUUUUUGGAGAUUCAUCUCAAAAUGAUACUGAAGGGGCGAUUCAUGAUCUACAAGUUCUAGUGGGAGACAAGAUUGUUCCAGCAGAUUUCUAAGUCCUGGAGAUGGAUAAAGACAAGGAGAGGCCACUUAUUUUCGGGAGACCAUUCCUAGCUACCGUAGGAGCAGUAAUCGAUCACGCAAACCGGCAUGCUGUUUUCCUCAAUGUGAUUUAAGUCUGGGGGAGGAUAUCUAUCCGUACUAAUCAUUUUCUUGCUUUUGCUUUUAAAUUUCAAGUAUUUUUUAAAUUUUAAUAUGUAACCUAUUCGACAUUAAGUAUUUUUCAGGAAUGUUUGACGCAAAACUAUGAUGAAUUAGACCUGCACACUUCUACACUAUGCAUGAUAGCUCAUUUGUGGUUAGCACUAUACUAGGCGUUAGCUAGGUUACUUGCACUACGAACUCCCACCAGAAGACUUCUAUUCAUGGAGAUUCUUUCUUACAGGAUAUACUAGCUCAUUUUAUUUGACCUUAAUAUUGACAUCUAAUUUUCUCAUCAUUUAUUUUAGGCAGGCAUCGAUAUACACAUCUUGGACGUCUUUUACCUUCACUUUUACCACUAUUUGUCGUCCUAGAUGACCACUUUAUCUUUAUCUGGUACCAUACCCUAAACCCAGAACCCUUGUUUUCAAUCCUCAUGCAUUCUCUCUCUAGUUUAUAUCAGCAGAUAUGUGCAAAAACGUCGGAGAGAAGAGGAGCGACGCAGUUUUCAGUCACUCGCAAAGGAGACUGAAUAGAAUUGGGAAGGAAGAGUAUCAGAAACCUCAUAAAGCUUUACAAGACAGAUAUUAACUGGUAAUUUCGUGCUCUCUAAGACUCUAUAUCUAAAGGUGUUCCCUUUCAUCUAAAAAAAAAAAAACCAAUAAAAAGAGAGAGGGAAACAAAAAGCCUAAUAAGUUUUAGAUUGUCGAAAUUUGUGGAACAAUAAGCAACCACUAUUCGUUUAAGGAGCUAUGGUUUUGAAAGAUUUACAAAAAUCUAAGUCUGGGGGAGUUAGGAGAGAACCUGAGGAAGAAGACCAGGAAUCUAUGGCAAGAAGAAAGUGACUGAAAACUGUGGAUACCAACAGCUUCACUCUCUCUUGCGGUUUUGCAUAAUAUCCUGCAUCCUCCAGAUCUUCAGGUAACCCGUAAACACUUUAAGCCUUACCCCUAGAAUAAUCCUUUUUGACACCUAGCCUAGAUUGCCUUACCUAGACUUUCUUUGAUGAGAACCACCGAGAUUUUUAAUGAAUGUUAAGAGCUAGUUGACUGGAAGUUAGAUCUUAGUGCAUAGAUUUCCGCAUGACGGAUUAACGGACUAGUUAUGCCUGUAUUGCUAGUGAGAAUUUUCUAGGCUAUUCCCGAUUGAUGCAUACUAAUUGAUAUUGGUCUAGAAGUUUGGUCUCUGAGAUUUUGUUUAGUUCUUGCGUUUUCAAACCUCUCACCGAGAUUUAGCCUUUGUUUUGUUUGAGGACAAACAAAAGACUAAGUCUGGGGGAGUUGAUAACACCGGAUUUUGACCAUUUUUAUAGAUCACUUUAAUAUCUUUUACAGGUGUUUUUACUCCAUUUUCAAAGGUUUUCAAAAUAUUUUUAUGUUUCCGGAUUUUAAAAGACUUUUCAGGUAAUUUGGGAUAAAGAGGCACAAAUUGGAACAAAAAGACUCUUUUGGAUAAAUGCAGACCGUCAGAACUCUCAUGGAGAGACGAAGACCUUCUCACCGUCUGAUCACCCUCAAAAUUGGACAACUUAUAGAAGAAUCAACCAGCUUUCAAAUUCACUUGGUUUGGAGACAUUCCAACGGUUGGAUCUCAAGAUAUUCCAUUUGCCCCGGAGCCACUCGAAGACGGCCAGCAAGUCACGCGACCGCGGCCAACAGCCUAUUUCCCGCGGUCAGAAGCUUCCCGACCGCGGCCAACCACUAAAUCCCCGCGGUCACGUCACUCCCGACCGCGGCCAUCAAGCUCCGAACUAAAGCCCAUAUUUCUGAAGCCCAAAGUCAUUCUCAGCCUCAGUUCCGGAACCCUAGAGACCAUGGAGUAUUGAAGACUAUAAAUACUUGUCAUUUAGGUCGUUUUUAGAGAGAACCCUUCAUACUUUACAAAAACCCUUUUCCUUUAGCCGUUUUUAUGCGAUUUUCGUAGAAGAUUAUUCAAGUCCGAGUUCUUUAAUAGAGAAGCUUUCUUCAUCUCUUUUCUUUACUGUUUUUCAUUACUUUUAUUAAAACCAAUGAUGAUGUCGACCUCAGCCAUGUCUGGGUAGAUCUCGAGUUGGGUUUAGGGUUCCCGAAAGGGGCUCUCAUAAUCGAUUAAGACAUCUAGGUUUAUAGAUCUGGGAUUUUGACUUGUUCUCUGUUUAUUGUUGUUCUUAUUGCAUGUAUGCUUGAUUGAUCACCUAGUAUCUGAUCUAGAUAGUUAGUGUUGCGAAAGUUUUCAUUAAGUAUCAGCCCUAGAAUGAAACAUGCGAUUUUUCCGUAGGAGUGGAAACCUACCUGCGACGAGAUCGUGAGUAUUGACGAGUCUUGUGCAGCUCUUGCGUUCUCUCCCUUCCAGGGCCAGAGUGGAAACCUACUGGUCAGGGUUGCGAGAAACAGUUGGUUAUGAUAACGACAGUGACGUAGUCAUACCGCCGUAUCUAGCUCUAGAACCCUAUAUAUCGAUAUCCGUCAAUCCCAAUCUAUCUACCCUAGUGUUAAAACCGAUUAUGAUCCCUUAGAGUUCCCAAAAGCUCAGCGUUUUUAGUCAUAGUUUACCAACCAAUCAAUUUUUACUUGCUUAUUUAGAUCUGCAUUUUAAAUUACUUUAGUUUGAUAUUUUACUCGCUUUACUUGCUUUCCAUUCGAUUUUUCUACUUGCUUUCUAGGAUAGAUUUAUUUGCUUUCUUUUGUUUUAGUUUAAUUCGUGACAAACAACCAACCUUUAAAAACCAAUCUAGUCUAGACAUAAAGUUAAAAACCGUAAAAGAAUACCAGGCACACAAAUCUCUAUUCGAUCCCUAAAUACUACAACUGAUUAGCUGUGCACUUGCGGCUUUCAUUUGUUUUGUUAAGCGUAAAACUUGUUCCCUCACGCAGUUGAUACGACAUCAAAGAUUUAAAAUGAAUAGAAAAAGUACUUGAAGUUUUUUUCUGGGCACAUAAAAAGUUGAGGAAUUAAAAAGCUCAAUGAAAUUAAGUUGAAGAUUUUAUAUGGAAUGUAAAUCUUAACAUUUUAAAAAGUUAGAUAUAAUAUAAAUACUAAUUUGGAUAGUAAAUUGUAAUUUUUUUUAAAAAAAUUGAACAAUCGUAUUAAAACGAAGCCCAACAAAAGUAAAGCGAAUGUACAAUAUAGAUCCAAGGAGGCCCAAUUAAGCAGUUACAACAAAAAAACACGUGCAUAGACACUCGUAAAACAAUACACAUCCUUUAAACAAGUGUUAACAUGAGGAUCCUGCCAUGCAUCGCUGCUCCAGUUUUGCUGUGCACCGGAUUUUCACUGCUGGCAACACUCUGACCUUCCCCAUGAUGCUUCAUGUAUGUACCUUUACAAGAUCUUCCACAUGGAUUCCCAAAGAGGAUAACUGGUACCUCGAUUAAGAUCGGAAUUAACAUUAGAAAACAUUGGUCGUUGCCUAAACACACCGAACAAAUCCCCAUCAACUCGUGAUCUCUCUAGAGAAGGAAAGCUUCUCUUUCAAGCCGAGAUUUACAUCGAUAAAAAAAGACUGAUUUCCUUAAUGAUUGAAAACUCAGACAUAACCGAUGAAAAUCAAAUCUGAAUAAACUUUUUAGAAUUUGAAAAUAAAAACAUAUAGAAGAUUGAGAUCCGCACACGGCAGAAUUUAUUAUCCGAUAAAGUUGGAGAUCAUUGUUCGAUAAAACAAAAGAAAAAGUCUGAUGUUAAGCGAAAUUUACAUAAAAAACGAGAGAAAAAUUCUCUCUGCCUGAAAAAUUGAGAUGAGAAAAGAGUGAAAGGAAAAAAAACUCUUUAAAACUAUAAAAAUUUGAAAUUGUAUAAAUCUUAAUAUUUUAAAAAAGAAUUAAAAAAUAUGUAUUUAUUAUUUUUAAUAUGUAUACAAAUCUUAAAUAUCAUUCUAAUAAUUUAUUAGUAUUCAAAGCCUCUGAGUGGCCAAGAGUUUCUUGUUCCAACCCAAAUCGGCAAAUCCCAUCACGAACCGAAUACAGUAUAGGCCAAAAUCGAGGAGGAACCAGAGAAGAAUCGCAGAUUUGCGCAUCGAGGGCAGAGAUGCUUCAGUGUAUAUUUCUCCUCUCCGAUUCUGGGUAACUGAUCUUCAACCUUUUUCUUUUCAGAUCGACAUCAAUCAGUCUGAAAUUCGACUCAAACUCAUCUGCUGUUGUUAUUCGUUUUUUGUGCUCACAGAGAGGUAAUGCUGGAGAAGCAGCUUACGGGUCACCGUGUAGAUCGAUCCAUAUGUGCUUGGUUCUGGGAUCAAUCUAUUUCUCAAGGCGAUUCCUUUAAGGUAUAUAUUUUCAUAACUUCUGUUUUGAUUUGUCAAAGUUUCAAUCUUUCCUCAUCAUGGUCUUAGUUUGGUCGGAGUUGCAAUCUUUUUGCUCUUAAUUCAACUUCAUUUUAGUAUGUGUCUUUGUAUGCUUUGUUUUUGGAUAGUCACUUCCUGUGAUUGCUUCACCAACACAUUACCUUUUUCAAAUCGUUCGCGAUGGCAUCACGUUCUUAGCUUGCAGUCAAGUUGAAAUGCCACCGUUGAUGGCAAUCGAGGUGAAUCUUUUUCUCUGCUUUGUAGAUUACAACGUGUGGAAUGUAAUUUAGUGGCGUGUUUGUAACCAUGUGAAGUUUUAGUUCCUUUGGAGAGUUGCUGAUGUUCUGUCUGAUUACCUUGGUGGACUAAACGAAGAUCUCGUUAAGGAUAAUUUCAUCAUUGUCUAUGAGGUAUCUUUUCUUAAAAAAUUGCAUUUUUUUUUCUUCUUUUUUGUUAACUGAAACUAUAGUGGCUAUUAUGGUUUCUGCACUUUACCAGUCUAGCUCCUAUGUGAUGUGUUGUUUGUCUUGUGGCUCAGUUGUUACUUCGAUUUACCUUUUGUGCGCAUACUUUGACCAAUGAAAUAAGAAGAAGACAUUUUGGGAUGAAUUUACUGCGUUUGGUCGAGUGUGGAUUCCAUUUAAACUAGAGAAUACUGGAACUAUGUCAACCAUUGUGGUUUUUGCAUUUCAUCAGUCUAGCUACUCUGAGUGCCAUGUUUCUGUUGUGGCCCAUUUGCUAAUUUACCAUUUGUGCGCAUUUUUUAGAGGGUAUAAUCAACUCUUUAGUCGUGGAUUCCUUCUAUUUGAUCUGGUGAAUAUAUGUUAAUUCUAAAGGUUUGUAUUGCUUUUGGCAAAGUAGACAAUGUUUACAUUUUCACAUUAUGAGUCAUUAAAGGCAAAGUGCUUCGAAUUUGUUGUGGUUAAGAUAAUCUCCUUACUGUGUUGGAUUAUCUUUAUUAUCCUGUUUAGUUGCUUCAUUGGUUUGCAUUAACUGAGAUUUUAAUAGCUUCCUUUUGUAUGUUAAAGUUUACUUUUUGCUAUGGCCUCACCCUUUUUCUUUAACUAAGAUGAUCAAACUGGUGACUUGUAGCUUUUGGAUGAGAUGAUCGAUAAUGGUUUCCCUCUCACAACAGAACCGAGCAUCCUGAGGGAAAUGAUAGCUCCACCUAAUCUAGUCAGCAAAAUGUUGAGUGUUGUAACGGGAAAUGCUUCCAACGUUAGUGAUACGCUCCCGAGUGGGACUGGAUCUUGUGUUCCAUGGCGACCAACAGAUCCAAAGUACUCUAGCAACGAAGUCUAUGUCGACCUCGUUGAAGAAAUGGAUGCAAUUGUAAACAGGUUUGUACCUGAAGAAAAUAUUCAUUUAACCUUCAAGACUCUUAUCAUUCAAAAUUUAAUUUUGUAAAGCACUGAUUCAGGGAUGCAGAAUUGGUAAAAUGCGAGAUUUAUGGCGAAGUCCAAAUGAGUUCACAGCUCACUGGUUUUCCAGAUCUGACAUUGUCGUUUGCAAAUCCGUCGGUCCUAGAAGACAUGAGGUUUCACCCGUGUGUACGCUUCAGACCAUGGGAAUCUCAUCAAGUUCUCUCCUUUGUCCCUCCAGAUGGACAAUUCAAGCUCAUGAGUUACAGGUUCGUUGUUUCACAUACAAAGAUUUAUUCUUACACACCUUAACUUCUUAGUUUCUAAUGUGACAAUGUCUUGGUUUCUCUGAUGGGCAAUUUAGGGUGAAGAAGCUGAAGAACACACCUUUAUAUGUAAAGCCUCAAAUAACAUCAGACUCUGGUAUAUGUCGAGUUAGUGUGUUAGUGGGGAUCAGAAGCGACCCGGGAAAGACAAUCGAGUCGAUAACAUUGAGUUUCCAGCUUCCUCAUUGUGUUUCAUCUGCAGAUCUCUCAUCAAAUCAUGGAACUAUAACCAUCCUAUCUAACAUGGUACUGCCUUUUGCUCUGAGUACAGCUUCUUGACUUUGGAAACUUUCCUUCUUGAUUUGAGAACUAUGUUUUGCAGACAUGUACAUGGACAAUCGGGCGAAUCCCAAAAGACAAGACUCCAUGUUUAUCGGGGACACUAGCGCUGGAAACGGGUUUAGAACGGCUUCAUGUGUUUCCGACAUUCAAACUCGGGUUCAAGAUAAUGGGCAUUGCUCUCUCUGGUCUAAGAAUCGAGAAACUUGAUCUUAAAACUCUCCCUCCUCGUUUGUACAAAGGGUUUCGUGCUCAGACACGCGCUGGAGAGUUCGACGUUAGAUUGUAGUUUUCUGGUACGGUUUGCCUUUCGGGUUAAACUCUUCAGACUUUUGUGCUCCUGUUAAUUGAAUUGUUUUUUGUUUUUGGUUAAACCAGACAAAAUCUAUAUUUGGUAUGGCUAUUGUAACUAUUUUACGAAAUACAAUUUUGAUUCUUAAUAUUACGAAAUUACGAAAGAGGGAGAAUAAGAGUUUGAGAAGAAAGUUUUUCAAGAAGAUAUCAAAAAGUGAAGACUAUACAAUUCUUAUAUAAAGUUAACCGGAUUGUGCAAAACCAGCUAAACAAAAUGUAACCAUCCCACAUUCUACAACAGAAAUGAAGUGGUUUCACGGGUUGAAAUCGAAGAAUGGAAUAAGUGGAUGAGGAUUUGUUCUAUGGAUCAAAAAGAUCGAAUUUCACCAUCCCACUCCCAGCAUUGUAGAUCUUGUUGGGAAUGUACUAAAAUCAUCCGUACUUUUCUAGUCGUAACGUCAAGGUUUGACAAUCGUAUAAUAUUAGGUGAUUAUAAUGUUUUGCUAGAAGCCGCUUGUAAUCUACGGAUUGUGAAUCUGUUACUAAUGUUAUACGAUCCUACAGGGUCACACACCUAAGCAACUAGAUCGACUAUAUGUUGGGUUUCGAAAUGUAAUAAUGUAUAUAUAAGUUAUAUAAGAUAUAACUUAACAUUUAUACAAAGAACAAAUAAAGAAAAAUUUAAUAUAUGUAUGUCGUAUAUAUGUGAUAUAGACAUAUAUAGAGAUACACGUUAUUGAGAAGUUAAGUUAUUGGGUUUGGCCCAUUAAUUAAGUGUAUUAGGUCAAACGUGUAAUCAUUAUAUAAUGAGAAAACGUGGCCUUAGUUAAACAUCCCUUCCUGCGAUAAAACCCUAAAUAUAAUUAAGAGGCAAAACUGUUUUGUCAAGAUCUAUACGGCACUAGCAUCUCGUCCUGAUCUAGUUUGUGUGCGUGUGGAUACCGGUAGAGGCACGACGUUUGGAGUGCUAUACAACCUUAUUUUCUGUUCAUCUUUCCGCUGCAGGUAUAUACUAAAUCUGAUGACCUAGAUUCAAUUUAGUAUUUACUUAAGAUCUUGGAAAUUGAAUUCAUAAUUAGUUUUAUAAAUCGUUAUAAACUGGUAUGAAUUCCAACAGUGGUAUCAGAGCGAACUUGCUUAAUACUGAUUUUGAAUCUGGCAUAUAUAUGAGAUAUACAUGUUAAUUUGAUUGGUUUAAACAUGUUUGAUUUUAUGAAAUUUAAUGAAACAUGUUUGUGUGAAUAUUGAUUUGAUUAAACCAUGAGUUUUAUGAUUUUAAUUUGUCGAAUCUCUGACAUAUAAUAAUUCUGAUAGUUAUAAUUUGAUUAGUAAUUCACAGAAUUUAUAUGUUCGCGUGAUAGUGCUUGUCAUAAUCGAUAUAUGUACAAAAUCGUUACUAUAGUAAUCGGAGACAUACGUAUUUGUCAUUUAGUAACAUGUGAACGCCAUAGAUAUAAAGUUUGUGCAUAUAUUGGAUUUGAACGUAGCACGUAUUAUGGUAAUACAUGACUGCUUGAUUUUUAAAUAAAUAAUAUAUAUGCAUCUUGUAUCGUGUGAGUGAAUUAGUAUGGGUGCUGUUCCUCGUGCGUUCGACCGAGUAUAAGAAUUCUUACUUUGAUACGAGUUCUAAUUUUAAAUCUUUUAGUUCAAGUUCUAAUACGAUUAGGGUUUUGGAAUCUAUUAAGAUUAUUUAUAUAAUAAUUUAUAGUUUUAAUUAGAUUAAAAUUAAUCUAAAUUAUUUACAAUCCAAUAGAAAUACAUAUAUGAUAUGUAUAGAUAUUUUAUAUUAGAUAAAAUUUAAAUAUAACUACUAAAUUGGAUUAAAAUUAAUUCCUCAAUAAUCUCAAGUAUUUUUGAUGUCUAUCCAAUCUUUCAACUAUCAAAGCUUGUUUCGUUGCUUGAUGGGCUUGCCAAGCAAGGCAUCUACAACUACAUAAGUGAGAUAGAUGGUAAUGGUUACCAUAUGAAAUAAGAUUGGUUUACUUGACUAAGUUAUCAAAUUGGUUUUGGACUUAGAGGCAUAGGUUGGAUAAGACAUAAGAUGUCGUCUAACAACCAAGAGUUAUAUAGGAUAUAAUUAGCAAAGGUGUUGCUUACCUAAAUAACUAGACAUUCGGGCGAUGAGCCAAAGCUCACUUGAAUUCUAGUGAUAUAUGGAUCUUGGAUCAUUAUAUUCAUUUUUGAGGAAAAUUUUGUUUUGAAUAUAAUGUGAGUUUUCUUAAUUGUUGAGAUUUCUGAAAUACCUGAACAUCAUAUUAACAUUUCCUAUUAUUUUGAUCCAGCUAUGUCGAACCCUCACAGCUCAUUUUCGCUGCGAUCUGUCCUUGAGAAGGACAAGCUGAAUGGAUCGAACUUCCUCGAAUGGUAUCAAAAUCUGAGAAUUGUUCUCAAACAGGAGAAAAAGGAAUACGUCUUGGAGAAGAGUCUUCCUCCUGAAAAACCUAAGUCCAAUGCUCCACAUGCAGAGAGGAAUACAUAUGAAAAGCAUGCCAGUGAUAUGGUCGAUGUGUGUUGUCUCAUGUUGGCUACCAUGAACUCAGAUUUGCAGAAGCAAUAUGAGAACGUGGAAUCGCCAAUUGACAUGAUCACCAUCCUGAAAGGAAUGUUUCAGGAGCAAGCACGAACUGAGAGAUACCAGACGGUUAAAGCUCUCAUUGACUGCAAGCUGCCUAAAGACAGUCCAGUUAGCCCACAUGUCAUUAAGAUGAUAGGUUAUAUUGAUAACUUGGCAAAAUUGGACUGUCCUAUCAGCCAAGAGUUGGCCACUGACCUCAUUCUUCAGUCACUGCCAUCAAGUUAUGAUCAGUUUGUUAUGAACUACAACAUGCAUAAUUUGACAAAGACUUUGACUGAGCUGCAUGGAAUGCUCAGAUCUGCUGAACCAAACAUCAAGAAGGGCACCCCUAACGUCCUUAUGGUACAAGGGGGUAAAAAGUUUAAGAAACUUGGUAAGAACAAAGGAAAUGGUAAGACAAGCCAGAUUGAGAAUCCAAGCAAGUCAGACCCUGCUCCUAAGAUCAAGCCUGGUCCUUCUGGUGAAGAUAAGUGCCAUUACUGUAAUGGUUCUGGACAUUGGAAGAGAAACUGCAAGAAAUACUUUGAAGAUCUGAAAAAGAAGAAGAAGACUUUUGAGACUUCUUCUCCAGGUAUUUAUGUUAUAGAAGUAAAUGUUGCUACUUCUAGUUCUACCUCUUGGGUAUUGGAUACCGGUUGUGGUGCUCAUAGUUGUGUUAAUAUGCAGGGCCUAAGCAACAGUAGAACUUUGGAGAAAGGACAAGUGGACCUGCGAGUUGGAAAUGGAGCAAGAGUUGCUGCAUUAGCUGUAGGAACAUUUAAUUUGUCUCUGCCUUCAGGCAUGGUUUUAGAACUUAAAAAUUGCUACUAUGUACCUGCUAUAAGCAGGAAUAUUAUUUAUAUUUCUUGUUUGGAUUUGGAAGGAUUUCAUUUUUCGAUUAAAGACAAGUGUUGCUCAUUUGAUCGUGGUGAUAUUUUUUAUGGUAGCGGUCCAUUAGAGAAUGGUCUUUAUGUUUUGAACCAAAGUAUGCAUGUCUAUAACAUUAGUACCAAGAGAUUUAAGUCAAAUGACUCAAAUCCAACUUUCCUUUGGCAUUGUCGCUUGGGCCACAUAAAUGAGAAACGCAUUCAAAAGCUUCAUAGUGAUGGACUAUUGAAAUCAUUUGAUUUUGAAUCUUAUGAAAAAUGUGAAUCUUGUUUGUUGGGAAAAAUGACUAAAGCUCCUUUUACUGGACACAGCGAAAGGGCUAACGAUUUGUUGGGCCUAAUACAUACUGAUGUAUGUGGACCAAUGAGUAUAAAUGCCAGAGGAAACUAUCAGUACUUCAUUACAUUUACUGAUGAUUUCAGUAGAUAUGGUUAUGUUUAUCUAAUGAAGCAUAAGUCUGAAUCUUUUGAAAAGUUCAAAGAAUUUCAGAAUGAAGUACAAAACCAACUUGGCAAAAGAAUCAAAUCCCUUCGAUCAGAUCGAGGAGGUGAAUACUUAAGCCAAAGUUUUAUUGAUCAUCUGAGAGAAUGUGGAAUUGUUUCACAGCUCACUCCUCCAGGAACGCCACAAUGGAAUGGUGUGUCUGAGAGAAGAAAUCGAACUUUAUUGGAUAUGGUUCGAUCAAUGAUGAAUUAUACAGAUCUUCUAUUAUCCUUCUGGGGAUAUGCUCUUGAAACGUCUGUGUUUACGCUAAACAGAUGUCCAUCAAAAUCAGUAGAGAAGACACCAUAUGAGAUAUGGACUGGAAAGGUUCCUAAUCUGUCUUUUCUGAAAAUUUGGGGUUGUGAAGCUUAUGUCAAACGUUUGAUUACCGAUAAGCUUGGGCCCAAAUCUGAUAAAUGCUACUUCGUUGGUUAUCCCAAGGAAACCAAAGGUUAUUACUUUUACAACCCUGCUGAGAACAAAGUGUUUGUUGCUCGAAACUGUGUCUUUUUGGAGAGAGAAUUUCUUUCUAAGAGAAAUAGUGGGAGUAAAGUACAACUCGAAGAAGUUCGAGUAACACAGGAGGUUGAUGCAAAUUCUGAGGAAGAACAUCAAUUAGAUUUACGAAGAGUCGUAGAAUCUACACCUGUGGAACCUGAGGUACGUAGGUCCGAGAGGACUCGUCACGAACCUAAUAGAUAUGGGGUUUGGGUGACAGAUGAUCAUGAUCUAUUGAUUAUAGAGAGUGAUGAACCUACGUCUUUCGAAGAAGCAAUGAUGGGCCCUGAUUCCGAAAAAUAGCUACAAGCCGCAAGAUCCGAAAUGGGAUCCAUGUCAGAAAACAAAGUAUGGACUUUGGUGGAUUUACCUGAUGGUGUUAAAGCCAUUGAGUGUAAAUGGGUUUUCAAGAAGAAAACAGACAUGGAUGGUAAUAUAUUGAUAUACAAAGCUAGAUUGGUUGCUAAAGGUUACAAACAAAUUCAUGGUAUAGACUAUGAUGAAACCUAUUCUCUAGUCGCAAUGCUUAAAUCCAUUCGGAUUCUCCUAGCAACUGCCGCUUAUUAUGAUUAUGAGAUAUGGCAAAUGGAUGUGAAAACAGCUUUCCUUAAUGGAAAUAUCGAAGAGGAUGUGUACAUGACACAACCUGAAGGCUUCACAGUUCCUGAGACUGCUAGAAAGGUAUGCAAGCUUCAACGUUCUAUUUAUGGAUUGAAGCAAGCAUCUCGGAGUUGGAAUCUUCGUUUUAAUGAGGCACUCAAAGAGUUUGAUUUUGUUAGAAACGAAGAAGAACCAUGCAUUUACAAGAAGACUAGUGGGAGCGGAGUUGCAUUUCUAGUUUUGUAUGUAGAUGACAUACUUCUCAUUGGAAAUGACAUUCCUUUGCUUCAGUCUGUCAAGACUUGGCUAAGUAGUUGUUUCUCAAUGAAAGACAUGGGAGAAGCUGCUUAUAUUCUUGGAAUACGAAUCUAUAGAGAUAGAUUAAACAAGCUUAUUGGACAAUGUCAAGAUACUUAUAUUGAUAAGAUUUUGCAUAGGUUCAGUAUGCAUGAUUCCAAGAAAGGUUUUCUACCAAUGUCUCAUGGCAUUACUCUCAGCAAGACGCAGUGUUCUUCGACGCAUGAUGAGCGAGAGCGCAUGAGUAUAAUCCCUUAUGCUUCUUCUAUAGGAUCUAUCAUGUAUGCCAUGCUCUGUACUCAUCCAGAUGUUGCAUGUGCUUUAAGCAUGACGAGUAGAUACCAAUCCGAUCCCGGUGAAAGUCACUGGACAGCAGUCAAGAACAUUCUUAAGUAUUUAAGAAAUACUAAAGAUAAAUUCUUGAUUUAUGGAGGAAGUGAUGAGCUUGUUGUGAGUGGUUAUACUGAUGCUAGCUUCCAGACAGAUAAAGAUGAUUUUCGAUCGCAAUCUGGAUUCAUCUUUUGUCUUAAUGGAGGAGCGGUGAGUUGGAAAAGCUCCAAGCAAAGCACCGUAGCAGACUCUACAACCGAAGCUGAAUACAUCGCUGCUUCUGAAGCAGCAAAGGAGGCUGUUUGGAUUAGGAAGUUCAUUACUGAACUAGGUGUGGUUCCUAGCAUAUCUGGUCCAGUGGAUCUCUAUUGUGAUAAUAAUGGAGCCAUCGCACAGGCGAAAGAACCUAGAUCACACCAGAAAUCCAAACACAUAGAAAGACGAUAUCAUCUCAUUCGUGAUAUUGUUGAUAGAGGAGAUGUUAAGAUUAGCAGAGUCUCAACGGAUGCAAAUGUUGCUGAUCCUUUGACGAAGCAUCUUCUCCGGCCUAAGCAUGAGAGCCAUACAGCUGCUAUAGGCAUUAGAUUCAUAAAGAUGUAAUCUUAUUUUUAGUGGGAGAUUUUCUUUUUAUGAUAUGAUGUUCAUGUUUACAUACAUUUGAUUUUAUUUUCAAAUUAAUGAAAUUAGUUUCAGUAUUAUUUUAUUAUUGGAUAAUUGAAUAAUAUUCCCAAAAUAAUUUAUUGUCAUUCUUAUAGAUCAUCAAGUACGUGACUUGAUCAUGAAACUCUAAGUGUAAAAUGACUUAAAUUAUUAAUGUCCCUAGUCAAGGUUAUUAAAAUGGGACUUUAAUAACUGAGGAUGACUAGUAUGUAAGGUGACUGAUGACUAAGUUUCGUGAAGUCAUUAAUAUGUUGUAUUAAAGUCAAUCACAUAGAUAUGUGUUAGAGAACACAGUAUUGGACUGACCCGCUAUGAGAAAUCUACAAGAUUGUUAUAUGAGUGUCAUAAGAGUUUCUCAUCACGACUAUAGAGUGUAGUCCUUUGACCUGAGUUCAUCGUGAUUUCUUAUACAUGGACUGGUUCGCUUUGACUCUGUCAAACGUCAGCCGUAAAAGGUGAUUAUAAAGACAGUGAUUGGGCGCAUUAUUAAUUGUGUAAGGAACAGGGAUGGAACAAGAUAGAAUUUGUCCCUCCCAUAUAACGGGAGAAUAAUAUCUCUGGGCCUAUCGAAGAUUUGAUAUUGAGAAAUGCAUGGCCGUGCUCAAACGAGGUGAAUAUCAGUCGUUUGUUUGAUCAGUAUAAAUCAGAGUUCGAUAAAUAUGAUUUAGUUUAAUAAGGAUGACACAGUUUCUUGCCUUAUGAUUAGAUCGAGAUAUAGAGACAAAGGGAUUAUAGGAAUAGAUGAUUCCAGUACAAGUGGGAGAUUGUUGGGAAUGUCCUAAAAUCAUCCGUACUUCUCUAGUUGAAGUCGUAACGUCAAGGUUUGACAAUCAUAUAAUAUUAGGUGGUUAUAAUGUUUUGCUAGAAGCCGCUUGUAAUCUACGGAUUGUGAAUCUGUUACUAAUGUUAUACGAUCCUACAAGGUCACACACCUAAGCAACUAGAUCGACUAUAUGUUGGGUUUCGAAAUGUAAUAAUGUAUAUAUAUAAGUUAUAUAAGAUAUAACUUAACAUUUAUACAAAGAACAAAUAAAGGAAAGUUUAAUAUAUGUAUGUCGUAUAUAUGUGAUAUAGACAUAUAUAGAGAUACACGUUAUUGAGAAGUUAAGUUAUUGGGUUUGGCCCAUUAAUUAAGUGUAUUAGGUCAAACGUGUAAUCAUUAUAUAAUGAGAAAACGUGGCCUUAGUUAAACAUCCCUUCCUGCGAUAAAACCCUAAACAUAAUUAAGAGGCAAAACUGUUUUGUCAAGAUCUGAUCUAUACGGCACUAGCAUCCCGUCCUGAUCUAGUUUGUGUGCGUGUGGAUACCGGUAGAGGCACAACGUUUGGAGUGCUAUACAACCUUAUUUUCUGUUCAUCUUUCCGCUGCAGGUAUAUUCUAAAUAUGAUGACCUAGAUUCAAUUUAGUAUUUGCUUGAGAUCUUGGAAAUUGAAUUUAUAAUUAGUUUUAUAAAUCGUUAUAAACCGGUAUGAUUUCCAAUAGAUCUUCCCUAGCCGCUGUAGUUGUUUUAAAUGGUAAGAGAUACUUUCAACAUAUUUCAGGGGAAAAGGACAUAAAAAUAUCCAACUAAAUUUUCGUCAAAAUAAAUAUCAGCUCGCUAUUAAAAGAUAAUUAUCCAUUUAAAAUUUAAACAAUAUUUUAUAUCUUACGUCGGUUUAGUUACCGACUUACUUGAUGUAUAUAUAUAAGAGAUCGAACCUAUGUAAUAGAAGCGAACCUAUGUAAUAGAAGUGAUAAUAAGAAGAGAUAAUUUCCUCUCUCUCUCGUGGUUUUCUCUACUCUUCCUCUCUCUCUUCCAUACGCAUAUAUACAUAUCUUAUUAUAUACAAACACAUAAUCUCACCUAUAUAAUAACAUAUAAUAUAUAAAACGUUAUCCACACGAUCAGCUCACGAUCCAUUCUAUAUAAAAAAAGAUGAGAUUUGAUUUAUGUUCAAUCCGUUUACGUUUAUAUACUAUGGUCGAGCGUUGUUUUCUCUAAACCUAUCGUUAUGGUAGACUAUGUCUCUUCAAUUCAAAUAUAUGGUUGACUUAUGAUCAUAUGGUAGAUGUCUCCUUAGAUCAUUGCCUCCAUAUAAUAAAUGUCCCGAAGACAUUUAUGAGUGGUUCUCGAAAAACCGUUUGAAAAAAAAAAAUGUCUAAAAAACAUUAAAGAAAAGUUCUUAAAGAACCUAAUAAAAAAACGCCCAGAAAACAUAUAUGGAAAAAGUUCCAGAAAAACUAUAUGAAAAAUAUAUCCAGAAGAUAUAUAUGAAAGUGUCUUGAAGAACUGCUUAAUAACUUUCAUCCAGAAAAUAAAUAUUUAUUUUAAUUAUUGUUCUUUAAUAUUUGUUUAUUAUCAUUUACUUCCUCUAUUUCUAGAAUUCUGUUUUUACAAAUUUUAUUACAUUUUUUAUUUAUAUGAAAGAAUCACAUAACGUUCCAGAAGAACUACAUAAUUUUCAUCCAGAAAAAAAUUGUUUUAAUUAUAGUUUUUUAAAUUUAUGUUUACUAUUGUUUAAUUGUUAAUAUGUUUAACUAUUUAAUUUUUUUUAUUAAUUAAAUAUGUGAGUUCCCCAAGAACUAUUAUAAUUUAAAAAUAAUUUGAGCAUCAGAAGAGCCAGUUGUUCCAGAAACUAAAAAGUGUGGAAACUAAAAGCUCCAGAAGAGCUAAAAAAUUCUAAAACUUUUACAAGAGCUAAAAAGCUCUUGAAGAGUUAAAAGUUCUAGAAGCUUCACGAGUUAAAAGCUCCAGAAGAGUUAAAAAGCUUUAGAAAUUUUAAAGAAUUAAAAGCUCCUGAAGAGUUAGGAGGUACGAAAGUUUAUAAAUUAAAAACUUCAUAAGAGAUAGAAGUUCCAGAAGAACUAGGAAUUUAUGAAUAGUUAGAACUUCUUGAAGAACUAUACACUCUUGAAGAGAGAAAUUCAAAGAUUGUGAAAGCUCAAAAAAGAGCAAAACACUUCAGAAGAGCUAGAUGUUCCACAAGAACAAACCGUUCCAGAAAAACGAAACGUUCCAGCAUAACGAAAUGCUAUAGGAAAAAAUAUAUGAUGGAGACAUGCAUAAAGAUGACAAAUUGUUUAAGAUAGUAAACCUGAAGUUUGCUAGUAUAUAACAUAACCAGUUUAAGCAAUCCUGGUGUAAUAAUGGUAUUGAGAGUUUAUGUGAAAAAACCCGAAGUUUUUCUCAUAGCAUGUCUUGUUGAAAAUGAAAAGAACAAUCAUGAGAGAUAAAUCACCAUUUUUGGUUGAACAAUUAUUAGAUAUAAUGGUUGGAUUUCUUUAAAAGUCUCCCAAAUUAUAUAAUAGAUCUAAAACCAAAAACAGUUUAAGAUGAAUGGCCAAGUAAAGCCAUCAUCUCAAAGAAAGUAUUAAAAGUCCACUAAAGGAUUUGAUGCAUAAUACAAGGCUCAAAGAUGGGUUAUAUGGAUAUGUUUUGGUCCUAAAGUUGGAUUCAUUUCAAGAUAGAUGAACUUGAAGUAUCAUCAUCUCGAGGGGGAGAAUUAAAGAAUCCUAUAUCAAAAGUAGUGAAACAUCCUGAAGAUUAUGUUCAAACUUAAAAUAUAUUUUAUGAAUAAUUUAUAAAGCAGAUCCAGAAGAUCGUAAAAUCAAUAAGUGGUGAAAUAUAAUCUCCAUAUUUUGGUCUGGAAGAGCUAAUGAAUGAGAUUUCAUGAAAUGAAUUAUCAUUAUAGAUCCUCGUAUAAAUGAUUUUGAACCUGAAGUUUAAAGGAUAAUUCAUGUGUAAAUGCCAGACAUACAAUGAAAGAAAAUCUCAAUUCUAGCUCAAAAUGCUCCAAGAAUAUGUCCCUGAAGGAUGAUUUAUCAAUAAAGAGUCUAUGAUAUGUAAGAAGCAUGAUAGACUACUUUGGUUCCUAAUAGGAAAGGAGCAAAUAUAUGUUGAAAAGAGGAUGAAUCUCCUGAAGAGAUCCAUUGAUAUGGUUAGUAAUAAAAUCAGGUACCUGAAUGAUAUUAUUGAUAAUGAUAAAGAGAUCUCGAUAAACCAUGUCAUUACGGGAAAGAUGGAAUCAAAGACGAAAAAUAAUUGUCGACAAUAAAUAAGAUAGCGCACGAUUUGAUAUGAAUAAGGAUCAUAAAUCUACCUCCGUGGAUGAGUGUAGAAAGUGAAAAUAUUGGCCAAAGAGUGAAAAGGCAAUCAAAUUUAUGCUAAGCUCAUAUGAAAAAUGAGAAAUUUUUGGACUAGGAGUUCAAACGUUAAAAGUAAUAUCAAGUUUGACAGAAAAUGAGCUACUUGAAUUGUUCCUUAUAGAUGUCGUAACAUUUUUAAAUGAAAAACUUCUGAAGGAUUAAUAAUGUUAGAAUUAUGUUCCCGGGAACUCUAAUUUAAUUAUUUUAGUUAAGGUUAACUGAUAGAUGGAUAAAAAAAACUGAUUCUUUAUUUAGUCAUAAGAUAUGAUCCCAUUUAGAAAAAGAAAUUAUGUUCAGUUUUUUUGCAGGUAUUCUAAUUAGACAUUUUAUCUCGAAAUAUCCCAGCAGGAUCUAAAAUAUAGAAAAGCUCAGAUUUAAGCAUUUCUGAAGAAAAUGCUAUUUAAUCCACCCUACAAAAUACUUCGAACUUGAAGUUCAUAAAAUUUGGAAGUGCUCCACAAAAAUUAAUGUUCCUGAAGAACAAAAUUCAUUGGAGCAAAGUAAAUGAACUCGAGAUUCAGUUAAAAAGGGAGAGACCGAUGGACUUUAAAAUUCUCCUGAAGAAAAAAUAUUAGAGAAUAAAAUGAAAGGAUUCCAAAAGAAUUAACAAAAAAAUUUUUUUUGGACAUAUAGUCAUUACACCUGAAGAUGUAAUGUCAUUCGAGACCAAAUAGGUCUUUGUUUGAAAAGAGAAAAAUGAAGUUACAAGACAUAAAGUCCGGUUUGUGGCACAAAGUUUUUUUCAAACACCGGAAAUUGAUGUUUCUCAGUCGUGAAUAUAAUCACAUACAGUAAUGUGUUGAUUAAAAUCCCAGAAGUAUCAAGGAUGCCUGAAGCAUCUAAAAAUAUGUUUGGUCAAAUUACAACGAUCAAGAAGAAUUUGAAAAUUUGGGAUAAUAUAUUUCAUGGGAAGAGUUUUACUAACUCGAUUAAUGGACCAAAAGUCCAAGGAUCCAAGAAUGACGAUUAUACGAGUUUGUUCAUUAAGAUUCUACUUAUAAAAAUUCUCCAAAAGAUGGUGUAUAUAAUUGAAAUGCAUCUCCUAAAGAUGAUGCUUCCAAGGGGAGAAUUGUAAUGAUAUGCGUGGUUGCACUCUUUUUUCCUUAUCAUGGUUUUUAUCCCAAUGUGUUUUUGCAUGACAAUGUUUUUAAUGAGGCGACAAAAUGAAAACGCAAAAUAAAUAUUUGAAGAGAAAUUCUUCCAAAAAAAGUAUAAUAAUGAGCGUAGAUGCAUUUUUUUCUUGUUAUGGUUUUUGUCUCAACGAAUUUUUCCAAAAUAUAAUUUUUACUGCAACAUUAUAAAAUACGCAAAAAGAUUAUAUCAUUUUUAAAAAAAGAAGUUAUGUAAUAAAUAAUUAAAAGGAAGUAUUAAAAGAUAAUUAUCCAUUUAAUAUUUAAACAACAUUUUAUGUCUUCGGUUUAGUUACCGACUUACGUGAUGUAUAUAUAUAAGAGAUCGAACCUAUGUAAUAGAAGUGAUAAUAAGAAGAGAUCAUUUCCUUUCUCGUGGUUUUCUCCACUCUUCCUCUCUCUCUUCCAUACGCAUAUAUAUAUAUAUAUCAGAUCUAUUAUAUAUAUAUAUAUAUAUAUAUACAAACACAUAAUCUCACUUAUAUAAUAUCAUAUAAUAUAUAAAAUUCGCCAAAUUAAAUAAGAAAAUCUGUAAGUUAGGUAUUUUUUUAUAGGUCGUUUUUCCAUGCUUCAAAGAUUCGUCUGGGUUUUAGUAUAAGAUCUAUUAGUUAUAUAUAAAAAGGUAGUCUAACCAAGAACAUUAUGUAAUUGGCCUACAGCAUCUCCAACAAAUCUUUAAAUCCUUAUUUUUUAAGGAGUUUUGAUCUUCAACAGUAUAUUUUAAAAUAUUAUAUAAUAGAUCCUCAAACUUUUAUAUUUUAAAAUAUUAAAUAAUAAACCCUUAAAUAUGAAGAACACUAUUCAACCCCUUAAAAAACUUUUUACUUUUCAUUUUAGUUACUGUAAUUUAUAUAUUUCACAAAGAAUCAAAGAACUUUUUUGUCUUUUUUCAUUUUAGUCCACAUAAUUAUACAUUAAACUAAAUAAAUAAAAACAUUUCAAAUAUAUCUUUAUAAAUAUAGCUGUUAGAUAUUAAAAUAAAUAAAUACAACUAACUUUAAUUAAAAAUUAGGAAUAAAAAUACUAGAUAACACAAAAACAAAUUUCACAUAACAAUAAUAUAUUACAUUAAACAAAUUAUCAAAAUAAAAAAUUACAUUACAAUAAUAUUUUCUUACAUGAUAAUAAAAUUACAAACAUACAUAAAUAUUUUAAAAAUUAAGAGUACACUACUAUACUAAUAUUCAGGUAAAUUUGAUCCUGAACCUUCAAAUUCACUAAAAUAUUAUCUAUAUAAAUUUGCUGCAAUCGGAGGUCGUUCUCUUGAGUUUUUUUUCGCAUGAUUCUUUCUUGUUCAGAACAAAUAAACUCACAUGUAUUACUCUCAUCGAUAAAACUUAAACUUGUUAACAAUAUUUUAUUUUCCUCAAUUUCUUUUAGGACUAGUUUUUUUUGCUUGAUUUUGCAUAAAUAACUGAGUCAUCUCGUUAAUGAGAGUUUGCGCUAAUUGGUUUCUCUCCCAGGCCCGAGCCUCGAGGCAGCCACACGUCUAACUCAGAAUGAGCUUUCAUCCUCCGUCAACCUUCCUCUUCCGACCGGAGCUUAUCCUGAUCGACGCUACUCCCUCAUCUCCCAGAAGUACUUUAAAGGUCAGAUCUCUGUGAGAUUCUCUUUGAUCUGCCUAAGGUCGAGGUAUGAUGCUCGUUUUUGGUUUGAGUCAUGAGGCUGUGCUGAUGCUUGUUCUCUAGCCAAAAUACUGUCUAAACCUGAACCUCCAAAUUCACCAAAAUAUUUUCCAUAUAAAUUUGCUGCAAUUGGAGGUUGUUCUCUUGAGUUCUUUUUCGUAUGAUUCUUAUUUGUUCAAAACAAAUAAACUCACGUGUAUUACCCUCAUCGAUAGAACUUAAAUUUGUUAGAAAUAUUUUAUUUUCCUCCUCAAUUUUUUUGGGACUAGUUUUUUUACUUGAUUUUGCAUGAAUAACUGAGUCAUCUCGUUAAUGAGAGUUCGCCCUAAUUUGUUUCUCUCCCAGGCCCGAGCCCCGAGGCAGCCGCACGUCGAACUCAGAAUGAGCUUCAUCCUCUGUCAACCUUCCUCUUCCGACCGGAGCUCAUCCUGAUCGACGCUACUCCCUCCUCUCCCAGAAGUACCUUGAAGAUCAGAUCUCUGUGAGAUUCUCUUCGAUCUGCCUCAGGUCGAGGUACGAUGCUUGUUUUUGGUUUGAGUCAUGAGGCUGUGCCGAUGCUUGUUCUCCAGCCUCUCUCAUUCGCAAUGAAGUUGCAAAGCUUCUGGCCUUUGGUAAUUCCUCCGGCGCAGGUGAACCUACUCCUCCCACCGGAGCAGCCGGUUCCACCGGACCCACCAGAUCCAAAGCUUUCUCUUUCAAUCCUUUGGAAAUCUUCAUUCUCUGCUUUGCUGCCGGUCACAUUUCUGUUUCCGAGAUUUUCUCCGCAGAAAGACUAGUGGUUUCCUCGUAUUUCCACCUCCGCUCCUCCACUUUGGUUCAGCUACCGAUACCAGCUGCCUCCGCCUCCCUCCCGUCAUGCUUGCUGCUCAAUUUUCAGAAAGCAAUGUUUAUUCGAGCCCAGCCCCUGAAUCCAAAACCCUCGCCGAGACCUCAAAAUGUUUCCUCCGCCUCAAGCGUGACCUGUCUCACCGGCAGUGGUUUUGCGGCAUUUGCCGGUCAAAUACGUUCGUCUGACGUCAACCUCAACACUUUUCCGCAACUCAUCUUAUCCAAAUCUCGAUGUCUUUAAUGCUCCUCUUCUCUGAUGAGGUGAAUGUGCUGCAUACUUUGGAAGUUGUGGGCUUGGCCCAUGGGAUUUUGUUGAUGGGUUUUUUUUGUUGAAAGCCCAAUAAGGAAAAUUUCUUUGUCUCAACAAACCGUCGAAGUUCAACAGUUCAGCUUAGAAAAAUCUGACCAUAAAGGUCUACUCUUGAUAAUCCUCUCCUCCGUGGUGUGGCUUGCUGUUGCAGCAUCUCUUCGGUUUUACACCGCCUACACUACCAUAUUUUGGUUCAGCCACCAGCAAAGGCUGUUUUCUCCAUCAACUCUUGCCAUACCUCCUCUCAUUCGAUUAAGCUAUCAGAAAAGGCUAACGUCUCAGUUAACCCCUGCCACUCUACUAUUUCAGUUCAGCAAUCGUCAAAAGCUGUCUACUCCAACCACCUGCCUCCAGAUCAAAUCUACUGUUGACUCUCUUGGUCUUUUCGUUGGGACAGUCACGGUUAUCCCAUUUGAUGGGUUGGUGAGUACAACAACUCUCCUCUCUUUGCGAGGUAAAUUCAUCGUCAUCUUAGUGUCGGGAAGUCUUUUGAACUUUGUUAUCUACAUGUCUUUGAUAUGCGAUUUCGUGUUUACAAAUAUCGGAGGUAGAAAUUUGUCUUCAAAGUCACAUUGGAAAAUGACUAACUUUGAACUCUCCGGCUUUGCUGUGAAGUCUCUCUUGACACAUUUGAAGCUUGAUUCACAUCCGCUGUCCAUCUCCCACGAUGAGUUAUCUGCUCUAUGUUAUAUUGUCUUUAAUUUGUGUUGUGUUAAGCUAAGAGGAUGUUUAAUUCCCUCUUCUUGUAGUCUGAGAAGUUAAUCUAAUGAAGAAAGUGACAACAAAAAACUGAGUCAUCUCAUAACCUUUGCUCCUAGUUGAUGCAUUAUCUUUAAGAAAAAUAAAUGAUUUUUUUCAUUUGAUGAAAUCAAAGUGUCAACAGAUGAAUCAUUACCUACGACAAUUUUUCUUUUGAGUUUUGCUUUCUUCGAUCCAAUGGGACGUUGUGACGAGUUUGAUCCACCAUCAUCACUAUUUAGAUUGAUUGAAAAUGAAGAUGCCCCUGGUGAAUGUGAUGUUAGAGAGCAGAUGGUAUCAUUUCCAAUAUUAGGACUAUCUGGAAUGCUGAUGUUGACAUUAUUUGUAAACUUUGGAAUAUCUUUCAUCAAAACACACACAUGAUCAAACUUAAAAUUUUUUUUUUUAAGUUUGGGAUCUUGUACUAAUAAUUUUUUUGCUUUAUCCAUCUGAAAAGUAUUUGGAAUGGAAAAUUUUUAAUACAAAAAUAUAAUAUAUAAACAAAGUAAAAAAAAAUUACUAGUAUGCACUAAUUGGAUAUGUACUUACAAUGUCAUCUUCAGAUGCACCACUUGGAUGCAUAUUCUCCACUUGAAUCAUGCAGCUCUUCAAAUUCCUUACAGCAUAAAGAAUUGUACCCAUCCUACCUUCUAGAGAUCUACUGCUUCUAAUCUUCCAACUCUCAUUUUUUUUUCAUAGUAACUAUUUUUUAUUUUUUUCCCAUAAUUUUUUCAAAGCUUGGUUAUUGCUAUCAAUUGGGUCUUGUGAUAUUUCUAAAUACACAUGACACAACAGCUCAUCUUCUUGUUGAUUGAAUAAUGUAGCUCUUUUUCUUUCCAUAUUUUUUUUUAUAGAAGAGAAUGAGUUUGUGGAAGUGUGAUCUUUUCAAUGGCUAAAGUCUAUUAUUUAUACACAAAUUGAAUAGAUAAGAAUUCAAAGGAGUGGCCAACAUUUAGUUUCUUAGAUUUUUUAUAUUAUGGAUAGGAUAGUGGUGGGACUUUAAUGUACGUAAAGAUGGGUGAUAGGUGAAAUUUAAUGAAAUGUGUAAACCAAAUUCUCAAGAUUUUCUGAUAUUCUUUUUGGAUACGAUAUUAGUGGGAUUUCAUUGUACGUAAUAGUUGGUGAUAAGUGAAAUUUAAUGAAUGGUGUAAAUUAAAUCCAGAAGAUUUUCUUAUAUUAUUAAAUGAUAACAUUUAUAUCUAUAAAUAUACUUCUAUUGAUGCCAAUAAUAUAUCAUCACUUCUUCGUUUAAUUCAAAAUAUAUUUUAAUAUUGGAGCUUCAUCUUCUUUUCCAAAUUCAUCAUCCUCAUCAGAUUCAUCUGAAAUUGGUGAAUAGUUGAUGAAUGAAAAUGCAGCAAUGGAGAGAGAAGAACAGCUUGCAGUCAAUUUGUUUAUCAAUAACAACUGCCUUAUUCAUCGACUAAUUCAAUAAAAUAAUCACUUAAGUCAUUGAGGCUCUAUUCCUGGUCAUGCAGUCAUACACCGUGAUAGAGAAAAUGCACAUCGUAAUUUGUUCAAUGAUAAUUUUUCUUAUAAUCAUGUAUUUGGUGAAAAAGAGUUUCAUCAUCGAUUUUGAAUGUCAAAGAGAUGAUUUCUUCAUAUUGUUGAUGUCGUUAAACAACAUGACAACUAUUUCAUUCAACGACGUGAUGCGUCUGGGAGAUUAGGCUUGUCAACCUUGCAAAAGAUUACUGCAGAAAUUUGAAUUUUAGCUUACGGAAUGACCGCUGAUGCCACAGACGAAUACAUCAAAAUAGGAGAGUCUACAGCAACUGAGUGCAUAAAAAGAUUUUUUUGCGUAUUUGUAAAAGUAUUUUCAGAGUGGUAUAACAGCAGAAGACGUUUCCAGGCUUUUAUAUGUCGGCUAACAACGUGAAUUUCCUGGAAUGUAACGUAGUCUUGAUUCGAUGCAUUGAAGUAUCUUGGUAUGCCCGGAAGCAACAACGACAUCAAUGUUUUGAAGUCUUCUAAUUAAUUUCAAAGGUUGUUCAAGGUACCGUUCCUCAGGCUAAUUACGUUAUUUAAGGAAAAGAGUUUACCAUGGGUUAUUAUUUAGCUGAUGGCAUUUAUCCAAAUUUGUCAACUAUUGUCCAAACAAUAAGUGACCCCCAAGGUCCAAAAAAAAAAUUAUUCCCAACAAGACAAGAAACAUGUUGAAAAGAUGUUGAACGUGCAUUUGGAUUUCUACAAUCAAAGUUUGCAAUCGUAGCAGGAUCUUCACAUUAUUGGAAGAAAGAGGUACCUAUUAUUGGUGAUGGCAAUGCACCAAUUAGAGAAACGAGAUCAGCACCACAAACAACAGUUGAAAUAACAGUAAAUGAAAAUAUCUGAUUUCAACAAUAUUUAUUUUGUAAUCUACAUAUAAAAAACAAAGAAGCUCAUUUAUCACUCCAAAACACAUUGGUUGAUCAUAUAUGGAAGUAUUAUGGAAAUAGUUUUAUUUAAUAUAUUUUAUAUGUACUUUUAUUAUUUAGUUUGUGGAUGUAUUAUUGUUAUUUAUGUAUAUUAUCAUGUAAUGUUUUAUUUAUUAAUAUGUUAUGUAAUAUUUUAGUUUAAAGUAUGUUUUGUAUCUAUUAUAAAUUUUUAUCAGUUUAUUUAAUUAUUAAUUAUGUUAAGGACUAAUAUGCAAGAUUUAAAUAUUUAUAAGGAUAAAUUUAAGGGUCUUUGUUGGAGCGGUUCACCCUGUUUUUCAAGGGUCAGCCACCUUUAACAUAAGGAUCCUUGUUGAAGAUGUUCUGACUAACAGAGUAUCUUGAACGAUACUCUAUGUCCUACUUUAAAUAUAGAAAAAUAUUUUUUAUUUCAAUUUUAUAGUAAAUCUCAAUAAAAUCUUAAUUAAUUGAUAAAAAACACAAGAUUAGACAUAAGACAAGCAAUUUUUUUUAAAAUUAAUCGAAAAGAUAAAGUCAUCUAAACAAGCCACUACAUUUCUCUAGCCUACAAAGACAUACAGUUUUUUUCCGACUUCAUCUAGAUGAUCUAUAAUCAUGUCUCUACUAUGUCAAAAAGAAAUUCAACAUAUGUCUCAACUACGUCAAAACAAAUUUCAUGUCUCAACACUGUUAAUAGAGAAAUAUGUUUCAUAGCAAAAGAAUCCAAUGUAAGCACAUCAUAAACCAUUUCGUUCAAAAAAAAAUUGGCUACCAUAAACCAUUGGGUGAGUAACUAUGGUUCAUAAAUAGAGCCACAUAUCCUUCUUUCUACGCACUAGUUACAAAUAUUGAUGAAGGAUAAAUCUUAUCGAGGACUUUCUCUAGAGAAUUUUGAUAAUACCAUAUUUUGACCACUUUUAUGGAUCAUUUUUAAAUAUUUUUUCCAUGUUUUUUAUUUUAUUCUAAGUGUUUUUAUUAUGGUUUUCUAGUAUUUGUAGUUUUAAAAUUAUUUUCAUAAAACUUAGGAAAAAGCUUAGCAAAACGGUUACAAGACCAGAUUUUCAGCUCAGAGUCAAACCGUCAGAAGUUCACCCUCAAAUGAAAACCUUCUCACCGUCUGAUCCAGCUCAAAUUUGGAUAUCUUAAAGAUGGAACAAUCAGCUUUCCAGCAUAAUUGACAUCAAGACAACCCAACGGUUCAAUCGAAAAUUACAUGAAGAGUAAGAUGUACCGUCAACCAGCCGGCAAGCAUUCCUGACCGCGGCCAACACCCAGUUUACAGCGCUCACGUCUCCUCUGACCGCAGAGAAUGGUCUGUUCGGCCUAGAAGCCCAUUUCCAAGCCCAAAUUAAUUAUUUCAUUUGAAGAAACCCUAAGUGACAUCUAGAAAUGACUUGAGCACUAUAAAUACAUAUUUUAGGAACCCUAGGACAUAUGUCUUUUAUGCCUUUUUGCUCUUUUAUGCUUUAGAAUACUUUUUAAGUUUUUAGGUUUAGGGAGAUAGAGAUCUAUCUCUUGAACCUUUUUUAUUUCUGUUUCAAUAUAGAUUCCUAUUCAGCUUUUCAAUACAAUGUUUUUGUUUUAUUUAAUCAUGUCUGAGUAGUUCUAUUGUUGGGUUUAAGGGAUUUUUGAUGGGGCCAUAUAUGUUUGAUGAAGAUUCCAUUAGCUAUUAAAGCCGAAUCCUAUAACUUUUUCUUUUAAACUUAUUUUUAAUGCAUGGGAGUAGCGUCAUGAACUAUAAUCUGAUUUAGGUUCGUAGUGUUGCGAAAGUUUUCAUUAGGAGCCAGAUCUAGUUUGAGAAGAGCAAUUCUGCCAUAGGAGUGGAAACCUACCUAUGGGUGUGCUGUGAAUGUUGACGAGUCUUAAGUAGUAGGCUCGCGUCUUUUCCCUUCCAAGGCCAGAGUGGAAACCUACUGGUCAUGGUUGCGAUAGAUAGUUGGUUAUGAUCACGAGAGUGACGUAGUCAUACAUUCGUGACUCGAGUUCUAAAAGUUUUAGCUAAGAUCUUUUAAAAUACUUUUUAUCAAUGUUUUGAAUCGUUCAUUUCCCGGAGAUAAAUUCCCUGAAAACCCAGUAUCUCGUUUUUAUUGUCUUACAUCGAUUUUCAUUCAAGCUUUUAGUCAUUAUGUAUUUUUUCAUUCGCAGCCGAUUUUCAAUCAAGUUUUAGAUUAUGUUUUCUUUCGGUUUUCUAGCUAAUUUUCUUAAGUACUUUUCCUUUUCUCGUUUAGUUUAGAAUUUAUGUUUUAGUGACACCCCAAAACUCCUUUGAAUUUUGACCAGUUCUAGACUUCAUUAUUUCAUAUUUCUUUCAAAAGUUUUUGCAGGAAAAGAUAUUCCUUCCCUGUAGAUUUGAUCCCUAAGUACUACAAUCGAUUAGCUGUGCACUUGCGGCUUAUUGACUCUAUUAGGGUAAAACUUAACACCCUCACCGCACACCACAUCAAGUUUUUGGCGCCGAAUCCAGGGAAGACACGCUUUUCUCUUCUGCAAAACCCUAAGAAAGGUUGGUAAAUCGACUCUAGAAACAAUUUUUCGACUUAUUUUCGUUUUUGGUUCUCUUUGUAUCAGACUUUGAAGCAAUGGAUCCCAUGAACCGAAAUCUCUACUAUGAGGAAGGUUUCUACAACACUCCUCAAGCCACCAGACGCAGAGAAGAGCAGUAUAUGAUCAAUCUUCUCAACUCUGUUUGGAACCCUAAUCCGAACCAUCAGCCGUAUGGACGCCAUGAGCCUCCUAUGUACCGAGACGAUCCCUACGCGCCUCCUAUGGUCAACCCUAGACCAUAUUUCCAUCGCCUACCUAACGAAAUCAUUCAGCAGGAUGAGAACGUCCAGAUCAGUAACCGUUUGGAGCAGCUUGAAGCUACAAUCAAGCAGUUUAUGAAUGCUCAAGUCGUCUCUACUGCCGCCCUUCAUGAGAGAAUCGAUGGUAUAUCAACUCUCUUCAACAAAAAGUUUGAGAUCUCUCUGAUCAAGUCAAGUCAAUAGAAGAACGAGCAAAAAAAAAGUUGCAGCCACCAUUGCUGAGAGAUUUGACGCCAUGGAGGAGGAGCACACCAAGCAUACUUUCGAGCUUCGCAGUACUAAGAACAACAUCAGAGACCUUGAUGUCAAGCUAGACGAUGUGGAAACGCCCUCAAACCAAAAAAGAGUCUUAUGACUUCACAGUUGAGGUUUCAGAGAAGGUGUACAAGGUCACGGACAAAAUCAAAGAGCUUGAUUCAACCGUAGACAAAGUCGUUUAUGAAAUUGAUGAGGUUGAAGAGAAAGUUGAGGAGAUUAUGCAAGGACGUGGAGCACAAGGUUCAGCACUUCACACUGAAGAUCCUGAUCUAGGAAAGGAGUACACUGAGCCAGAAGACCUAGGAGACCACUCAGAAGGCAAAGGAACAAGCAAAUCGAGCAACUCACCUCGGAGACGCUUCCCUGCGGUCGAAUCCCUUGUGACUGCACCCAAGAAGAGGUCCACCGUGGUUGUGCUUGGGUCACCCGCGGUACAUGAUCAUUUUCCUGCGGUCACGUCUCCUGCAAUCACGGCCAACCGUUAGAUCGUCCCAAACCAGCCUCGUUCAGGGUAAACAAACAACUGCUCGUCUGAUACAACUUCUGGAGUAGCUAAACCCCCUUUCAGCAAUUGAUCUACUCUAUCAGCACUCAGGAAUCUCAAGACGAAGAUAAGCCACUACCUUGCAAUAUGACUUUGUCUUGUGAAGAUGAUUAUGAAGAACAAUACUCUGAAGAUGAAGAAUAUGGCCUGUUUAUCGAAGAUGCAUGAUAGUAGGAAUUUUUCAAUCCUUGAUCAAUUCCUCAAAUACUCAUGUCAUUGUAGCACUUGAGGUAUCAAUCCAAAUGGAGAGAUUCUAGACACUAGAACUAUGAGGAGCUAUCUUAAUUCAAGUCUAAAUAGCAGAUGAGUUGGUAACAAGGUGAUCUAAAUAAUAGACGUUCUAUCUCCUUUAUAGCAGCUUCAUGAUCUUUGCUCUCCAUGUGAUUCACUUGAGAGGUUAAACUCUCUAUUUUGUUGUGGAGGUCAUUGUAUGAACGCUUUACUCUUGUUGUGAGCUAAUCUUGUCCCUUCAGAAGUUGUUGGAACAUGCUGUUUCAGCUCCAUUACUUGAGGCUUUGAAGCAGCUUGCCCUUGUGGAACAGACUCUUGCUGAAACAAAGCUCCACCUCAGUUUUACCAUCUUGACAAUCUUCAGUAUCAAGCUCUUUGUAUCUUUCAUUGCUCUUGGCCAAAUUCUCAACAAGUAGCUCUCCUUGUUCUAUGGUAAGAGUUGCAAAACGCCCAUUGCUAGCUGUAUCCAAUGUCCAUUUAUGCUCUCUAUCAACUCCCCAAUAGAAGAUACUAAGGAUAGCUUCUUGUUGGAACCCAUGAUGGGGACAAUCUCUAGUGUAGCCUUUAAGUCUCUCCCAUGCUUCAUCAAAGGUCUCAUGGAUUCUUUGUUUGAAGCCCAAGAUGUCUUUCCUAGCUUGGAUAGUGCUUUGUAUGGGAUAAAACCUUUGGAGGAAGAUCAUCUUGCAAUCAUCCCAAGAAUUUACCAAGUGGGAUGGUAAUGCUCUCUCCCAUUUGCUUGCCUUUUCUCCAAGUGAAAAUGGAAACAAGAUGAGCUUGAUACUGUCUUGGGGCACCCCUCCAGUCCUAAAUGUGUCACACAACCUCUCAAAGCAGUCCAAAUGAUCAUAUGGAUUCUCCAUGCCAGACCCCAAGAACUUAGUUUCUUGAAUCAACCUAACCAAGCUUGCUUUGAUCUCAUAGGCCGCAGCUUCAAUUGGAGGAGGGUGGAUUCCAUACCUCUUUCCAUGACUACAAGGAGUGUCACAGCUUCCAACUGUUGGCGUUUUCUUUGGAGCUUGGGUCAGUGCUGGAGACAGUGCUUGAAGAUGUGGCUGUUGUUGAGGUUUUGGGACUGGAAUAAUGCUCUUGUGGACGUCCAUCUCCAACAGCUCAAUAGAACGUGUCUUUCCAUUUCUCUUCUUAUGAAUUUGGUACCUUUCAAAGCUCAAGAGAAUCAAGGAAGACAAGUUAGUAACAAUGAAAAAGAGAAAAUUGAUCAUCUCAAAGAGAUGCCUGCUCUUAGUGAUAUACAUUAACAUGGUGAAAAUAAAAGCUUAGUAAAACAAAAGAAAACAAUGACUUGAUCUCAAGAAGAUCCAAAGUCCUAAUGCUAGAAUGAACUCUCCAAUUGGCAACGGCGCCAAAUUGAUAGUAGGAAUUUUCCAAUCCUUGAUCAAUUCCUCAACUACUCAUGUCAUUGUAGCACUUGAGGUAUCAAUCCAAAUGGAGAGAUUCUAGACACUAGAACUAUGAGGAGCUAUCUUAAUUCAAGUCUAAAUAGCAGAUGAAUUGGUAACAAGGUGAUCUAAAACAUAAAACAAACAAAAACAAGCAAUACUUAAGAACAAGCAAACAAGAGAAACAAAACAAAGACUCAAAUUCAAAAUAAAGAGAAAGCUAAACCUCUAGAUGUGAUCAUUGAUUAGGGUGCUGUAGAUAUCAAUUCAGGAUGCUAAGAAGAAUAAUGCAAUGCAAGUUACUCUUUAGUCUAGACUUCAAAAGCAGAUUAAUUCACUCUCAUGACAAUAAUCUCUUUGUAAGUCACUUAAUCAAGAUUAAUUCACCUUAAGCAAGAUCAAGCAAUCAACAAGCAUAAAGUAUCAAGUCUAAUAAUGACCAAAAGGUUUCUAUUUCAAAGAGACCGAAUCUUACACAGAAUGCAGCAACAAGCAAUCACAUGAUCUCAAAACCAAUUAACUUAGAACUCAAAUCUAGACUAAUCCUCUCAUGAAAGCAUUAAUCUCUACACUAAUCCACUUUCAAACCAAAUCAUCAUUUGUGAAAUAUGAAUCAGUGAGCAUUAAGAAACAGUUCUAAUAUGUCAUUCAUGCAUUUAACAAAUCAUUCCCAUGAUGAAAAAGGCAUAAACCCUUAUCUUAGCUCAUUCAGAUAUUUCAUCAAACACCUUGUGGGUGGAGAAAUGACUAAGGUCUAGAUCAGAGUGAUGUGCAAAGAUCUAGCAUUAAGAGCAGCUAACUAAGGAAAGGAAAUGAGAAUCUAGAACCUAAACAUCAUAAACCGAUCAUCUAAGCACCCUAAUCUACACACCUAGAAGCUUAAAAGAUGACUACUCACUAAUCAUUAUUAACACACCAUUUUCUUUGCAAGAGGUGGUGUUAAUCAUGAUUAAGAGUUUAGAUGAGAUGAGUAAUUGAUAAGAAACAGCUUAGAAUGAUGUAAUCCAUCAGAUAUCUCUUAAUCAAAAACGUUUUUACACUAAAGUGAGGGUUUAGAUGAGAUGAGUAAUUGCAAGUCCUUCGUCCCACGCGAUCAAAGUGAGGGUUUUGUCUGCACCAAACCAUCUGUCCGAGUUGCUGUACACAGGUGAGGGUUCCUCCAUGAUCCCAGCUCCAAGUUGCUCCCAAAAGUCUCCAAAUGACCUGAGAACACUCCAAAAAUGCAGGACCCUUUAGGACCUAAUGCAAUUCCUAACUAAAGACAAAAGCAAAGACAAAUAUAUGUAAAACUACCUAAAUGUAUGCAUGAGACUCAAUAUUUGGAUAAAAAUGCAAUCCUAAACAUGACAAAAUAUGAGUAUAUCAAUGCAAAUGCAGGAUACUCAUCAGGAAGAAACUCACCCGGCCUUGAAGUGAUAACUAGCAGCAUAUCUAGAGAGAAGCUCAUCAAAUUCAAUAACUUUGUUAAGACAAUCCCUGCCCACCUGAGUUUCAAUGAUCUCUGGAAGCUUUGAUGUCUUCAAGUUUUCUUUAGAUACAGAAAGGAAUCUAAAGAGAACAUCCAUAGUUAUGUCAUGAGAGCCAGACACAUAUUAUCUCCUGAUGCUGCUGUCUAGUCAAUCUAACUCCAAAAACCUGAAGAAUAGAGCUAUUACACCAACAAGAUCAGCAAGGAAAAGUUAGAUGACUUCAACGAUGUGGUUCAAAGCUUACCUGAAGGAAUCACUACAUGAUUGACCACUACUUCUGUGAGAACAAGGAAUCUAUUCCUGAGAUAGAAGACUUGUUCACUCAUGCCAAACAAGGGAAGCCUGUUCGAACACGGCAUAAAAUCAAAGAAAAAGGUCAAUUUCUUAUCUCUUGUUCCAUUAGAGGUGAAAGAUUUAACCAUGUUCUUUUUUAUUUGGAGCUUGUCUCAACAUGAUGUCCAAAACAACUGAUUUGAGGCUUGGUAUUAAGCAUCUGCGUAGGACUAGGACGAAGAUAAGCUUAGCUGACGAGUCCAGUGCCUCACCUAAAAGAGUAGCUUAGGACACUGCAGUGUUCCUAUCGACUUCUACAUUGUGAACACCAAAGAUGAUUCACAUCGUCAUUCUUGGGUGGUCUUUCUUAGAAACUGCCAGAGCCAUCAUGGAUUGGCCAAAACGGAGGAUCUCAUUUGCUAAUGUCGACAAGGACAACUUCUUCAAUGUUAUUUCUUUUAGCAGCAAAGCAAGAAAACGUCCUGCAACAGAGGUGUUUGAAGCCGAACUUUGGAAUGACGAAGAUGCUAGGCAAAACAAAGAGAUCUCAAAAAAGACUUGUCUAAGGACAAGGUCUUCAUCAAACUAAGCCACUUCCUACACCAAGUCGAGCUAAACGACUUAAACCAGAAGCGCUUAAUGGGAGGCAACCUAUUUAGGUAUUGUUUUCUUUAGGAUUUUCUUUCUUUUUCUAUUGAUCUUUUUCUUUUUCUUAGUUUCAGGUGUUUCUUAAAAAUAAAAAAGCCAAAAAAAUAAAAAUAAAAUGAAAAAACCAAAAAGAAGGAUUGGUUUCAGACUGCUCAGCCCAGCAGGAAUCAAGGAGAAGUAGGAUUAGGCCGCAUUUAAGCACUCGCGGUCGCAUGAUUUUGAACAGUGGCCAACCAUACCUCGACCAGGUCUCAAACUCGUGACCGCGGCAAAGCAUUUCCGACCCGCCGUCGCGUGAAUCCAGACAGCAGCCACUGAUCGUUCAGAGGACAUCUGACCCAAUUUCACCCAUUCCACCUCACCAUGACCCAUUCCAGCUCAUCCACCACUCUCCACCACUUCUCAUCACCAUUUAGCAUCUUCCUGCAUCUUCUCGCAUCUUCCCGAACCUUCCCGAAUCGAUCCGGUUCAUUCCCGACAGCAUCCCAGAUCCAUGUAAGUUCUCUUUUGCUUACCUUUUUCAAUAUAUCUAUGCAUUUAUCUCAUCCAAUCUCGACUUCUUUCACACUGAUGACAGUGUGAUUUAAGUAUGUGAGAGGAUUUCAUCCCUUUCUAACCAUUUUUCUUUCAUGAGUCUUGCAUUAUCUACAUUUUUCAUAUUUUCUUUAAAGUUUUUCAAAAAUGGUUUUCAAAACAAAAUACGUUUUAAAUGGAAUAGUGAACAUAAAUCGAUGAUACUUGACUGUGUGCUUUUAGACUAUUCCCUAGUGACAUGCUCAUUCGUGAUUUAGGACUAGACUAGACGGUAGCUGAUGUGGGUGCAGUGGGCAACACAAGUUUUACCCUAGACAAGCUGCAAGUACACAGCAAACGCAGUAGUACUUAGGGAUCGAAUUCACAGAGAUUUGUGUGUUGAGGACUUUUAACUGAUGCUAAAAACAAUCGUAGACCUAAUCUAAUAAAAAUGGGGUUUGGUUUGUCACUAAAUCUAAUUAAGAAGAGAAUUAAAAAAAAAACAGGAAAUAAAAAUCGGUUGAAAACAAUAAGAAAAACGGCGCUGGGUUCAAGGUUCAUCUUUAGGGUUCAUGUUCUAAACACAAGGAAUUUAGGCGAGGAUUUUCUAUGACUCUGAAACUAGGAUAUACACUUGUAAGAUUAGCCAACUCUCAUCACCCUAAUCAUCUAAUCACUCAUUCAUGGCAAGCUCUCAUGCCAGAACAAGAUCAUGCAUAGCAGAUCGGAAUCCAUCUCGGCUUACGUAUCCUCCGUGGGUAGCUUUCGUCUCCUACGACGGUGACGACCAUAAGAUCCAGUUCAGGCAACCCAUAUUCAACACUCCCGUGGCUCAGAUUUAACCUAGGAUCGGAUUCUGGGUGAUCAAUCCAGAAUUACCGCUUUGAGAUUUGAAUGAAUGGGAGAAUCAUGUAAAAAUCAAAAUCCUUUUUCAUAAAAACCUAGCUUUCAUUCGAACAUGGAAUCCCUUUGGAUUUCCCCUUUCACCCAACUAGGUGAUUACUCAGACAUGGCUGAGUUAGACAUCAUCAUCGGUAUAAAACUUAGAAAGAAGAAAAGUAAAGAAACAAAGGUUGCAGAAAAACUUCUCUUAUUGAAGACAGAGUGGCGAUGAAGAGCUUCUACAGAUGCAUAAGAAUAAAACCUAAAACUACAAAUGAGUUCUCUCUCAAAGAGAAGAAAGAGACUCUCUUACAAAAGACAUAAAAAUGAGUAUUUAUAGUGUUUCUCCAAGUCUGGGCGUCUAGGGCUUGUAAAAUGGGUGCCGGAAGUGUCUUGGGCCUUAGUUGGGCUCCUAAGGUUUGGACAUAGGUCCACCGGGGAUGAAACCUCUUGAGCCGCGGUGGGAACAAGUCUAGCCGCGGGUGAAAGCUCCAGUCCUUGACUUGACUAGUGUUGAUUGGUCUUUAGUGCAUUGAUGAUAUCUGGAGAUCUUACCGUUGGAUUUCUUUGAUUCCAAGUGUUUUGGAAACUGGUUGUCUCCUUUAUAAUGUCUCCAAAUUUGGUGAUUAUCGGACGGUGAGACAGUCUUCAUUGGUUGCCAAACUUCUGACGGCCUGAAUUUAUCUAAAAAUGUACUUUUGCUCCAAAAUGCACUCCAAAGCUCCAAAUUUCCUGAAAAGCCUUUUAAAACUCUAAAACAUGGAAACACUUAUAAAACCUUUAAAACUGAGUAAAAACACCUGCAUAAGAUAUUGAAAGUGAUCUAUAAAAGUGGUCAAAAUCAGGUGUUAUCAGUAGCUAAGCACAUUUGGAACGAAGUACCCUAGAGGAAUUUGAAUGAUUUCAAUUUAGAUGAAGGAGUAAACUAGCUCUGCUUUAUCUGGACUUAACAUUGACUUAAUUUUCUCAUUGAAGCAUUAGAUCAGGGAAAUAAAUUAUACAUUCAUGACUCAUUUAUCCUUUUACCAGUCUUUGUUGAUCCUGAAUGGCUAGUUCAUCUUUUACUAGUUCCACACCUAACCUAACCUCUUUCAAGCCACAUGCAUUCUUGUUUUUCAUUGUCCUAUAUGCAGAUAUGUGCAAAAACGUCGGAGAGAAAGAUGAUCAACACAGUUUUCAGUCACUGAAGACGGAGACCUACGAUUUCACUGGAAUGAUUCAACAAAGGAGAAAACUUGGUUUGCCUCAGAAAAACUGCAAAACAUUAGUACAUUUUUGUCCCUUAAACUCUCUCUCUUAAUAAAAGGUUAUUUUCCCUUUCGAGAAAAAAGAAGAAACGAAAAGAAAAAUAAGAAGGGAAAGGAAAUUAAAAACAUUAAAGAGUCUGAGAGGAUCGAAUUUUAUCCUUGAGGCAAGCCUUGGUUCGAUUAUUUGAGGUUUAGGGAGAUUAUCUUUUUGAUUCCUAGAAAAGAUCUAAGUCUUGGGGGGGGGGGGAGUAGAUGUUUUCAACAAAGGAGGAAGGAUUCUGCAACAAGAUUUGGCAAGGAGAAGUGACUGAAAAUUGCGGACAUCAACAUGACCAUUCUCUCUUGCGGUUUUGCAUAAUAUCUUGCAUCUUCCAGAUCUUCAGGUAACCCGAAACACUUUACCUCCACCACUUAAACAGCCAUUAAUACCAAACACCGUCUACUCUGAAUUAUGUCUUUGAAGAGAAUUCACUAUUGCACUUAAUGAAUAUAAAGAGCUAGUUGACUUGAAUCGAGAUUUAGAUUGUUUAAACUUUGCAUGACGAAAAAAGUGGACUAGUAUAUUUUGUGUUUUAGUGAGAAUUUUCUAGACUAAGUUGCGAUUGUUGUACGAUCGAUGGCCAUAUUUUAGAGGUCUAAUAGUAGGUUUUUAGCCUACUAAGGUCAAUUAAACUCUUGUGUUGUAGGACUUGAGGGUCAAUCCAAAUGGAGAGAUUCUAGACACCAAGACUAUAUGGAACUUUCUUAAUCCAAGUCUAAUAAGCAGAUGUUUUGGUAACCAAGAUGAUCUAUAAACAUAGAACAAACAAAACACUAGCAGUUACUAAGGACAAAGCAAACAAUAUAAACAAAGCAAAGAUUCAAAUGCAAAUAAUGACAAAGCUAAACCUCUAGAUGUGAUCAUUGAUCAGGGUGCUUUCAAUGAUAAUCUAUGAUGCUAAGCAAACAAUGCAACACUUACUAUUCUUUAGUCUAUACUUCCAAAUCAGAGUAAUUCAAUAAUCCCUUUGAUAACUACCUAAUCAAAACUAAUUCCCAUUAGUGAAUAAACAAUUAACAAGCAUAAGGUUCCAAGCCUAAUAUGACCAACAGCCUCUUUGUGCAUCAAAAUAAGAGCUAAGAUAGACUGAAUCUUAUACAGAAAGACAUAGCAAGCAAUCACAUGAUCUCUAAAUCCAAUUACUUAGAACUCAAAGCUAAACUAAUCCUUUCCCAAGGUAUUAAUCUCUAUACUAAUCCACUUUAAACCUAAUUCUCAUUAGUCAAAAAUGAAUCUGUAAGCAUUAUUAAAGGUUCUAAAAUGUCAUUUAUGCAUAUAACAAAUAUUCCCAUGGCAUUAAUGCAUAAACCCUAUAGUUAGCUUAUUCAGGCAUUUCAUCAAACACCUUUUGAGUGGAGAAACACCUAAGAUCUAGAUCAGAGUGAUUAUCAAAGAUCUAGCAUUAGGAGCAGCUAACUAAGGAAAGGAAAUGAGAAUCUAGAACCUAAACAUCAUAAAUCAAACAUUUAAGCACCCUAAUCUACACACCUAGAAGCUUAAAAGAAGACAACUCACUAAUCAUGCUUAACACACUUAAUCUAUUGCAAGAGAUGAUGUUAAACAUGAUUAAAAGCAAAGAUAAGAAUAAGAAAUGAUAAGAAACAGCCUUGAAUGAUUAAAAACCAGGUAUCUCUUAACGAAGAACAAAGGUUUUCACAAAAGAAGCAAAGAAACUAAAAAUGGAAUCAAAGAAGUCUAGGGUUUUUAGCCCAAAAACUAUUUGUAGGGAAGUAAACCAAACCGGGUCAACCCGAGAUACUGACCCGGUCUUCUUGGGUUGCUGGAGUAAGGCCUCGGUGUCUUGAAGAUCAUCCAUACUGAGUCCACACACCGAGGGGUCAAAUCUGGGUUGGAAACUUGAUGAACUUUUGAAGAACAUGUGUGAGCUUUGGUCUUUGAUUCAGAUAAGGCAUUUGAAACGUGGAGCAAGCUGUUUGUGAACUGGGUUGUCAUGACAAAGGACCUCGUGGUCAUGCAGGCCGAGGGGUCAUGCUGAGGGGUUGCACAUUUCAUUCGCAAGACAUGCCUCGGUGUGGAAUAGGCCGAGGGGUCAUGGUGAGGCUUUGGCCAAAACUUUCGCAAAUGCACCUCAGCUUAUCCAGGAAAAGGGGUUUAGGUUGAAGGGUCAUGUUCAGGAGGGCCUCGGGGUAGUGUAUGCUGAGGGGUUAUGCCGAGGCCAGCUGUAACACUUAUGAAAAUUCAAGAUCAAACAACAAAAAUUCAAGAUCAAACCCCAUAGAUGCUCCCAGCCUUAUACUUAGUCGUUUGGAGACUAGUAUUCUGAACAAAAAAAUGUCUCGGUAUUGUGUGACCGAGGUGUCAGACCAAGGGAAAUGGCCAAAAUUUUCUUAAAUGUGUGUCGGUGUCAAGAUAUACCAACGGGUUACACCGAGGCACAAGAAAACACUUAGUACCCAGUAAGCUAUUUUUAACCCGGAAUUAUAUGCUUGUCUUCUGUUCUCAUUAACUCUCAGCUCAGUGAUCCAAAUGACUCAAGACUACGUCCAAAGGAUAGAUUACUCCACUAGCUAAAACUUUGGUGAAGAACCCAACUCCAUCUGAGUUCGGCAAGACUUUCCAGCAAGCCGAUCUUUAAGGCAAAUUGUACUGGUCUAGAUUGGCCUCUAGACCUGUGCUUUUUUUGCUUGCGUUAUCUCCCAUCUCACAGCUCCAAAUCUCCUGCUUCUAAGUGUUCUGGAAACUAGAUUCCAUGUUCUCAAAAUUUCAUGCAGACACCGAAGACUGGAUCGGACGAGAAGGCUUUCCGGUAAUGGCAUAUUUGAGGCAUAUCGGCGAACAGGAACUUUUAGCCGAGAGACAUGUACCGCAGUACAUGUUUUAGCCGAGACUCAUGUACCACGGUACGGCAUUUUAGCCAAUAAAACAAUCUUCCUGCAACAUGAACUUUUAGCCGAUGCUGCUCGAUCCGGUAACUGAUUUUAGCCUUCCCGGGAAGGAUUUUUAGCCAGUAAAAACCUUCCUAUGGUAAGAUAAAAUGCUGAUAAGCCUUUAAACUUCAUUUUCAUCAUUUUUGCUCCUUCUUUCACCAUUUCUUCACCUGGUUUUAUCUUUUCCACUCCAAGUGACCUCCAAAUUACCUAUUUAACACUCUAAACAUGCAAGACUCACUUGGACCUAAUGCAAACUCCUAAAUGAUAAAAUAAUGCCUAAGUACCUAAAAUUCUAUGUAAAAUGCAUACAUGAGACUAUGAAUUGGGACUAAAAAUGCAUACUAAAUGAGUCAUUUUAUGUAUAUAUCAGGUUCAUAUCUCCGAGAUUUGUGCAUUUUCUAUUUUUGUUUUCACUUCACCUGAUUUGAUUUUUGCUUUGUUUGAGGACAAACAUAAGUUUAAAUCUAGGGAGUUGAUAACACCGUAUUUUGACCACUAUUAUGGAUCGGUUUUACUUUUUCAAUACUUUUUAUUAUUUUUUAAAUAUUUUUCUUAUGGUUUUCUAGUAUUUGUAGUGUCAAGAGUUUUUUCAAGAAACUUAGGAAAAAGCAUAGCAAGAUGGAUAAAAGACAAGAUUUUUAGCUCAGAGUGAAACUGUCAAAAGUUCACCCUCAAAUGAUCCAGCUCAAAUCUGGAGAUAUUAAAGAUGGAACAAUUAGAUUUCCAGCACACUUGACAUCAAAACAAUCCAACGGUUCAAUCAAAAGUUACGUGAAGAGCAAGAUGUCCCAUCAACCAGCCGACAAGCAUUCCCAUUUCUUCUAGUCCUUCAAUAAGCAUAUUUCAACUCUGUUAGUAAGAGAAUAUGAUUCAUUACAAAAAAUUCAAUGUAAACACACCAUAAAAUUUUUCGUUCACAAGAAAUUAGCUACCAUAAACAUAAGGUGAGUAAGUAUGGUUUAGAAGCAUCUACUCAUGACCAAACUUACGGACCUCAAUAGGAAUGGUGUACACUAUUUAGGUUUUGAUGGUUGGGAAAGUGGCUUAUUCGUGCCUCAACUCCAUAACUGGUACCAAGUCAUGCCGGAACUAUUUUGUUGUGCCCACACAUACCUAUACUAUUAAUAAUUGGAUUAUUCGUGCUUGAAUUCUUUUUUUUGUUGGGCCGAAUCAUGCAUUGACUCUUUAUCCGUUAGUCUACUCUGUUAAAUUGUUAACGGUGCUGAGUCACCUGCCACUCUGGAAUCCCGUUAGUACUAGUAUAAUAAUGUGACGUUGUUUUUGUGUGAAACAAAAAAAAAUUUGAAUAAUUUAAAUAACUACACAACCAUUAUUAAAAAAAAAAAACAAAGGAACAGGAUGUCGAAUUGGUGACUACAAGAUUGAGAGACUUAAGACUGUACAUGGUCUUGAUUGCUCCGCUCAGUUCACUUUUCCAUGUGGUUAGUUCUCAAUUAUCAAUUCUACUAUGAGUCUCAAGUUUCGAGUUUUAGUUUCGGGGUCUUGCUUGUUCAGCUCGAUUCCAUGUGGUGAUUAUGGAUUCAUCAUUCAUGGUUCUUCAAACAUCAGAAUUCUAGGGUUUAUGAUUUAUUUUGGAAUCUGGUUUCAGGGAUUUAACGAAAUGGGUAAGCAAAGGAAGAGAGAAACUGAUUUGGAAGAUGAAACUCUAUCUUUGGCAUCGUCGUCUUUGUCUGACUCUUUGUUUUUUAAUAAUGGCUGUGUAGUUAUAUAAAUUGCUAAAGUUGCGACUUACUACGGAGAAGUUAAUCUUCUCUAACGGUUUAUGGGCUCCAUUUGAUGGGUGUGGUGCUGGUUUCUAUUCUCAAGCCUGCAAUUUUUUUUUGUUUUACACAAAAACGACAUUGCAUUAUUAUACCAGUGCUAAUGGGGAUUCUAGCAUGGCAGGUGACUUAGCACCGGUAAAAAUUUGAUGGAGUUGACUAACAGAUAAGAGUCAAUGUAUGAUUCGGCAAAAAAAUAGUUCGGGUACGAAUAAUCCAAUUAUUAACAGUACAAAUAUGUGUAGGCACAGCAAAAUAGUUCAGACACUAAUCGAAACCUGUUUGUGCAGUUAAGACACAAAUUACGUGUUAGGUGUAGUUUGAAUUAUGAAUAUGGAAAAUAUAACACCAUUGAUAAUACAACAGAAGUUAACUGACUUAGAUAAUAUAACAUAAGUUUACACUUAGAGUAUAAUAUAAAAUAGAAAACAAUUACUAGAAUGACCUUACAAACAGGUCUGUUUGCAAAAGUAACCUAGGUCCCUUACAUUUUUGCUAGAAUAACCUUACCAGCGUGGAAAAGACAGUGUAACCCCUCACACAUGAAAAUCAGUUUUUUUUUUUUUUUUUUUUUCGUAAUUUAAUUAAUUUUUUAAAAAAUAAUAAAAAAAAAAAAUUUUAUUAACUUUGGGAUUUCGUUUUCAAUCUAAUUUCUAUUUCAUUUCCGAAAAAAAAACCUAGAGGUGGCUGAGAAACCGACGAUGACGAUGAUUUUCUAGAUUUUGCGAGUUUCCGGCGUCUGCAUCGUUUCCGGUCACCUUCUAUGCUUCUUAUCGGCCUAUUCUGCAUCUCCGAUAAGUUUUUUUCCAUUUGCCGUUUCGUUUUUCUUCGUCAUUUCGUUUCAUUCACUUUUUCAUUUUCGCGUUCUUUACCAUUGUCGGCUUGUCGGCUACAUCAAGCACCGGAGAAGACGAAAGACAAAAAAGCUGAUUUCAAACCUCUCGUCUUCUCUCGGCGACGAACACGUCAGUUUUCCGUAUAUGAUAGAUUUAUUGAAUCAUAUAUAAUUAAUUGUUCCAUGUAUGGUAGACUUGUUUAAUAAUGUAUGAUAGAGUUAUUAUACUGAAUUUUUUUGUAUUUCCGGCGAAUCUGUGAUUCUGGCAAUUUCGUGUUUGAGGCCUUGAAGCCGUUUCAUCUUCUUCAGAAAAUCGAUGUGAGGACCCGGCGAGCAUAUUAGGGAACUUCCGGUGUUUUUUGGGCGAAAGACACCAGUCACCUAUGGUGGCAGGGGCUGAAAAGGAACUUUCAGCGUCGAUUGUGCGAAAGAUAGAGUUACAAUUGCAACGGCGGCUGAAAGUGAGCUUUCAAAAAUAAAGCUAACCCUAAUUUGUGUGUGUUUCAGGAAUCAGACAUCCAUGUAUAGUAGACUUAUUAGACCGUGUAUUGUAAAGUUAUUGUUUGGUGUAUGUAUGAUAGAGUUGUUGAAUCAUGUAUGAUAGAGUUGUUGAAUCAUGUAUGAUAGAGUUAUUGUUCUCUAUAUGUAUGGUUGAGUUGUUGAAUCAUGUAUGAUAUAGUUCUUUGUAUGUUAUAGUUGAUUUAUGUAUGGUAGACUUGUUUAAUCAUAUAUGGUAUUGUAUAGUUAUUGAAUCAUGUAUGAUUUACUUGUUUAAUCAUCACCUUAUACGAUUGAAGUUUCGACAUCUUUGACGAUAUUUUUGGAUUCCGCUUUGUCUAUAAUCUAGACGCAUAAAUGGACGGACGGUUUUGUUUUCAAAUUAUCGCAAAAAACCACCAAGUUGUCGAGUACUUGCUAAAAACCCAGAAGUGUAUCUUGUGGUAGCUUUUGCAAGUAUAUCUUCAACAACAUAUAACUCAAUCGAACCUCAUAAUAGCAUUGAUCCAAGUCAAAAUUUUCAUAAACCAUACCUACGAAAUCACUAUAGUCAAUUUCUCAAUCAACAACUAAAACUUUUUCCUCCAAGAUACAAAUAGUACUCCAAAAGAGGUAAAGAGAGGAAAUCAUAAGAACUACUAGAUGCAGUGGUUGGAACAGAAAAAUUUGAUAAUAACUACUUGAUAAAAAUGUCAUUUCAUAUCAUUAAGUCUACCGUUCAGUGAAGUAAAUAUGUCUAUUAAUUUUCAAUAUGUCUACCAAUUUCGAAUAGGUCUACCAAUUUUCAAAUAACUCUACCAACAUCGAAGCUCCCAAAUGAGUUAUAUGUCUACCAUAUUAUCAAAUAAAUCUAUUUUUUAAAACAAUAAGUCUACCACCGCCAAAUAUAUCUAUUACAUAGUUCCAUAUGUCUAUCACAUAUCUAUACUCUCUAACGGAACUUUUAAGUCUACCACACAGAAAACAAGUCUAUUAUUUCAAAACAAAUCUAUUAUCGACAUUUACAUCUACCAUGCAUACAACAAAACUAUCACGAAUAAAUUUUUUAUAUUGUAGUAGAUUUAUAUUUAUUAGAAAUAAGUCUAUUUUUGUGUCUAACAAGUCUACUAUGAAAGUUAAUAAGUCUACCGAUUUUGGUCAACCACAUCUCACAAAGUCAACUCAACAACAUUAUGUCUACCAACUUGAAAAUAAAUCUACUUUAAAAACCAACAAGUCUACCAACACAUUCAAAUAUCUACCAACAAUUUUAAAUAUACCUUUCGAUGAAAAUAAAUCUAUCAUUAUAAGUCUAUCAACAUCUAAACAAAUCUAUUUUUGGAAUAUUAAGUCUACCAAAAAUUAUUAUGUCUACCGACAUAUUUUUAAAUCUACCAAAACUUAUAUAUCUACCAUUAAGCUUGAUAGACUUAUUUCUGGGUGUCCGAUUUUAACGGCUGACGUGGAAAUAAUUUAAUAAUGGCAUUUUUGUAAAUACGUUUUUUCUCAUCAAAGCUUCCCGAGGGUAAAAUCGGAUUUUUUUAAAAUAGAAGGUUAUUCUACUAAUUUCGAGAAUGUAAGGUUAUUCUACUAAUUUCAGCUAUUUUUAAAGUCACAAUAGCAAUCCUCCCUAUAAAAUAACAAAGCGAACAAAAAGUAACAUAGGCUAACACAUUUUUUUUUAAACACCUAGAAUUUGAAAACAUUAAGACUAACAUUUAUCAGAAAAUCUUCUUCAUUCACCAGUCGACCAUUAAAGGCUCUGUCCUCGCAGCUCAUUGCACGUAAUUCAGAAACUUUUCGGUAUUAUUGAGUCCAGUAGCAUUUUCAGAGGUUGCAAGCCUUAUAUAUUUCAUCCCACCCCAGCCAGGCGUCAACAUUUCAGCAAGAACAUGACAAGAGAGUAUUGAUGUGUGGUAAUAAUCUACCGUAGAAUGCAUUGAACUUAUUCGACACCUAAAUCGGCCAUCCUUGCUUUCUGUCAGUAAUCAUUUUGCGAAUACACACUUCCUGAAGGUUUUCCGGCUAAUUUUGGCGAGAUACACAUCACCCUUGAGAUUUUACAUCAUAACUUUUAUGAACAUAAGCUUACCCUCUAUUUGCCGCAAACUUAAUCAGUUGAAUCCCUCCGAAAUCGUGCAGAUGAAAAUAAGCUUGCAUAUCCCUCAUGAAAAACAUUAAAUGGAUUCCCAGCAUCAUAGAACUCUUGAAAGAUGUCUGUGAGUAAAUGAUGAUUGGGCCAAAGAGCCGCUAUCUCCAUGGGGUUAACUGCAUAGCGAAAAAUACAGUGUUUCUAGUGCAGACGUUGAAUCUGUGACAAACAACACGAAGCUGGGCCAUAUCAGCGAGUGAAGGAUUCGUCAAUGCCAAAACUUUCUCCAGUAAUUGAGCCGAUAGGGCUAGGAGAUAACAGUACAAUGCAUCCACAGCCAGCAAUGGAUUUAGAAGAUUAGGGAAAACAAAACAGUAAAAAAACACACUUUAUAACUGAAAGAAAUUAGACAAGGAAUCUUGUCGAUUAAAUGCAUCUAUUCAUAACUAAACCGCCUAUUCAUUUUAAAACCGCAUAUUAAAACUACAACAACCUUUUUGUUUCCAACUUAAUUAUUACACGACACUAAAUGAAAAGUUAUUUAAGGUUAAAUAUAAAAAAUAUUUGGAAAUUUAUUUACGUCCAUGGCAUCUUUGAUGUUAACACUAAAUAUAUUUCUGUGUAUGGACACAUAAUAGUUACAACUUUUAUGAUGUUAGGCAAGUUGUACACACUCAUACAGUGUACAAAAUUCUUAUGGUGUACAGAUAAUAUGGUAUACAGAUAUUGGUGUAUAGAUAAUAUGGUGUAUAGAUAAUAGUGUACACACUUCUUGUAAUUUUGGUGUAUAAUUUUGUAAUGUAUGAGUUAUGAAUUCUCCAAUAAAGAUCAACCGAUAGAGCUAUUAUUUUUUUUUUUAUAUACGUUUGAAUUAGUGUUCAACCUUAGAAUAGGUGUACACGUGUACACUAAGAAUGGGUGUACGGAUUUUAAAUCAGAAUGGUGUACAACAACAGAAUCAAAAAUAGUAGGAGAUAAUUCUUGAAGAUUUGUACAUAAGUUUGUACUAUAACAUAUCAUAAUCCAACCAAACACAAAAUAACAUAGACAUAGGGUUAAAACAUUGUUUAAAAAACCUAGACAUUGAAAACAUUUAACAACAAAAUAAAUAAAAAAAAUAAAAAACAAAAAUAUUAAAAACCAUUUCAAAGAAAUUAUUCUCCCUUCACCAGUCCACCAUUAAAGACUCUAUCCUUAUAGCCUCGGGCACGUAUCUCAUAAAAUUUAUGGUUUCUUGAGUCCAGAAACAAUAGUUGCAGAUGUUCACAGGUUUAUACAUUUCAUCCCACCAAACCACCAAGCGGUUAACAUGUACGCAAGGACAGAAAAAAUAGAGUAUUGAUGCGCGAUAAAAAGUGACGGUGGCAUGUAUUGAACAUCUCCGGUAACUGAAUUGGCCAUCCACGCUGUCUGUCUUUAAUAAUUCUGCGAAUACACCUCCUUAACUUUUUUUGGCUAAUGUUGGCGAGGUACACAUCACCCUCGGAAUUUUCCAUCACGACUUUCAUGAACAUCCCAUAGACAUAAAUUGCAAGCGUGUACCCUCUAUCCGCUGCAACCUUAAUCAAUUGAAUCCCUCUGAAAUCGUGCAUAUGAAAUAGGCUUGCAUACCUCUCAUGAAAAUUAUUUCCAGAUUUCUAGCAUCAUAGAACUCUCGAAAGAUGUCUGUGAGUAACUAAGGAUGGGUGCCAUGUCAAUGCGGUCAACUGCAGCGUAAAUCCAGGGCUUCUAGUGCAAACCUUGAAUCUCUCACAAAGAACAUGAAGCUGGAUUAUUCGGCGAUUGAAUGAUUCAUCGAUGCCAAAACGUUUUCUAGUAAUUCGUCUGGUAGGAUUACGAGAUAAUAGUAUGAUGCAUCUGCCAUAGUAUAUAUGUGGAUUUUGAAUAUAAAAAAAAAACACUUUAUUUGAGUGAGAAACAUGGACUUAGAAGAAAGUAAUAGACUACUUAAAACAAAGUGAUAGAUUUGGAAAAUAAAAACUAAAGAUAAACACCCUUUAUAAGUGAACAACUGGGGGUAAAACAAAGUGAUAGAUUUGGAAAAUAAAAACUAAAGAUAAACACCCUUUAUAAGUGAACAACUGGGGGUAGACGAGAAGUCUCGUCGAAUGAACGCGUCUAAUCAUAACUAAACUGCUAUUAUUAUUGGAAUCACAACCACCAUUGUGUUUCCAAAUUAAUAGUGAGAUAACAUUAAAUUAAAAGUUUGGCGGUUUAAGUAAAAAAUUUGCUAUGAUAUUGGAUUUAUAUUUGUGUAUUAUGUACGCAUGUGUUGUAUUGUGUACACAUGUAAAACUUUUCAAUUAUCGGCGUUUCUUAUCUAAUCCUUUUCAUGAUAAAUGUCGACCAAAAUUCUCCACCAUUGUAUUUUUCCAAAUUAAUGAUGACAUGAAAUUUAAUAAAAAGUUUGUCGGUUUGGUGUACACAAUUACGUCACAAACUGAAUUAACAAUUCACGGCACAAAUCUGAAUCAUUAAUGAAGUUUGAAAACCCAAUUUACACAAACGAACAGCACGCCCACAAAACUUGAUUCAGUUACACAUUCUUAUAACAAUAAACAUAAAAGCAUUUCAAUCUAGCAUUCAUUCUACGGGUUUGUAACAUCAGGAUUGCCCACAAACUCUUUGUAAGAGUGAUAACACCUGAUUUUGACCAUUUUCACCAUUGAUUUCAAAUGCUUUUUCAAAGGUUUUAAUCAGUUUUAGGAACUUUUAUUAUGAUUUUCAUGUAUUUGUAGUUUCGAGGCUCUUUUCAGGAAACUUAGGGAAAAUGAUGGCAAAAUGGAAGAAAUCCACUUUUUUUAGCUCAGAGUCAGACCGUCAGAAGUUCAGCCUCAAAUGAAGAAUUUCUCACCGUCUGAUCCAGCUCAAAGUUGGAGACAAUCAAGAGGAUACAACCAGCUUUCCAUAGCACUUUACAUCACAAAGAUCCAACGGUGCAAUCAAAAGAUACAUGGAGAACAAGUUGACCCAGUUCACCAGUCCCGGAAGACCCUCACCCGAAGUAAACACAUGUUUUACCUGCCUUGGAAUACUCUCACCCGCGGUGGACCUUAGGAUGAGCCACAAGGCUCAACAUCAAAGCCCACUUUGCCAUUCCUCUUCAGAGAAGCCCUAAAUGAGAUCAGGAAGACCUUAAAACCUAUAAAUACAUUCUUUAGCAGACCUAAACGGGGGUGUGCUCCUGUAAUGAGUUUUUGAGCCACCAAACUUUGUUUUUCUAGGGUUAGGCGAUGGAGAUGGGGAUUCUUCCCCAGAUGCAUUGUUCUUUCUCCUUUUUAUCUUAUUAACUUUUCUGUUUCAUUCUUUUGCAUUCUUCUAUGUCUUUUAUCAUUCAUUGCAUCAUGUAGAUUAGUCCCAGAGAGUCAAAUUGUUUGAAGAUUUCGAUAGGUACAUAUAUCGAUUAGGAUUUCUAUAGUUCUAAACCAUAUUAUGGAUCUCAUCUCUUCUAAGUUAUUCAUAUUGCAUGAGAGUAGAUUCAUGACCUAUUCUCUGAGCCUAGGAUCGAUCAGAGCCACGAGAGUGCUGUAUCAGAUCAUCCGUACCUAGCUUCAGAAGAACAUAGUCGCUAUAGGAGUCGAAAGCUACCUAUAGAGAAGAUGUGAGUAGACGAAUUCAAUGUCUAAUGCAUGAUCUUACUUUUGACAUGAGAGCGAGAGUUAAUUAUCAGAUCUAAGUGAUUAGUUGAUUAAGAUGGCGAGAGUUGGUUAAUCAUACAUAAGUCUACUCUAGUUCCAUGCAGAUCCCAGAAACAGAUGAAGAUAAAUCACCCAGAAGCUAAUUGGAAAUGCCAUCAUACAUUGAUUAGAGUAAACCGGAGAAGUGUAAGUCGCCACCUAUGAGUUUGAGAGUUUAUAGUUUGAGUCGAUAUGCUUGAGAUAUUCUUUUAACAAUUCAUCCUGCAUUGCAUCUUAUUUCUUGUGAAUAUUAGAUUAGGUUUUGUUUAUGAUUCUUAACCAAAAACCCUAAAACCCCAUGAGUUUAUGACUUUGCUUACUUUCCCAGUUUGUUGUUUCUCGCAGAUUAGACAUCAUCCCUAUGGAUCGACACCCAAAGUCCUACAACAUACAUCUGUGCACUUGCAGACACUAAGAUUUUAUAAAUUUAAAACUUUUGGAGGACCAACGGACUUGUUAAAAACAAAUCCUAGGCCCGUAAGCCCAUCAAAGAGUUCAUGGGAACAGUUCAUAAAAACAUUUCAAACUAGCAUUCAUUCUACAGGUUUACAUUUCUUUGGCAUACAAAGACAUAUAUUUUGCUUCCCACUUCAUCUAGAUGCUCCAUAAUCAUGUCUCGACUAUGUAAAAAAAAAAAAAAAUCAUGUCUCAACUAUGUCAGUAAAAGAAAAAUCAUGUUCCAGCUCUGUUAAUGGAGGAAUAUGUUUCAAAUCAAAAUAUCCAAUAUAAACACACCAUAAACCAUUGAAUGAGUAACUAUGGUUGAUAAAUAGAGCCACAUAUCCUCCUUUCUUCGCUUUGGUCAGAAAUUUUGAUAAAGGAUUAAUCUUAGCGAGGACUUUCUCUAGGGAAAUUUCAAGAACAAUCACAGAUGAAUAAUGAUAUUGGUGAUAUUAUAGAACUGGCAAAGAAGAAGAUAGUUAUAUAUUAGAUACACUGUGAGUUUAUAACUCAUUUCAAUGGAACCAUGAACAUGAAUUUAUUGGUAAAGAUGUGCUAGAGAGAAUUCCCGAGGAGAUUAAUCUUGGAAAAAAAUAUGUUAUCGCUGGAAAUAAAUAAGGAACUGUGGCUCUCUUUAUAAACCAUUAAGUGAUUUACACUUAAAGAUAAUUUACCCACUUAUUAUAACAAAAAUGCAUUUCAACUAUUAGGGGACUUUAAACAAUGUUUACCUCAACUAAAUCUGAAAUUAUCCCUAGUGAUCUUUAGAAACAGUAAUUAUUUUUUCCCAUUUGUUUUCGUUUGUAUUUGUCUAUUGUGAUAGAUAUAAAACAAUUUAUUUUGUUAGAAUAAAUUAUAAUUGUUUUUAGUGUUUAAGAGCCAUCUUAGUAUAGUUAUUGAUAACACCGUGUUUCGUCCAUUUUCAUUAAAGAUUUCUUAUGUAAUUUCAAAUGUUUUAUAUAGUAAAGUAUUUUUUAUUAUGGUUUUCCUAUAUUUGUAAAUUCAAAAAAAAAUUCAGGUUACUUAGGAAAAAAUCUUGCAAAUUGGAGAAAAACUAGAUUUUCAGCUCAACGUUAAACUGUCAGAAGUUCAAUCUCAAAUAAAGACUUCACUCCAUCUGAUCAAGCUCAAAUGACUUUCUAGAGGGACCAAUUAGCUUUCCAUUGCACUUUACUUGAGGACAAUCUAACGGUUCAACUAAAAUACAAAUGAAGAUCAAGAUGUCUUGUCAAACAUCCCAAACUGCAUUUGAGCCGUGGUAAACACAGAGCUGGCUGCGUCUCCGAGCUUGCAGUCAUGGAGAACCAACCUUUCACCGGUCUUGGAGAACCCCGACCUGCGGCCAACCUUAAUCCGACCCAAAGGGCCAUUUUCAGGCCCAUUUUGCAUUCUCUUCAAAGAAAACCUUAAGGACAACUUAAGAAGACUUGAAGCACUAAAAAUAUAUGUUUUUUUAUCGAGAGUCCCUUAGUCUUUUCUCUGGUGCUACCAAAUUUUACUUCUUUGUCUUAAUUAUUUGUUUAGGGAGAUAGAGAUCUCUCGUGAACAUUUUUUUUACCUUUUUUAUAUCGAUUCAGUUUAUGCAUUCAUGUAUCAUGUUCUUACUUUCUUUAAUCAUGUCUGAGUAGAUUAGUAGUUAGGUUUAAGGGAUGUAUCGAUGGGGAUCUAAUGUUUGAUUUUGAGUUUUUGUUUUCUUAGCUGAAUUCUAGGUCUCACUGUUCUAAGUUUAUUCAUACUUCAUGAAGUAAGAUUCAUGAACUAGCAACUGAUUUUAGGAAGUUAAAGCCACAAUGAUGUGCUGUCGUGUGAGGGUGUCAAGUUUUACCUUAAAUGAAAUCAAUAGCCGCAAGUGCACAGCUGAUCGAUUGUAAAACUUAGGGAUCGAAUCCACAGGGAAGGAGGAUCUUUCCUGCAAAAGUCUUCAAAAGAAAUAUAAAGUAAGGAAGUCUAGAACCUCUGCGAUUUUUGUGAGGGUUUUGGUGGUGUCUUUAAAACGUAAAAACUAAUCUUAACGAGAAAAUACAGGAAUUAAAAUGACCUAAUAACUACACUUAAUGAAAUCGACUAAAAACGAGAAAAACAGCUAAACCUAAUUGCUUAAAGGAAAAUCGAUUAAAAGAGUAAAGAUACUAGACUAAAGCUUAAAUAAAAAUCGAUGUAAAUCUAUAGGAAAGAGGCACUGGGUUUCAGGGAAGUUUUCUCUAGGGUAUGAACGAUUCAAAACAUUGAUAGAGAGUAAAUUUGAUAAGAUCUUAGCUUAAACUUUUCGAACUAGAGUUACGGACGUAUGAAUAUGCCACUGUCGUGAUCAUAGACAACUAUCUCUCUCAACCCUGACCAGUAGGUUUCCACUCUGGCCCUGGAAGAGAAAGAUGCAUUAUAUUUAAGACUCGUCAGUAUUCACAAAUCGCCCAUAGGUAAGUUUCCACUCCUAUGUUUGUUUUGCUCUCCCAAAUUAGAUCUGACACCGGAUGAACACUUUCGUGUCACCAAUCAUCUGGAUCAGAUUGUAGUUCAUGACGCUACUCUCAUGCAGUAAAAAUAAAUUUAGAAGAAAAAGUUCUAAGAUUCGGCUUCAAUAGCUCAUGGAAUCCUCAUCGAACAUAUGUAUCCCCAUCGAAAAUCCCUUAGACCCAACAAUAAAACUACUCAGACAUGAUGAACGAAAUCAAAAACAUAAUAUUGAAAAGUAAAGCAAUAGUCGAAAUUGAAAAAGAAAGAACAAGGGUUCAAGAGACAAAUCUCUAUCUCCCUAAACCCUAAAACUUAAAAAGUAUUCUAAAACAAUAAGAGCAUAUGAGGUUCAUACGAAUUAGGGUUCCUAAAACAUGUAUUUAUAGUGCUGAAGACAUCUCUAGGCGUCACUUAGGGUUUCUCCAAAUGAGGGAAUCAUUUUGGGCUUCAGAAAUGGGCCUUCAAACUCGGAGUUGGCUGGCCGCGGUCGGGAUGUGCGUGACCGCGGGAAAUGGAUGGUUGGCCGCGGUCGGGAAGCCUCUGACCGUGGGGAAAUGGCGGUUGGCCGCAGGUGGAAACGCUUGCCGGCUGGUUUACGGGACAUCUUGCUCUUCGCGUAUCUUUUGAUUGAACCGUUGGAUUGCCAAGCUGUAAAGUGAGCUGGAAAGCUGAUACUUCCAUCUUUGAGAUCUCCAAAUUUGAGCUGGAUCGGACGGUGAUAAAGCCUUCAAUCGGGGGUGAACUUCUGACGGUUUGACUCUGAGCUAAAAAUCUGGUAUUCUAUCCAUUUUGUUAAGCUUUUCCCUAAGUUUCCUGAAAAGAGUCUUGGAACUACAAAUACUAGAAAAACGUAAUAAAAUUAUUUGAAAGCAAUAAAAAACAUAGAAAAAGUAUUUCAAAACGAUCCAUAAAAGUGGUAAAAAUACAGUGUUAUCAACUCCCCCAGACUUAAACCUUUGUUUGUCCUCAAACAAAACAAAAGUCUAAAUUGGUUAAGUGAAAACAAAAAUAGGAAACGCACAGAUGUCAGAGACAGGAACUCCUAAACUAGGACCAAAGAUCGUGCAUCAAUCCACAACUUAGUCUAGAAAAUUCUCACCAAGACACAAAAGAUACUACUCCACUUUUUCCGUCAUGCAAAACUUAAAUAAUCUAAAUCUUGAUUCCAGUCAACUAGCUCUCUACAUUCAUUAAGUGCAAAAGUGAAUUCUCAUUAAAGACAUCAUCCAGGGUAGACGGCGUUUGGCAUUAAAGGACUGUUUAAGUGGUGGAGUUAAAGUGUUUCGGGUUACCUGAUGAAUCUGGAGGAUGCAAGAUAAUAUGCAAAACCGCAAGAGAGAUAAGUACCUGUUGAUGACCGCAAUUUUCAGUCACUUCUUCUUGCCAAAUGUUGUUGCAUAAUCCUUCUUCCUUUGUUGUGAACAACUAUUCCCCCAUACUUAGAUUCUUUGUGGGAAUCAGAAAAUGAUCUCCAAAACUCCAGUUGCCUUGGGACUUAAAAUUUCGACCUCUCUAGACUCUCUAAGGCUUUUAUUUCCUUUUAUUUCCUUUUUUUUUUAACGAAAGGGGAUACCUUCUCAAGAGAAGGAGACUAGAGGAUGAGAUUGUACCAAUUUUUGAGAAUAUUCUAAGGCAAACUGAGCUUCCUCUUGUGUUGAAUCCUUCCGGGAACUUUUCCGACAAAUCGUAGGUCUCUGUCCUUGGUGACUGAAAACUGCGUCGUUCCUCUUUAUCUCCAACGUUUUUGCACUUAUCUGCAUAUAAGUCAAUAGAUAACAAGAGUGCAUGUGGUUUGAAAGAGGACUGGUUAAGGUGGGGAACUAGCUAAAGAUGAACUAGCCAUUCAGGAUCAACAUAGAGUGGUAAAAGGAUAAAGGAGUCCUGAAUGUAUGAUUCGUUUCCCUGGUCUAAAGCUUCAAUGAGAAAAUUAAGUCCAAAUUAAGUCCAAAUAAAACAGAGCUAGUGUAUCCCUUCAUCUAAAUCGAAAUCAUUCAAAUUCCUCUGGGGUACUUCGUUUCAAAUGUGCUUAGCUACCGCCUAGUCUAGUCAUAAAUCGUGAAUGAGCAUGUCACUAGGAACAGUCUAAAGCACACAGUCAACUAUCAUUGAUUCAUGUUCACCAUUCCCUUUAAAACGUAUUUUGUUUUGAAAAUCGAUUUUGAAAAACUUUAAGGAAAAAGCAAAAAGUGUAGAUAAUAAAAGACUCAUGAAAGAAAAGUAGUUAGAAAGGGAUGAAAUCCUCCCCCAGACUUAAAUCACACUGUCCUCAGUGUGAAAAAAGUCGAGACUGGAUGAGAAAAAUGCAUAGAUAUUCGAAUUUGGUAAGGCCAAAGAGAACUUACCUGGAUCCGGGAUGCUGGUGGAGGUGGACCGAAUUCAUUCGAAGAGGUUUGGGAAGGUGAUAGGUGGUGAUGGAAGGUGGUGGAAAGUGAUGAAUGAGGUGGAAUGGGGCUUGGUUAGGUGGAAUAAGGUGAAGUGGGUGGUUUGAGGUCGGGUAUCAUCUCAACGACCAUUUGCCGCGGUCAGGAGUCACGCGACCGCGGCAAACCGAUGCUCGGCCGCGGUCAGAAAGACGCGGCCGCAGUCAUAAAGAUGCGGCCACGGUCGAAGUGGUGUCUCCCUCGGUCAGAACACCUGCGAUCGCGGGGGCAUAAAUGCGGCCUGAUUCCUGCUUCUCCUUGGUUCCUGCUGGGCCGAGCAAUCAGGGACCAUCCUUCUUUUUGGUUUUUUGGGUUUUUUGAUUUUUUAGCUUUUCUAAUCAUGAGAAACACCUGAAACUAAGAAAAAGAAAAAGAUCAAUAGAAAAAAGAAAGAAAAAUCCUAAAGAAAACAAUACCUAAAUGGGUUGCCUCUCAUUAAGCGCUUUUGUUUUAAGUCGUUUAGCUCGACUUUGAUGUAGGACAUGGCUCAAUCAUUAAAAGACAAUGUCUUGGGACAAGUCCUCUUUGCUUCUCCUUGUCUUUCCUUUGUAUAUCCCUUAUAACGCCAUUCCAAAUUGGAAAUUUUGUCCUUAGGUUCGAGAUGGUAGCUUCCUCCAAGAUCAAAAAUCAGUCUUGGAACUUCUUUGAGGUAUGAGUCUUCAACACCACUUGUGAUAGGAGAACAUCUUAGAUGCUUGUAUGAUGAGGUGAAUAAGGUUUCUCUCACGUCAUAACAUUGGACCAUGUUGCAAGACACAAGGACGAAUGAUUCUUUAUGAUCUGAUGUGGUGGAGAAGGUUGAGCAUCCCAGGUGAAGACAGUUUGUUUGGAGAGGUGUCUUCAUGGCUUGAACUGUCAAAUGGUCGGUAUAAAGAGCAUUUGCCGCGGGUGGAAGUGUCACGACCGCGGUGAAAGAUGGUUUGGCCGCAGGUGCAAGUGUCGCGACCACGGAGAAACAUGGGUUGGCCGCUGGUAGCGCACUCGCGACCACGGAGAAACAUGGGUUGGCCGCUGGUAGCGCACUCGCGACCGCGGUGCUGAAUGUCCGAGGAGAAAUGUUCAGAUCUUCUUGCUUCUUGUCUCCAAUUCUUUUUGCUUGUGGAGAGUCUUCGGAAAGGAGUCUUGAGGGCCAUUUAAGCUUCACUCUUGCUUCAAUUAAGUCUCCAACACCUCUCAUAAGAGCAUUGGUUGAAGGUGUACAUAAGGAAAUACCUUUGUUCGUCAAACUUGUAAAUCCAGCAUUUUCUUUGGGUGCUCUUCUUUCUAUAACGUAUAUCCAACAUCCUUUGUAGCUCUUCCAGGGUCGAAUAUUGGAUCAUCCACGCUGCCUAUGAUCAUACAAUGAGAGUUCCUUGUAGGAAUCACCGGAUAUGAUGUUUUCUUGUUGAUCUUUGAUAAGCACAUCUUUUGGUAGUUGAUGAGUGUUUCAACAGAUGCUAGGAACGAAGUACCAAAUAUCAAGGGUUUCGUUUCAUAUUUUCUCAUCUCCAUAACAUGGAAAUCAGUAGAAACAAGACAAACUUUCCCUUGAAAAGGCAAUUUGUGUUUGAAACAAAGUGGAGCUGCACCAGAAAAACCUUCAUAGUGAAUGUAAAUCUUAAGAGGAUGAAAAAUCGAAAUACCUUUAUUCUCUGCAAUUGUCUUUGGUAUGAGAUUCACAUCAAGUCCAGUAUCACAAAGAGAAUCACAAAAUUUCACUCCCUUGAUUGAGAAUGGGGCAUCAAACUUCUCGGGAUCCUUCAUCUUAGAAAGCACCUCCAAUUGUGGUUUUGAUGUCAUCUUAUAACUUUCACUUGGUCUGUCUCACACUCAAGAUGGUGAGGAGCUGAAGGAGAAAAAGGCUUUGGUUCAUCAAGAGAAAGUGACUUAUGAUCUUGUUUGUCAUCUCCAAAACACUUGAACGAAUCGGUAGAGACGAGAUCGUCACUAGGGAUAGAAAUAGGUUCUCCUUUUUUCUUGAUGACUGGCUUCCAUGACGUGAUGAUCCAAAAAAAUUUCAUUUAAUGGCCUCUUUCUAACAAACUUGAUGGAGGAUUCUCCAUCUACUUCAUUAGCUACCCAAUACCCGUCAUCCAUAGAUUCAUUGAGCUCUUGAAGCAUAUCAUCAAUCUCUGUUUGGGAGACGGACGGCAUAUCUUCAUCAAAGAGAGGAUCAUGGAUAUCUCCGUAGGCAUUGUGAGUUGAAUAAGGAUCGUGGUCCUUGUAGAAUCUCAGUUCCUCUAAAACUUCGCGAAUUGAUUUGUUGUGGCUGCGAAGUCCUCUUGUGUGGUGGUUCGGAAUCGAAUUCUGAUCCAUUGAGGAGAGAUCACGAAUGUAUUGUGCUUCUCGGCGUCGAGUGGCUUGAGGAGUGUUGUAACAACCUCUCUCAUAGUAGUAAUUUCGUUUCAUAUGGUCCAUUGCUUCAUAAUCUAAAACAAGAAGAACCAAAAGCAAAAAUAAGUAGAAAAUGUGUUCUAGAGUCGAUUUACCAACCUUUCUUAGGGUUUUGUGGAAAAGAAAACGCGUGCCUUCCCCGGCAACGGCGCCAAAAACUUGAUGUGCUGUCGUGUGAGGGUGUCAAGUUUUACCCUAAAUGAAAUCAAUAGCCGCAAGUGCACAGCUGAUCGAUUGUAGUACUUAGGGAUCGAAUCCACAUGGAAGGAGGAUCUUUCCUGCAAAAUCCUUUGAAAUAAAUAUAAAGUAAGGAAGUCUAGAACCAGGCAAUUUUUGUUAGGGUUUUAGUGGUGUCUUUAAAACGUAAAAACUAAUCUUAACGAGAAAAUAUGAAAAUUAAAAUGACCUAAUAACUAAACUUAAUGAAAUCAAUUAAAAACGAGAAACCGGCUAAACCUAAUUGCUUAAAGGAAAAUCGAUUAAAAGAGUAAAGAUACUAGAAUAAAGCUUAAAUAAAAAUCGAUGUGAAUCUAUAAGAAAGAGGCGCUGGGUUUCAGGGAAGUUUUCUCUGGGGUAUGAACGGUUCAAAACAUUGCUAGAGAGUAAAUUUGAUAAGAUCUUAGCUUAAACUUUUCGAACUAGAGUCCCAGACGUAUGAAUAUGCCACUGUCAUGAUCAUAGACAACUAUCUCUCUCAACCCUGACUAGUAGGUUUCCACUCUGGCCCUGGAAGAGAAAAGAUGCAUUAUGUUUAAGACUCGUCAACAUUCACAAAUCGCCCAUAGGUAGGUUUCCACUCCUAUGUUUGUUUUGCUCUCCCAAACUAGAUCUGAAACUGGAUGAACACUUUCGUGUCACCAAGCAUUUGGAUCAGAUUGUAGUUCAUGACGCUACUCUCAUGCAGUAAAAACGAAUUCAGAAGAAAAAAUUCUAAGAUUUGGCUCAAUAGCUCAUGGAAUCCUCAUCGAACAUAUGUAUCCCCAUCGAAAAUCCCUUAGACCCAACAAUAAAACUAGUCAGACAUGAUAAGCAAAAUCAAAAACAUAGUAUUGAAAAGUAAAGCAAUAGUCGAAAUUUAAAAAAGAAAGAACAAGGGUUCAAGAGACAAAUCUCUAUCUCCCUAAAACCUAAAACUUAAAAAGUAUUCUAAAACAAUUAGAGCAUAUGAGGUUCAUACGAAUUAGGGUUCCUAAAACAUGUAUUUAUAGUGCUCAAGACAUCUCUGGGUGCCACUUAGGGUUUCUCCAAAUGAGGGAAUCAUUUUGGGCUUCAGAAAUGGGCCUUCGAACUCGGAGUUGGCUGGCCGCGGUCGGGAUGUGCGUGACCGCGGAGAAUGAAUGGUUGGCCGCGGUCGGGAAGCCUCUGACCGUGGGGAAUUGGCUGUUGGCGAUGGGUGGAAACGCUUGCCGGCUGGUUUACGGGACAUCUUGCUCUUCGCGUAUCUUUUGAUUGAACUAUUGGAUUGCCAAGCUGUAAAGUGUGCUGGAAAGCUGAUACUUCCAUCUUUGAGAUCUCCAAAUUUGAGCUGGAUCAGACUGUGAGAAAGCCUUCAAUCGGGGGUGAACUUCUGACGGUUUGACUCUGAGCUAAAAAUCUGGUCUUCUAUCCAUUUUGUUAAGCUUUUCCCUAAGUUUCAUAAAAAAAGUCUUGGAACUACAAAAUCUAGAAAAACGUAAUAAAAGUACUUGAAAACAAUUAAAAACAUAGAAAAAGUAUUUCAAAACGAUCCAUAAAAGUGGUCAAAAUAUGGUGUUAUCACACAACAAUGUUGUAUUUAUCGGCCAGACAUAGCUUCAGAAGAGCGAAAUCACUGUAGGAGACGAAAGCUACCUAUAGAGUAUCAUGAGCAUAUAUGAAACUUGUGUGAUAUUGCAUGAUCUCCCUCGCGACAUCAGACUAGUUACACAUUUGUGAUUUUGAAUUCCAUGAGAUUAAGUAGAGACCGAUUUUUAAGAGCUUAGGAAAGUGCACGAAUCGAACAUCCCCUGAGGUAUUCUUGUCAACCAAACAUUCAUUGUCGACACCUUAAGUACACUUAUCACAGCUGUGCACUCGCAGAUACUAGGGUUUUACAAAUUUAAAACUUAAGUCUGCGACAUCAAAUGUUAUCUGAUGUGAUUCUGGAAAGCAACAAUAAGGACUUAGAGCUGGAACUAGAAGAUGGAGAGUAAGUAGCUGAGGAACAAGAGAUUAUAGCUAAUCAAGAAGAUCUCUUAAGCGUUCCAAGUGGUCCAAUGACUCGAUCAAGGACUAAGAAGCUUAAGCAAACUAUUGGAGCUAUCAUAAAAGGCCUGGAUACGAUUGAAGAGGGAAAAGAGCCGAUCACAAGCACACUGAUUUGUGAUCCAAGUCCAAGAUGGCUAAGUGGGCUUGAGAUCCAGGCUUGUACUCUUUUUCUCUAUCUCAAGUUUUGUCCCAUUGAGUUUUCUUUACGUAGGUUUUCAAUGAGGAAAGAAUGGAUCUCUAAAUUCGCGUAAGUCCACAAAGUCUUGAAGCCCAAGUUGUGCCGAGUCAGAGGAGCGUCUAAAUCAAAUUCAAACUUGCCAACUUGUGCUUUGUUUAUUUCCAAGAUGAGUUUGAUGUUUGUGAGACUCAUCUCUUCUUUCUUUCUUCUUUAUAAUCGCUUGUACCCCUUUGUAUCAAACUAUUUUAUCUUUUAUUCUAAAACUCAUUUUCAAAGAUGAAAAUCUCAUUUGUUGGUGUGUCAUAUCCAUCAAACAACUUGAAUCAACUCUGUGUGUGUCAUAUCACUUAGAAGAUUCAAGCAGGCGUAUCAAGAGUGUUCCGCGACUCUUGUGUGUGUCCUUUCACUUCCUCAAUCCUUGAAUCAACUUCGUUUGAUUGCAAGACCUAUUUUCCUUGAGUUCCAGUCAUUAGAGUGUCGAUCAAGGACAUAUCCUUACUAGUAUCACAUCAAGUGGUAUCAGAGCACCAUUCUAAUCACUGGAUCGUCGAGUAUCAGGUUGUGUCGAUUCAUAUCUGAAUUUUGUUCAUGUUCUACUCAUCAUCUUAAUUAUAGAAAACUAUAAACUUCAUCACAACCGCGUUUAUGAUCACUUGUAUUAGAUCCAUUGAGAAAUCACUUGUUUGCAUCACAAGACACAUAGAUCGAACUAUUAUGUGCUAUAAACUGAUAGAUCAAUUCAUAUUUGCAUCAGUUUCAAUUUGUCUUUUCAACUUCUAUCACAGAUCUAUUCUCUAAAUGCUUAAAGUGUCUGUUAAGAUUCCAAGUGGAUCACGAAUAGUCGUCAGCAAAUAGAAUCGAUUGCUAGUGAUCUUUGCUUGUGUUUAAUUUUAGGGAAUCAUGACAGAAGAAGAAUAGACCAGUCAUCAGCGAGACAACAAGCUUCUGAUGGAGGCAAUGACCGAAAAGAUGAAAGAACUGAUGGCUGCUCAGUUCGAAGUGUUUAAGCAAGAGAUGCAGCACCAGUCUGAUGCAAAAACAGAUCGAGAAACAAGGAGAAGAAAUUGUGUGCAAUCUCCUGAGAGAACCGGAUAACAACUUAGACCACCAAGAGAUAAAGCGGCUGAAUCAUAUUACAGCAGAGACAGCAGCUCCUCUAGGAGCCAUCACCGACGCCAGAGACGAGCCAGAGAAGAGCCUAUACCUCUUCAAGACGGAUUAGGUGGAAUCAAGUUACGAAUUCCCUUGUUUCAUGGGAAAAAUGAUCCGGACACUUACCUAGUAUGGGAGAAGAAGAUUGUAUUGGUCUUUUAACUGUCAACAUUAUACCAAGAUCAAUCGAGUAAGGGUCGCAGCCACCGAGUUCUACGACUACGCCUUAAGCUGGUGGGAUCAGUUGGUUACUUCUGGAAGAAGAAAUGGAGAAUACCUUGUUGAGAGAUGGCAGGAAAUGAAAAUUAUCAUGAGGAAGAGGUUUGUGCCGAGUCAUUACCAUAGGGAGUUGCAUCAGAGGAUCAGAAGGUUGGCUCAAGAAAACCGAUCGGUUGAAGAGUACUAUCAAGAUAUGGAAACCUUUAUGCUGAGGGCUGAUAUCACCGAAGACAGAGAAGCCAUAAUGUCAAGGUUUCUAGGAGGUCUAAACCGAGACAUACAAGAUCGGUUUGAGAUGCAGCAUUAUGUGGACAUUGAGGAAAUGUUGCACAAGGCCAUUCUUAUCGAGCAGCAACUCAAGAGAAAGCCUGUGACAAAACCAAACUAUGGAGCUGUUUCUACAACUAUUAGACCGAGUUAUCAGAAGGAGGAAAAGCCAACCUCGUUUCAGAGAGAAGGAAAGUAACUGGCAGUGCCAAACCCGGAGAUAAAGAUCCAUGCAUCUUCACAAGACAACAAAGGCAAACCUGAGACCUCCAUAAGUCGUGCCAGAGAUGUUAAGUGCUUCAAGUGCCAAGGCCGAGGUCAUUACGCCAAUGAAUGUUCCAACAAAAGAGUUAUGGUACUAAGAGAUAAUGGAGAUAUUGAAUUUGAAGAAGAAGGAUCAGAACCUGAACCCAUGACCGAGUAUGAGGAGAUGCCAGCUCAAGGAUCAUUGUUAGUUGCCAGAAGAUCUCUAAGCAUUCAAUCAAAGACUGAAGAGCAGGAACAAAUAGAGAACCUGUUCCACACUCGGUGUCUUGUACAAGGAAAAAUGUGUAGUCUUAUCAUUGAUGGGGGCAGCUGUACUAAUGUCGCACGUGAGGCUAUGGUUAAAAAGUUGGGUUUAAGUGUUAAGAAGCAUCCGAAGCCGUACAAGCUUCAAUGGCUUAAUGAGAGUGGAGAAUUAAAAGUGAUCAGCUAAGUUUCAGUCCCUAUAGCCAUCGGCCGAUAUGAGGAUGAAAUCCUUUGUGAUGUGUACCUAUGGAGGCUGGACAUAUCGUUCUUGGCCGACCAUGGCAAUCUGAUAGAAGGCUAAUACACGAUGGAUUCACUAACAAACACUCUUUUGUUUUUAAUGGCAGGAAAACUAUUCUGAUUCCUCUAAUCCCUCAAGAAGUAUACCAAGAUCAGCUUCAGCUCAAACAAAAGGAGAAAAUCCCGACUAAUCAUCAAACUUUUUCUUAAAAGCUGGUAAUGUUGCAAGAGCCUUGAUAUCCAAGCAACCGAUUUUAUUGUUUGUUUUUAAAAGAAUCGCUUGCUAGUAUUACUAACAUUACACCGGUGCUACCGAGUGAAAUGACUGAUCUUUUGCAGGCUUACAAGGAUGUGUUCCCUGAGGAUAAUCCCUAAGAGUUACCACCAAUUAGAGGCAUUGAGCAUCAGAUAAAUUUCAUUCCUGUAGCUUCACUACCUAAUCGACCCGCUUAUAGAACCAAUCCCGUAUAAACCAAGGAGCUACAAAGACAGGUGAACGAGCUCAUGGAGAAAGGCCAUAUCAGAGAGAGCAUGAGCCCUUGUGCCAUGCCAGUGUUACUUGUGCCCAAAAAGGAUGGAAGCUGGUGCAUGUGUGUUGAUUGCCGAGCAAUUAACAACAUAACGGUUAAGUAUAGGCAUCCAAUUCCUAGAUUAGAGGACAUGUUAGAUGAUUUGCAUGGGUUUAGCAUCUUCUCUGAAAUUGAUCUUAAGAGUGGAUAUCACCAAAUUUGGAUGAAAGAGGGAGAUGAGUGGAAGAGCGCUUUUAAAACUAAGCAUGGCCUAUAUGAAUGGUUAGUCAUGCCUUUUGGCUUGACAAACGCACCUAGCACCUUUAUGAGAUUAAUGAAUCAUGUUCUUAGGGUGUUUAUAGGUGUAUUUGUGGUCGUUUACUUUGAUGACAUAUUGUUCUAUAGUAAGAGUCUAAGCGAUUGUGUCUUGCAUUUGAAAUUUGUCUUAGAUGUGCUUAGGAAGGAGAAAUUGUAUGCCAAUCUUAAGAAAUGCACAUUCUGUACAAAUAACUUGGUAUUUUUAGGCUUUGUUGUCAGCGCAGAUGGAAUCAAAGUCAAUGAAGAGAAAGUGAAGGCAAUAAAAGAGUGGCCAUGUCCUAAAACCGUGAGUGAGGUGAGAAGUUUUCACGGGUUGGCCGGAUUUUAUAGAAGAUUUAUGAAGGAUUUUAGCACUAUUGCUGCUCCACUUACUGUGAUAAUCAAGAAAGAGGUUGGAUUCACGUGGGAACAAGCACAAGAAGCUGCAUUCCGAGCCUUAAAUGAUAAGCUUACUAAUGCUCCCCUCUUAGUUCUACCUGAUUUCCUUAAAACGUUUGGAAUCGAAUGUGAUGCCUCUGGAAUCGGUAUUGGUGCUGUUUUGAUGCAGGAUAAAAAGCCCAUUGCAUUCUUCAGUUAGAAGCUUGGAGGCCCCACACUUAACUACCCUACAUAUGACAAAGAACUCUAGGCUCUAGUUUGAGCAUUGCAAACGUGGCAAUUGAUAACACCGUAUUUUGACCACUUUUAUGGAUCAUAAUUGUACCUUAUGCAGGUGUUUUAACUCUGUUUUCAAUGUUUUUAAAGUGUUUUCAAUGUUUUAGAGUUUCAAAAGACUUUACAGGAAACUUGGGCAAAAGAUAUGCAAUUUGGAACAAAUGAGCAAUUUUGGAUAAAUGCAGACCGUCAAAAGUAUGACAAGCGAUGAAGACCUUCUCACCGUCUGAUCACCCCCAAAAUUUGAGACUACAUAGAGGAGCCGCCGCUGGAGAGCAUCAUCGCGCCUCCACCUGCAACUCUGUUUUUCGUUUUUCUUCCUUCUUUUCUUUAGUUUCCUGCACUUUCAAUUUCGUUUAUGAUGCUUUGUUACAAUAUGUUUGAGUAGUUACCCAGUUGGGUUUAAAGGGAUUUUUCAAAGAGAAUUUCAUGUGUCUUUUCUUAUGAAUCGAUAGAUUUUGGAUUUAUAAUCUUCUAGAUGUUCUUCGUUUGCCUUUAAUCUUACUGCGUGAUUCUUUGCUGGCCACUUAGAAGCCGAUCUGAUAUGAUAUGUUGCGAAAGCUUUCAUUGAUUGUCUGAACUAGGGUGAAACGAGCAAUUCUUCUAUAGGAGUGGAAACCUACCUGUAGUUGAGUUGUGAAUGUUAAUGAGUCUUGUCCUGCUAUUGCAUCUUCUCCCUUCCAGAAUCAGAGUGGAAACCUACUGAUUAGGGUUGCGAGAGAUAGUUGUUUAGUGCUGCGAAAGUAGGCUAUUCAUACUUCCGUGCCUCGAAUUCUAGAACAUACGUAGUUGAUUACCUUUAUCACUUGUUUAAAAUCGACCUAGCAUAGACUAUGAACCCCUGCGAAAACCCCUUGAACCCCAACGUUUGUCUUUCAUUGUUUACAACAUUCGAUUUAGCUUGCUUUCCAUUUGCUUGUUUUUUGUUUUCAAUCGCCUAGUUUAAUCGCUUUUUAGUUGCUUUUACUUGCUUUCGUUUUUCAAUUGCCUUUACUUUCUUUGCUUUCUAGAAAACCCAAACCUUUUAGUUCUAAUCUGAUUUAAGCGUUGCAGUGAAUUCGUACUGAAACAACUAAGUCUCUGUGGAUCGAUACCCUAAGUACUACAGCGCACAUCUGUGCACUUGCAGACAUUUAGGGGUUAUAAAUUUAAAACCUGAAGCUUAGUAAAACGAAAACAACAACCCCGCGUUUACAAUCGCUCAUCAAGUUUUUGGCGCCGUUGACGGGGACUUAAAUUUGUUUCGUUGCGAAUCCCAGCUUAAAUCCAUUAGAAGACUUGUUUAUUUUUACUUUUUCUUUUGAAUUUUCAGGUUUCUCUGAGAUGAGAGACCGGGAACAUGUUCCCGGAACUCUUGGUUUAGUAAAACGAAAACAACAACCCCGCGUUUACAAUCGCUCAUCAAGUUUUUGGCGCCGUUGACGGGGACUUAAAUUUGUUUCGUUGCGAAUCCCAGCUUAAAUCCAUUAGAAGACUUGUUUAUUUUUACUUUUUCUUUUGAAUUUUCAGGUUUCUCUGAGAUGAGAGACCGGGAACAUGUUCCCGGAACUCUUGGUGAUCCACCAAAUCGUGUGGAUGGUGAUCCAAGCGACGAUGACCUGAUUGAUGAUGAGUUUGAAGAACCGAUCUAUGAUGACAAUGAGCUAAUCGGAUCGGCCAAACACAAAGAUGAUGAAGAACUGAUUGGAAGUUUCGAUUCACUCGAAAAGUUCAUGGGAGAUCGAAGAGCUAUUCAACCAGCCUUACCUGAGGAUGGCAAAACCGAAAUUAAGGUACCCCAUAUCCAUUUAGUUCAACAACAUCAAUUCUCUGGUUAUUCAUUCGAAAACCCGAUAUACCAUAUCGAGACUUUCGAAGAAUUAUGUGCAACCAUUACAGCAAAUGGGGAUUACCACAAGUGUGGUCUUUUCCCAUUCUCUCUUAGAGAUAAGGCCAGCAAAUGGCUAAAAUCUUUGCCACCUGCUUCACUAAAAACGUGGGCAGCGUGUAGAACUGCUUUCCUAAAUCGUUUUUACACUAGAAAUCGUUCAAAUCUCUUGAGAAAGAAGAUAAGAACUUUUAAACAAAAAGAAGAUGAAGAUCUUUUAGAAACUUGGGAAAGAUUUAGGGAAUACCAAAGAGAUUGUCCACACCAUGGAUAUGCUGAGGAAUACCUGCUAGGUAUCUUCUAUCGCGGUAUAACUCCAGAGUUACGACACUCUUUCGACAUAGCAAGUAAUGGAGAUUUCACAACUAGAUCUGUAGAAGAUGCUCACGUUUUCAUUAAAUAUUUAGGAAACAACAUCCGAAAUCAAAUAACCUUUGGUAAUUCUGCACUUCCUGAGAAGAAAGAAGAAAUUUCAGAAGUUAUAAAGUGUCUCCGUCACAUAAUGAGUCAUCUUGGAUUGCAACAACCAAAUAGGGUACACAAUACGUGUAACUUUGAUGGCUGGGACAACCCAAUGGAUUCUUAUGGUCAAGGGAUGGUGAACACUGCAGAAGUCUAUAAAAUUCAAGAUUUUCCAUUCGUUUCUGAUCACCGCGGGUCCAUUCAAUCGGACCGCGGCCAAGCAAGCUUUCACCGCGGUCGUGCUGGUUCUGACCGCGGCCAAGACAUGAUUCACCGCGGUCGUGAGCCACCUGACCGCGGGAAACCAUCUUCCAAGCUUAAUUGGAAACCACCUUCCGAACCAAUCUUGGGUAUUCAAUCUAAUCCUGUUUCCUAUCCAAGUUUUCCCUCUUCUGAAGCUGAAAACCUAAACAAAAAGAUUCUAGAGCUUGAAAAAUCUAUGUCUCAAGAGAUUAGUGAUCUUAGAUCUGAACUAAAAGAGAUGCAGAAGGAUUCCGAUACCCUCCUUAGCCUGAUGGUCAAAACGAAUUCUAAAAACUUAGAAAAUUCUGAAGAGGAGCUAAGUGAAAAUUCUUUCGAAAGCUCAAGUGAAGCAGAUCCCUCCGAUCAUGUGAAAGCUAUCACACUUAGGAGUGGAUUAGCUUACAAAGAGCCUGAAUUUCCUAAAGAUCCCAAAGAUGAGGAAAAGGGUAAGUAAAAGGAGAAAGAAAAAGAAAGAAUCACGAAUGAAGAUGUUGAAGAAGAAGUGGUAGGAGAAAAGGAUGGAGAAGAAGUAAGAGAAGAUUCAUCCCGGGAAAUCCUUGGAGAAGACCCGAUUCCUCCUCCACCAACUCGUGUCUAUAAACCUAAACCUCCAUAUCCUAGAGCCUUAAGAGCCCCUAAGAAAGAGAAAGAAAAAGCUAAGCUGAAAGAGCUAAUCGAUCAAUUAAAUGUGAGAUUAUCUUUCGUAGAAGCUUGUGCAAUGAUUCCUGCUUUAAGAAAAUACAUGAAGGGUAUUCUAACAAAUUCUUUAACUCUUGAAGAAGGCGUUAUGAUGAUAACCCAUGAAUGUAGUUCUAUCCUGCAAAGCCGAAUCCCUGAACAGAAAAACAAUCCUGGAAGCUUUGUACUUUCAUGCACCAUCAAUGAUGUAGCUUUUGAGCGUGCUCUCUGUGAUUUAGGAUCUAGCAUAAACAUGAUGCCUCUUUCAGUAGCAAAACGUUUAGGACAUCACACUUUCAAGCCCACUAAGAUUUCUUUAGUACUAGCUGAUCGUUCCGUUAGACAACCUGUAGGUAUCUUAGUAGAUGUUCCCGUCGAAAUCGAAAAAUGUUCCAUACCAACCGAUUUCGUAGUUCUAGAACUAGAAAAAGAACCUAAGGAUCCACUUAUUCUUGGAAGACCAUUCUUAUCUACAGCCGGAGCCAUAAUCAAUGUUCCUGAAGGAAAAAUUGACCUUCAUCUAGCCGGCCUAGUUAUGCAGUUUGACAUGAACAAAAGUUUUGAUAAACCGACUUUGGAUGGCAAAAUUUGUUGGGUUGAUGAGUUAGACGGAAUUAUUGAGGAAGUCUAUGAAGAUCUGCUUCUAGACGACCCUUUAAGUGUCACGCUUUCGCCCACAAAAGAUGAACGCAAUUUCCUUGAAGAAAUUUCGAGUGAAUGCGCACGUAUGCUUGAUAAGUCCGAAACUUAUAAGAAACCUCUACACUAUCUAGAUCUUAAGGACCAAACAAACAUUCCUACACCUCCUAAAGACACUGCUGCAGCAAUUAACGAUCCUUGGAGCGAGCUUAAAGCCCCUAAAGUCGAGCUUAAACCUCUUCCCGUCGGACUUAAGUACGCUUUCCUUGGACCAAAUUCUACUUAUCCUGUCAAAAUAAACUCUGGUUUGAGGGAAGAAGAAACCACAAUGCUGUUGACUGAGCUGAAAAAGCAUAGAAAAGCCUUAGGAUAUUCACUUGAUGACAUACCUGGAAUCUCCCCUGAUCUUUGUAUGCACAAGAUAAAUCUAGAGGAUAAUGCUAAAAACUCAAUCGAAAGUCAACGGAGACUGAACCCUAAUCUCAUGGAUGUUGUCAAGAAGGAGAUUAUGAAGCUUUUAGAAGCUGGAAUAAUAUUUCCUAUCUCAGAUAGCACUUGGGUUAGCCCAGUUCAUGAUGUUCCAAAGAAAGGAGGAGUCACUGUCAUUAAAAAUGAUAAAGAUGAAAUGAUCGCUACAAGAACAGUAACUGGACAUCGAAUGUGUAUCGAUUACCGGAAACUGAAUGCAGCAACUAGGAAAGAUCAUUUUCCACUUCCAUUCAUAGAUAAAAUGCUAGAAAGGUUAGCUAAUCACCCCUACUAUUGCUUCCUUGAUGGAUACUCCGGAUUUUUCCAAAUUCCUAUUCGCCCGGAGGAUCAAGAAAAAACGACAUUCAUUUGUCGAUAUGGCACGUUUGCUUACAGACGCAUGCCUUUUGGAUUGUGUAAUGCACCUGCUACCUUCCAGCGGUGCAUGAUGUUGAUCUUCACAGACUUUAUCGAAGACUUCAUGGAAGUAUUCAUGGAUGAUUUCUCCGUCUAUGGAUCUUCUUUUGAAAAAUGCUUAGGCAACGUUGGUAAAGUUCUGCAAAGAUGUGAAGAUAAGCACUUAGUAUUAAAUUGGGAAAAAUAUCACUUCAUGGUACAAGACGGAAUCGUGCUUGGGCACAGAAUUUCCGGAAUAGGUAUUGAAGUUGACAAAGCUAAAUUCGAGGUCAUGACCAGCCUACAACCACCCACAAACGUAAAAGGAAUUCGUAAUUUCUUAGGACACGCAGGAUUCUAUAGGCGAUUCAUAAAAGAUUUUUCUCAAAUAGCUAGACCUCUUACGCGUUUGCUUUGCAAGGAAACAAACUUCGAGUUCGAUGAUGAGUGCUUAGCCGCGUUUCAUAAGAUCAAACAAGCCCUUGUUUCCGCUCCAGUCGUGCAAGCACCUGAUUGGGAACUCCCGUUCGAAAUCAUGUGCGAUGCAAGUGACUAUGCAGUCGGAGCAGUGCUUGGCCAACGAAAAGAUAAGAAACUGCACGUAAUCUACUACGCAAGCAGAACUCUUGACGAAGCUCAAUGCAAUUAUGCUACAACAGAGAAAGAACUUCUAGCUGUCGUAUUUGCAUUUGAGAAAUUCCGUUCCUAUCUCGUAGGAUCUAAGGUCAUAGUUCAUACUGAUUAUGCUACAAUCAAGUAUUUAAUGUCUAAGAAAGACGCUAAACCUCGGUUGAUAAGAUGGAUCCUCCUACUGCAAGAAUUCGAUAUCGAAAUUCGAGAUCGGAAAGGAGCAGAUAAUGGAGUUGCAGACCAUCUUUCACGAAUUCGAGUUGAAGAAAGAUUGCCCUUAAAUGACAGUUUGCCAGAAGAAAACAUCUAUGCAAUAGAUACUACCCCCACCAAUGCCAAUACCGCACCACCACGUCCACUAAUGCGACGAGCAGAUGCUUUCAACACCCCAUGGUUUAGGCACAUAGCGAAUUACCUAGCAGCUGAUGUAGAGCCCUCGAAAUUUUUCGGGUAUAGGAAGAAAAAGUUUCUGAAAGACGUAAGCCAUUAUUUUUUGGAUGAACCCUAUCUCUAUAAGAGAUGUGCUGAUGGGUUAUUCCGAAGAUGCGUGGCUGAAGAAGAGAUGGAAGGAAUUUUAUUCGGAUGCCAUAGCUCGUCUUACGCAGGACAUUUCGCAACUUUCAAAACCGCUUCAAAGAUCUUACAAGCUGGUUUUUGGUGGCCUACUUUGUUCAAAGAUACUCAAGCUUAUAUAUCGCGAUGCGAUAAAUGCCAAAGGAUGGGCAACAUAAGCAAAAGAAAUGAGAUGCCUCAAAAAUUUAUUCUCGAAGUCGAAAUUUUUGAUGUCUGGAGAAUAGAUUUUAUGGGACCCUUUCCUACUUCUUUUGGAAACCAAUACAUCUUAGUAGCAGUAGACUACGUCUCUAAGUGGGUUGAAGCAGUCGCAAGUCCCACCAAUGAUGCAAAAGUUGUCAUGAAGCUGUUUAAAUCUGUUAUAUUCCCGCAUUUUGGAGUUCCUAGAAUUGUGAUAAGCGACGGAGGAUCGCAUUUCAUCAACAGAGUUUUCAAGAAUCUUCUUAGAAAGAAUGGAGUUACACAUAAAGUUGCUUCCCCAUACCAUCCCCAAACCAGCGGUCAAGUGGAGAUCUCAAAUAGAGAAAUCAAGUCGAUUUUGCAGAAAACAACUGCAGUUCAUCGCAAGGAUUGGUCUACCAAGCUUGACGACGCAUUAUGGGCGUAUCGAACAGAAUUCAAGACACCAUUAGGAACAACACCAUUCAAUCUAGUUUAUGGAAAAGCAUGUCACCUUCCAGUAGAACUCGAGUAUAAGGCGCAAUGGGCUAUCAAGAAGAUGAACAUGAACAUGAAAACAGCUGGAGAAAGAAGACUACUUCAACUUCAUGAGUUAGAAGAAAUCCGACACAAUGUCUACGAAAACUCGAAGAUCUACAAGGAGAAGACUAAAGCAUAUCAUGAUAAGAAGAUUAUUCAUAGAACUUUUGCUCCUAACGAUAAGGUACUUCUUUUCAAUUCUCGUCUUAAGCUUUUUCCAGGAAAAUUACGUUCAAGAUUGUCAGGACCCUUCCCGAUAAAGGAAGUCAAGCCAUACAGAGCCAUUGUCCUGUGGGACAGAACCGGGAACUCAUUUACAGUGAAUGGACAGCGUGUAAAGCCAUAUCUGGCUGAAGAAACCAAAGACAAAAGAGAAGUGAUGUUUUUGAUUGAUCCAUCAUCGGCCAAUGAUGAGAUCAAGGAGAGUCACGACCCCGCUUAAGUCUAAUCGAGCAACAAUGUCAAGCUAAUGACUUGAAACAAGCGCUUAGUGGGAGGCAACCCACUUGGUAUUUUAUCUAUUUCCCUUUGACUUUUAUUUUCUAUUUCCAUUGCUUUGUUUCUGUUUUAUUUAAUUUCAGGUUUUCAAUAAGGAAUAAUAAAUACAAAAGACGAGCAGCACUCUCCAGCACGAUAAGUACUCCUAAACAUUUCAACUUUUCUAUUUUCUUUACCAUUCUUUCCAAGAUUUAUCACACUGAGGACAGUGUGAAAUAAGUCUGGGGGAGGAUGUUCAUCCGUUACUAAUGAAAUUUGAUUUGUUUUGAGUUUGCUUUGGACACAUAAAAAUUUUUCAAAAUGUUUUUCAAAAAUUUUUCAAAUCAGGAACACAAUAAACAAUACUAUGAUGAUUUAGACCAGUGUGCUUCUACGCUAUUUUUUCGUUUUUUGCUCUUUUUGUGAUUUAGGCCUAGACUAGGCGGUAGCUAAGUACUUGCAUUACGAAAUCCCACCAGAGGACUUCUAUUCAUGGAGAUUCUUUCUGACAGGAUAUACUAGCUCAUUUUAUCUGGACUUAAUUUUGACUUAAUUUUCUCAUUAAACCAUUAGAUCAGGGAAAUGAAUCAUACAUUCAGGACUCCUUUACCCUUUUACCACUAUUUGUUGAUCCUGAAUGGCUAGUUUAUCUUUAGCUAGUUCCCCACCGAACCUAACCUCUUUCAAACCACAUGCAUUCUUGUUUUUCAUUGUCCAAUAUGCAGAUAUGUGCAAAAACGUCGGAGAGAAAGAGGAUCAACGCGGUUUUCAGUCACUGAAGACAAAGACCUGCGAUUUCAUUGGAAUGAUUCAACAAAAGGAGAUAAUUCAGUUUGCCUUGGAAAAACUUCAAAAUCUUGGUACAAUUUCGUCCCUUAGACUCUCACUCUAUAAAAGGUUGUUUCCUCUUUCCGAAAGGAAAAAAAUAAAAAAAUCCGAAAAAAGAAAAGAAAAAUAUGAAGGGAGAGGAAAUUAAAACCUUAGAGAGUCUAGGAGGAUCGAAUUUUAUACUUGAGGCAAGCUUGAUCUGAUUAUAUGGAGUUUUGGAGAUUAUCUUUAUGAUUCCCGAAAAAUAUCUAAGUCUGGGGGGACAGCUGUUUACAACAAAGGAGGAAGAUUAUGCAGCAACAUUUGGCAAAUGAGAAGUGACUGAAAAUUUGCGGUCAUCAACAGGUCCUUCUCUCUCUUGCGGUUUUGCAUAAUAUUUUGCAUCCUCCAUAUUCUUCAGGUAACCCUAAACACUUAAACUCCACCACUUAAAUAGCCUUUAUUGCCAAACGCCGUCUACCCUGAAUAAUGUCUUUGAUGAGAAUUCACUACUAUACUUAAUGAAUGUAGGGAGCUAGUUGACUGGAAGUUAGAUCUAAGUGUGUAGAUUUUUCGCAUGACGGAUUAACGGACUAGUUUGCUUGUAUUUUGGUGAGAAUUUUCUAGACUAGAUCCAAAUAGAUGUUUCACGAUAAGUUAUGAUUUAGAAGGACGGUCACUGAGAUAUUGUUUAGUUCCUGCGAUUUUCAAAAAUUUCUUUCCUGACUUAAAUUUGUUUGAGGACAAACAAAAAGGUAAGUCUGGGGGAGUUGAUAACACCGUAUUUUGACCACUUUUAUGGAUCAUAAUUGUACCUUAUGCAGGUGUUUUAACUCUGUUUUCAAUGUUAUUAAAGUGUUUUCAAUGUUUUAGAGUUUCAAAAGACUUUACAGGAAACUUGGGCAAAAGAUAUGCAAUUUGGAACAAAUGAGCAAUUUUGGAUAAAUGCAGACCGUCAGAAGUAUGACAAGCGAUGAAGACCUUCUCACCGUCUGAUCACCCCCAAAAUUUGAGGCAACAUAGAGGAUCCAACCAGCUUUCUAAUGCACUUGGUUUGGAGACAAUCCAACGGUUAGAUCUUCAGAUACUCCCGAUGCAAGAAUGACAGAAAAUGCAGUUCCUGAAAAGAGCAUGUGACGGGACCGCGGCCAACACCCAUUUUCCCGCGGGUAGAGCCACCGCGACCGCGGACUUUGGUCGUUCACUUUCCCGACGACUUAAUUAAAGCCCAGAUCAAUUCCUUUCGUUAUUUUUGAAGCCCUAAGUGUCCAAAACCACCCCAGAAGCUAUAAAUACCCCCUUUAGGUCAUUCCUAAAGGUGUGGAGACGACAUAAGAUAGAAAGAGAGAGAGAGACACAAACCCUAGAGAGAGGGAGCCGACGCCGUCGAUCCCGAAGAAGGAACCGCCGCUGGAGAGCAUCAUCGCGCCUCCACCUGCAACUCUGUUCUUCGUUUUUCUUCCUUCUUUUCUUUAGUUUCCUGCACUUUCAAUUUCGUUUAUGAUGCUUUGUUACAAUAUGUUUGAGUAGUUACCCAGUUGGGUUUAAAGGGAUUUUUCAAAGGGAAUUUCAUGUGUCUUUGCUUAUGAAUCGAUAGAUUUUGGAUUUAUAAUCUUCUAGAUGUUCUUGGUUUGCCUUUAAUCUUACUGCGUGAUUCUUUGCUGGCCACUUAGAAGCCGAUCUGAUAUGAUAUGUUGCGAAAGCUUUCAUUGAUUGUCUGAACUAGGGUGAAACGAGCAAUUCUUCUAUAGGAGUGGAAACCUACCUGUAGUUGAGUUUUGAAUGUUGAUGAGUCUUGUCCUGCUAUUAGAUCUUCUCCCUUCCAGAAUCAGAGUGGAAACCUACUGAUUAGGGUUGCGAGAGAUAGUUGUUUAGUGCUGCGAAAGUAGGCUAUUCAUACUUCCGUGCCUCGAAUUCUAGAACAUACGUAGUUGAUUACCUUUAUCACUUGUUUAAAAUCGACCUAGCAUAGACUAUGAACCCCUGCGAAAACCCCUUGAACCCCAACGUUUGUCUUUCAUUGUUUACAACAUUCGAUUUAGCUUGCUUUCCAUUCGCUUGUUCUUUGUUUUCAAUCGCCUAGUUUAAUCGCUUUUUAGUUGCUUUACUUGCUUUCGUUUUUCAAUUGCCUUUACUUUCUUUGCUUUCUAGUUUAGAUUUGUUGACAACCAAAACCCAAAACCAAAACCCAAACCUUUUUAGUUCUAAUCUGAUUUAAGCGUUGCAGUGAAUUCGUACUGAAACAACUAAAUCUCUGUGGAUCGAUACCCUAAGUACUACAGCGCACAUCUGUGCACUUGCAGACAUUUAGGGGUUAUAAAUUUAAAACCUGAAGCUUAGUAAAACGAAAACAACAACCCCGCGUUUACAAUCGCUCAUCAGUAUACUGUCUAUGGCCCAUGGAUUUCAUCUUACAUACGGAUCAUGAGUCUCUUAAGAACCUAAAAGGGCAACAAAAACUCAACAAGAGACACGCAAGGUGGGUAGAAUUCAUAGAAACGUUUCUCUAUGUGAUCAAGUACAAAAAAGGUAAAGACAAUGUAGUAGUCGAUGCAUUGUCUCGAAGGUAUGCCUUGAUCUCUACUCUUGAUGCUAAGCUUAUAGGAUUUGAACAGCUCAAACACAUGUACGCAUCAGAUUCUGACUUUAGAGAGAAAUAUCAGUCUUGUGAAAAAUUUGCUAAAGACCACUACUUUAGACAAGAUCGUUUUCUUUUCUUUGAUAACCGUAUAUGCAUCCCUAAUUGUUCUAUNNNNNNNNNNNNNNNNNNNNNNNNNNNNNNNNNNNNNNNNNNNNNNNNNNNNNNNNNNNNNNNNNNNNNNNNNNNNNNNNNNNNNNNAUUGGCCGCACAUGAAGAGAGAUGUGGAAAGAAUCUGCGAAAGGUGUGCAACUUGUAAACAGGCUAAGUCUAAGGUUAAGCCUCAUGGUUUGUACUCUCCUUUACCUAUUCCUUCUCACCCUUGGGUUGAUAUCUCUAUGGACUUCACACUUGGUUUGCCUAGGACUAAAACAGGGAAAGAUUCUAUAUUCGUUGUUGUGGAUAGACUUUCAAAGAUGGCUCAUUUCAUUGCAGGUAACAAAAUCGAUGAUGCAUCUCAUGAAGCUAACCUGUUCUUUAAAGAAAUAAUUCGUUUACAUGGCAUGCCUAGAACCAUUGUUUCUGAUCGUGAUACUAAGUUUCUUAGUAAUUUUUGGAAAACAUUAUGGUCUAAGCUAGGAACUAAGUUCAUGUUCUCUAUUAGAUGUCAUCCACAAACUAAUGGGCAAAAUGAAGUAGUCAAUAGAACUCUGUCUACUUUAUUGUGUGUAUUAGUUAAGAAGAACCUUAAGUCAUGGGAGCAAUGUUUACCUCAUGUUGAAUUCGCAUAUAAUCAUUCGGUGCAUACCGCUUCUAAGUUUUCCCCAUUUGAGAUUGUCUAUGGCUUUAAUCCUAUAUCUCCUUUAGAUCUAACUCCCAUUCCUUUGAGUGAAAGAGUUAGCAUUGAUGGGCAAAAAAAGGCCGAGUUAGUGAAACAGAUCCAUGAGAAAGCCAAGAAAAAUAUAGAAGAGAAGACUAAGAUCUAUGUGGAACAAGCCAACAAGAGACAGCGAGAGAUGAUCAUUAAAGUUGGUGAUCAAGUCUGGGUUCACCUAAAGAAAGAAAGGUUUCCAGCUGAAAGGAGGUCAAAGCUUAUGCUAAAGGUUGAUGGACCGUUCAAGAUCAUCAAGAAGAUCUAAAAUAUCAUUUUUAUAAUCUUAAAUAACUAACAAUAUAAGAAAAAAUAAUAAUAAUAAUAAUAAUAAUAAUAAUAAUAAUAAUAAUAAUAAUAAUAAUAAUAAUAAUAAUAAUAAUAAUAAUAAUAAUAAUAAUAAUAAUAAUAAUAAGAGAAUGGAUAACGUGAACAUUAGAAUCUACUCAAAUAAUUUUAAAAUUGACUUGAAUCUAAGAAAAAAUAUAUAUUAAAGUUUUAUGAUUAAAUCAUAAUUUAUGUGUAUGCUUAACUGAAUUGAAAAUCUCGUUUUGAUGCAAUCUUACACAAAUUCUCAAAUUUUAUAAGUAGUGUGUAGGACCUUUUUUGCUGCGCCAGAAAAAAAAAUAUAUUUAGGGUUAGAGAAUCUUAUUUAGAAGAAGAAUAAUCUAGAUGAACAAGCACUAAAACAAACCAAAGUAUUAAAUACUAUAUAAUAUAAUGGUGAGAUAUAUUUUGUAUAUAUAGUAUAUAUAUGUAUAUAUUGUAUAUAUGUGUAGAUAUACAUAUAGAAGAGAGAGAAAGAAUGGGUAAGAAAGAAGGGAAGAAGACACGAGAGAGAGAAUUGCUCUCUUCUUCUUAUUCACUUAUGUUUACAAGUGAUGCACUUAUUUAUAGUGCAACUAAGUCGGUGACUUAACCGACAUAAUACAUAAGUUAUUACAUUAAUGAAAAAUGGAUAAUUAUUAUCCUUUUAUAACACUUCUCUUUGAUUAUCCAUCACUUCAUUAACAUAUUAUUUCAUUUAAAAAAAACUUUAGCAUAGAAAAAUCCAUUAGAAUAAAAACCAUAAUAAAGAAAAAAUAUAAUAACGUAAUCUCCCCUUAAAAAAAGAUGAAUUUUGUUCUCUUCAUAGAUUGUUGAUUCAUCUUGAUCUCGUCGAUGUAAUAAACCAUCUUCAUUGGAAUUAUAUAUUCCUUUUCAGAUAUAUAUAUCUUCUUGCGUGUUCUUUGAUACUUCAAUAAAAACUUCAUCAUGGAAAAACCCAAUGGGAAAAAACCAUGGUAAAGAAGAAAAUGCAUCUACGUGCAUCAUCAUACUUCUUCUGGAAGUAUUCCUUUUUAGAUAUUUUAUCAUUUUUCCUCUUCUUUGCUGCUUCGUUAAAAACCUCGUCAUGGAAAAACCUAUUAGGAUAAAAACUAUGAUAAGGAAAAAAGAGUGCAACCACGCAUAUUAUUACAAUUAUCCCCCUGGAAACAUCAUCUUCAGGAGAUGCAUUCCAAUUAUAUAUACCAUCAUUUUGGAGAAUUUUUUUAAGUAGAGCCUUUAUAAACAAGCUCGUAAGAUCGUCAUUCUCGGAUCCUUGGACUUCUGGUCCAUAAAUCAAGUUAGUCAAGCUCUUCCCAUGACUAAACAAAAUUUUUAGAUGCUUCACGCAUCCUUCAUCCUUUUGGGAUUUUUAUCGAUGCAUUACUGAAUGUAAUUACAUCCAUGACCGAGUAACAUCAAUUUCCGGUCUUUGAGAAAAACUUUAUGCCACAAACCGAGUUUUAUAUCUUGUGACUUUGUUUUCUCAUUAUUUUCGAAUAAAGAUCCAUUUGGUCUCGAAUAACAUUACAUCUUCAGGUGUAAUGAUCAUAAGUCCAAAGACAUUAUCUUUUGCUAAUUUUUCGGGAAUCUUUUCAUUUUAUUCUCUAAUUCUCUUUCUCUUCAUGAGAAUUUUAGAUUCCAUUAGCCUCCCCCUUUUUUAAUUGAACCUUACGUUCAUUUACUUCACUCCGAUAAAUUUUGUUCUUUAGGAACAUUAAUAUUUGUGGAGCACUUCCAAGUUUUACGAACUUCAAGUUCGAAAUAUUUUGUAGGGAGGAUUAAAUAGCAAUUUCUUUAGAAAUGCUUAAAUCUGAGUUUUUCUAUAUGUUAGAUCCUGCUGGGAUCUUUCGAGAUAAGAUGUUUAAUUGGGAUACCUGCAAAACAAAAUAACAUAUUUUUCCUAAAAAGCAUUAUAUGUUAGGACUAAAUCAAUGAUCACUUUCUUUGAUCUAUCUAUUGGUUAAUCUUAACUAAAACUAUUAAACCCCAUGCAACAUAUACUCAUCAAGUAGAGUUCCCGGGAACAUAAUUAUGAUAUCAUUAAUCCUUUAAGGAAUAUUUCUUUCGCAAUUCAAGUCGCUCAUUUUCUGCCAGACUUGAUAUUACUUUUAAUGUUUGGACUGCUGGUCCAAAAAUUUCUCAUUUUUCAUAUGAGCUUAACAUAUACUUGAUUGCCUCUAUUCACUUUUUGGCCAAUAUUUUCACUUUCUACACUCAUCCGCGGAGGUAGACUUAUGAUCCUCAUUCAUAUCAAAUCGCGCGCUAUCUUAUUUUAUGUCGAUAAUUAUUUUGUCUUUGGUUCCUUUUUUCGUAAUAACAUGGUUGAACGAGAUCUCUUUAUCAAUGAUAUCAUCCAUGUACAUGAUUUUAUAAUUAACCACAUCAACAGUCUCUUCCGGAGAUCAUCCUCAUAUAUUUGCUCCUUUUCUUUUGAGAAUUUUAUAUUUGGAACCAAAGUAGUCUAUCACGUUUCUUACGUGCCAUAAACUCUUUAUUGAUAAAUCGUCCUUCAUGGACAUAUUUUUGGAGCAUUUUGAGCUAGAAGUGAGAUUUUAUUUCAUUGUAUGUCUGGCAUUUACAUAUGAAUUAUCCUUUGAACUUCAGGUUCAAAAUCAUAUAUAUGAUGAUCCAUAAUGAUAAUUCAUAAAUCUUAUUCAUUAGCUCUUCCGUACCAAAACAUGGAGAAAUUUCACCAUUGUUGAUCUUGCAAUCUUCUAGAUCGCUUUAUAAAUUUCCAUAAAAUCCAAUUUAAGUGUGAACAUAAUCUUCAGGAUGUUCACUACUUUGAUAUGGAUUCUUUAAUUCUCCCCCUCGAGAUGAUGAUACUUCAAGUUUGUUGGGGUCGGUUUCACCCUAAUCGGUUUAAACCACCUCAGGAAUAUCGGAGAGCCGAUUUUGCAAGGAGAACUAGCGAUCCAUUAAGUAUGGGUCGAGCCGCGCACGAGAGGAGUGGGCCGAGCCAAAAAGAGGAAGUAAGUGAACCGAGCCGCGUGAAGGAUGUUCAAUGGGCCGAGCUAACGGGCCGAGCUGUGCAAGAAAGCUAACGGGCCGAGCUGUGCAAGAGAGCGAACGGGCCGAGCUGUGCAAGAGAGCGAACGGGCCGAGCUGUGCGAGAAAGCAAAUGGGCCGAGCUGCAUAAGAAGGAGAAUGAGUCGAGCCAUUCUCUUCCACAAUUGGGCCGAACCAAGGCUUUGGAAGACGAAAGCCCAUAGAAACCCGAAGCGAAGUAUUAUGACGGUGGCUGCACGAAGCGAUAAGGAAAUAUUCUGAAAAUCUCUCCCGAGAUUCUCAGCUAGUCGGUUCAGAGAAUUAGUAUAAAUAGACGAUGCAUACAAUUCAUUCUGUAACUUUGGACAACUCGAGAGCAUUAAGACCUAAACACUUUCACAGCAAACAAAACCUUCUUUUGAUCUUACUGUUCUUGCGAUUACCCUAGAAAUUUCGGAUCCCUAAGUUUUUCCUUACAAAUUUUUGGUUGUCCGAGUUUUGGCUCACACAAUUUGGCGCCGUCUGUGGGGAAUCGAAACUUUCUUACUCUAAAUCGACGAGACUUUAAGAUCCGAAGAACAUGGCGAGCAACACUCUCGACAAUAACAACAACAACAACAACAACAACGAUAACGGCGCGGAGAAGGACGCUCCAGCAUCAGGCACAACGACGGCGACGACCGAACCUAAGAGGAGAUGCGAAAAAUGAUGGCUGCGUUGAUGAAGAAGAUCGACGAGCAGGACAAAAGAAACGAGGCAAUUACAGAGAGGCUUGACGCGAUGACAGCCGAGUGACGACACCCAACUUGGAGAGCGAGAAUCUCCAAACCGAUGGAUGGAAUCCGCAGACGCUUCGAUUUCUCCACGCCUGCAGAGGCCUCGGGAAGCGGCGCAAGAAAUCCCCUUGCUCCACCAACGUUUCGUCCUCUCGGCGAACAGACUCCCCCGGCAACCCGAGUCAACAUGACCGAGCCACCUCCACUCCGUCGGAACUCAAGGCGACGAGCCGGCGAAGAGGAGAAUGACGCGAUCGACGUGGACGCC
Molecule: long non-coding RNA, 89291 nt
Filed under: Eutrema salsugineum
Lineage: Eukaryota; Viridiplantae; Streptophyta; Magnoliopsida; Brassicales; Brassicaceae
Description: long non-coding RNA (ESAL_LNC000233)
Rfam family: Plant small nucleolar RNA R71 (bases 41911-42016)
Source: RNAcentral